CCUGUGCCCGAUGCGGGUGGGUCCUAGCAGUGCCGUGGUCGGUGCAGAGCAGUCUCAAGUGCUUCUAUUUCUUUUGUACUUUGUGAUUUUGAUUUUGCCUCUCUGAUUCGUUCCACGGGUGCCUUCGAUUCAUAUUCUAGGGUUUGGACUAUGAUAUCUCUUGUUCCAAUGUUUGCCUUCUCUGUGUUCAUCUGUGAGAGGAUGACACCAAUUGGCAGUGACAUUGCUGAGUCUCCAUUCAUGAAACUAAAUUAACACGUUGUGGGGCUAUAAACCCCUAUACCCUUACGGCUAGACUUGGGUCAGGAGGCUUGGCCCAUCAAGAAGACAGUCCGAGGCUUGAUCCAACUGCUCGGAGUUUCGCGCAAGGAAACAAGACGUGGAGAUCAAGCCGGAUUCUAGUCGGUUAGAAUAGGAAUUGAUAUUGUGCUAUCUAUGGCAAUUGUAACCGACUAGGAUUAGUUUCCAGAUUUGUAACCCUGCCCUGUGGACUAUAUAAAGAGAGGCAAGGGACCCCCUAGGUAAUUCAUCUCAACACAAUCCAAUACAAUCAGACGUAGGACGUAGGUAUUAUGCCCACGCGGCGGCCGAACUUGGAUAAAAACCUAGUCUGUGUCUUGCGUCACCAUCAAGUUCGUAGCUUGCGCACCGUCUACCAAUAAACUACUACCGUGGGUAUACCCCAAGGUAGACUGCCAACUAGCUUUCGUCGACAGUGGCGCGCCAGGUAGGGGGUGUGCGUAUAGCUCUCCCGACGAACAAGAUGGUCAUCGUUCCAGCUUCCGCGGCCGUGGCUGAAGGCCUCACGUUCACCGUCGGCCACAUCACGUGGACGACUCAUGGCGGCGGCCUCAUGACCACGACUUCAGAAGAAACCCAGAUCUGAUAUGGGACAGCAGGGGCGUCGAUUCCGAUCACGCCGACACCGAGCACCCGACCUCCGCUCCCUCGUUACAGGGGGAAAAAGGUCGACGACUCGGAUCUUUUCCGAGCUCUGGAUCGCGCCGAUCUCAGGCUCCUCGAAGCUUCCAAACUGGUAGAUUGGAUCUCGUGCCAAUCUGAUCAAGCGGCGUCGAGAAACUCUUUUGACUCCUGCCGGCCAACUCGUGUCAUCACACACAAACAGCUGGGGACGUCUCUAACAAUAACGUCCACCCCCACGGGGCGGUCCGUCAAGCUCAAGACAGCUCAAGACCAGAGUCCCCCUUAUGGACUAAACAACUCGGCCGAUCACUACUCACGGCACACCUAAUCCCUUUUCAACAGGGCGGGUUGGUCGCCGAGACAGAGCAGCCGAGCAGCUCGCCACUACGUCAACAUGGUAUCGAUCCAAGUACUACCGAACGACAAGGCUACUAGUACGAACUCCAGCACAGGGUCUGUCCCUACCGAGGUUCUAAACUCCGAGGACGAAGAUUACGACCUGGAUUUACCACUGUAUCCUCCAGGUUUUUCUCGUUUCCCAGUCUUUCCACCUCGGCGAGGAGAUCUUAUCUUCAAUGUCAGCAACGAUGAACCGGUUGUCGACGGAAAAACAGACGAGCAGAAGCAGGUCCGUGAACAGCGCAAUGCCGAUCGUGCUCGACGACGUGCGGAUGAGGAACAGCAACUUGCGCUGCAUAACCUCAGUGAUGCUUUCGACAUGGUCGGAGAUCAGCCAGUCUACAAGACGCCAAGCGCUAACGUGGCUGUUGCUAUGGCAAACCUGGACCGACUCCCUGAUACUCCUGAGUGCCAGGGCGUCCGAUCCAGUAUACGCGCACAUCUGAUCGCCGCGAUGGGACAGACAACCACGUUACUCAAAAGGGUCCAAGCCAUCUCCUACACAGAGGUCUCUUCCGACCAGACUCAUCACAGCCGGACUUCACCACGACCCAGCGAGCGCCAUCAUAGCCGCUCUCCCAACAACCGCAGGAAGGACAUGGGGCGCGACAACCGUGGUCGGGACACCGGCGGCUACCGCGAGCAGAAGCGCGGGCGUGGUCAGGAAGUAAACCAGGACAGGGAUCUACGAUACAACAUCCCUCCCAAGGACGCCUGCGACCGCAUCAACAGGCGUGCUAGAGAAAGAGCGGUACACGAAAACUUGCAACGCAUUGAGUACGAUGCCACCCACGGCCCUCCUGGCCUAAGACAGUUUUCUUCACACCAUCGCCAAGUCGUAUGACCCCACAACUUUAAACUCGAGAAGCUUAAAAAAUAUGACGGCAAGGAAAACCCUAAAAACUGGAUCACUCUCUAAGAGAUCGCAGUUCGGUCAGCAGCUGGAGACGAGCACGUCAUGGCAAAUUACUUCCCAGUCGUCCUUGACCAGGCUGGCCAUCAGUGGCUCCUCGGCCUGCCCGAGGACUCUAUUGACUAUUGGGAAGAACUGCACCAGGCGUUUAUUGACAAUUUCAUCGCUACCUGCAAGCAGCCUGGGAACAAGUACGAUCUCGAGAGAAUAAGGGACCGGAAGAACGAGCCUUUAUGUGAUUACAUCCGACGGUUCUCGGAUAUGCGCCUCAAGAUUCCAAAAAUUUCUCACGACGAGGCCAUAUGAGCCUUCAUCAAAGGCCUACGCUUCCAUGAAGCAUUAAGGAAUAAACUACUACACAAACGGCCGACCACAGUUGCCGAGCUUCUCGCCACAGCAAAAAACUACGCCGAUGCCGACGACGCAGAAAAACUCAUUCGAGAAGAUGCGAGAGGCACCGACCAGCCUCCCCGACGAGACGACAACCGUGGACGCUUCGACAACAGGAACCCUCAUCGCGCUGACAACCGCGACCACAGAGAAGGUUGGGACAGAUGACGCGACAAUCGCGACGACUUCAGGGGCAAGCGACCUCGUGACCACGACCACGAGGUGAAUACAGUCAAGCGCCCCAAUGGGCGGCAAGACUACCAGGAAGACUACAACAAGACGUUGAAAGGACCAUGCCAACGCCAUCCCAAGUCCAAUCACACGAUGGAAGAAUGCUGUGUCCUCAAAAGCAUCUACACACAACGGGCUGCUCAAGGGGAUUUCGCCAAGAAAAACGGGAAGCAGGACAGACAUGGUUACGAAGACGAAGAUGACGACCAGGAUAGGGACCCACGACACCAGUAUGUCAGUCCCACCGACGUGGUCCAUUCUAUCUUUGGAGGCAAAGUUUCCAUCGAGUCCAAACAAGAGAGAAAGCUCCUGAAGAGAGCCUGCCUCAAUGUGGACAGCACAGACGGCCUGGUCGCCGACCCGAAGUUUACUCCCUGGUCGCACAGGGAGAUCUCCUUCAACAGGAAGGACCAAUGGGCCGCCAUCCCAGAACCAGGACGUUUCCCCCUGAUCCUGGAUCCUUGCAGCAACAGCGUCAGAUUCGAGCGCGUGCUCGUUGAUGGUGGCAGCUCCAUUGAUAUUCUCUUCCGCAAUAGCCUGCCUGCUCUCAAGCUAACCCCGGCGUAGCUAAAGCCGUAUGACGCUCAAUUCUAGGGAGUCCUGCCAGGUCAAAGUUUAGUACCCCUCAGACAGAUAACGCUGCCUGUCUAGUUUGGAACACCUGACCACUUUCGAACAGAGUUUGUCAACUUUGUGGUCGCCGACUUCGACGGCACUUACCAUGCAAUCCUGGGCCGACCAUCGCUGACAAAGUUCAUGGCAGUUCCACACUACUCAUACGUGGUCCUCAAGAUGCCAACAAAGAAGGGCGUCCUAACUGUCAGAGGCAAUGUCUACACCGCAUACACUUGCGAGGAGGAAAGCUUCAAGAUCAUCGAGGCAAUCGAUCUCUCGAUCCGCAUGGCAGAAAUCGUAGCCCAAGCUACGCAGGUUCCAUCCGACCAGCUUCAACUACCCGAACAGGAGACUCCGCGGAAAAAUUCAAAGUCCAAAGAGCACAAGGAGGUGCAGCUGGUCGACGGCAGCCCCGAGAAAACCGCUCUCAUCGGGGCUAACCUAGACCCCAAAUAGGAAGACGCGCUCGUCAGGUUUCUAAGGGACAACAUAAGCGUUUUCGCAUGGAAACCCGUAGACAUGCCCGGCGUCCCAUGAAACCUGAUCGAGCACUCCUUAAACAUCUCGAAAACUGCAAGACCUAUCAAGCAGAAGCUACGACGGUUCGCUCGUGACAAAAAGGAGGCUAUUAGGACAGAAAUAACACGGCUUCUAGCAGCCAGAUUCAUUAAAGAAGUGUAUCAUCCUGAUUGGCUCGCCAAUCCGGUUCUUGUAAGAAAAAAGAAUAAUGAAUGGAUAAUGUGCGUUGAUUACACUGAUCUCAAUAAACACUGUCCUAAAGAUCCCUUUGGUCUCCCUCGCAUCGACGAGGUGGUCGACUCAACGGCCGGAUGCGAAGUCCUCUCUUUUCUAGAUUGCUACUCUGGUUAUCACCAGAUCUCACUAAAGGAAGACGACCAGAUCAAAACAUCUUUUAUCACUCCUUUCGGUGCAUACUGCUACACGACCAUGUCCUUCGGGCUCAAAAAUGCUGGAGCUACUUAUCAACGGGCCAUUCAGCAAUGCCUCCACGACGAGAUUCUUGACGACCUCGUCGAGGCCUAUGUAGAUGACGUCGUCGUCAAAACAAGGGACGCAAGCACUCUAAUCGACAACCUAGACCGAACUUUUAAGGCACUGAAUAAAUACAAGUGGAAGCUUAACCCCAAAAAGUGUAUCUUUGGGGUCCCCUCUGGACUACUGCUCGGCAACGUCGUCAGCCGCGACGGCAUAUGACCGAAUCCUUCAAAAGUUAAGGUAGUACUCGAUAUGCGACCACCUAAGAAUCUCAAGGAUAUUCAAAAGCUCACCGGAUGUAUGGCUGCUCUCAGCCGUUUUAUCUCUAGGAUGGGAGAAAAAGGCCUCCCCUUCUUCAAACUUCUAAAGGCGCCGGAAAAAUUCUCCUGGACAGAGGAAGCCGACGCUGCAUUCACCCAGCUCAAAACUUUCCUCACCUCACCACCCGUCCUCACAGCACCUCAACCUAAUGAGGACCUGCUCCUUUACAUAGCAGCAACAGAUCGGUUUGUUUCCACGACAAUGGUGGUCGAACGGGACGAGCCAGGCCACGUCUACAAAGUCCAGAGGCCUGCUUCAUAAGCAAAGUCUUAAUGAAUCCAAGACCAGGUAUCCUCAGGUACAAAAGUUAAUUUACGCCAUCCUGAUAACCUCAAGGAAGCUGAAGCAUUACUUCGAUGGCCAUCGGGUCUUAGUAACCACCAGUUUCCCUUUGGGGGACACUUUGCGCAACAAGGACACCAACGACAGAAUUGUAAAAUGGGCAAUGGAAUUAUGCCCAUUCUCCCUGGAUUUCCAGAGUCGCACUACCGUCAAGUCCCAGGCCCUGGUCGAUUUCAUCGCGGAAUGGACGGACCUCAACGAGCCCUCCUCUUCGGAUACCUCCGACCACUGGUCAAUGUUCUUUGAUGGGUCGCUAAAAUAUCAAUGGCACCGACGCCGGAAUACUCUUUGUGUCGCCUAACAAGGACAAACUUCGUUACUGUUGACGGUCCUUAAUGCUCACAUUUAACCAUCAACUAAUCAUGGAAAAAAGACUUAUAUGCAGCCAACACCUAGACUUAGGGUUUUAUCUGACAGAAUUCCACGAGUUUUGGUGUUUGUCUAUUUCUGCAGGGGGUUAUCAGGAAAUAUGAAAGAAAGGCCCACACGUCGGGUUUACAUAGAGAUAUUAACGUGCCGUGUAAUUUUCUACCAUUUAGAAGACUCCAGAAGCCACGGGAACGAACGGGAGGCCGAUCGGGCCCGGGGGCAGGGCGCCCGCCCAGCUACAGUAACCAAUCAGCUUCAACUUCGCGGAUCAUGCUCCACCGACCUAAGGGACCAAGGAAAACCGUGCGAUUAUUGUCGGUUUGAUCCGACGGCCCAGAUUCAUCUGAAAAGACUAUAUAAGCAAGCCCCCCUGGCCCCUAGAGAGCAUACCUCUUCUACAGAAUCAAAGCUAGGGUUUCAAUUCUUCAUCCAAGUAGAGAGGAUCCCUCUAGUUCUUCUAGUUCUACCUCUAGUUCAUCUAGAUCUAGUUCUAGUUCAUCUAGUUCUAGUUCUAGUUCCUCUAGUUCUAGUUCUAGUUUGUUCUAGUUGUAAUCUAGAAAAUAGGGAGAGAGAAGAGGAGAGCGGAGGAGGAGCCGGAUAUGUCGGAUCUUCCUCAACAUUGUACUUUUGCAGCAACUGGUUCGUUCUUCAUCGUUCUCCAGGUUCUUCAAUUCAUAAUUCCUGAGUUCUUUAAUUACUUUUAUUUACAUUCAAGUUAUUUAUUAGAUUCCUGCUUGCAUCAAGUGCUCUAAUCAUUAUAACACUAGAGUAGUAAUUAAUAGAUUAGAUGUGGUGUUUAGUCUUGCAAUUACCUGGAAUUGCACCAAAUCCUGCGGAUUGUUGUGGUAGCCUUAGGGUAGUGACAGCCCUAACGGUUGACGUAUUCCACCUCAUUCGGAUCGGUGUUUGUAGGACCGUAGUCAGACCUUCCUAGCCCCCUUCUCAUCUCUUUCUGUGGUUAGUGCUCUGAUGUCCCGAUAUAGAUAAUCUUGAAGUAAUUCUUGAUUCUUAGAUCAACUAGAGAACUCUCAGGAAACUUCCUCUCUUCCCACAAAAAAUAUUCAUAUAGUUAUCCUUGGGCCAUCUUGGAUCUUAAUUAGUACACUCACGUUCUCUGUGGAAAAUCGAUACUCUCGAAUACUCCCGGGUGAAAGCUACAUCGGUAUCCGUGCGCUUGCGGAUUUUUCUGUUUGCGUUUAAAAUACCCAACAGUUACGUUCUUAGGAUCCUCUUUCCGACAUCCAACAACGUCGCCGAAUACGAAGCAUGCCUACAUGGCAUACGACUGGCCGUCGAACUGGGAGUCAAACGCCUUUACGUCCACGGUGACUCCGCCCUAGUCAUCAACCAGUUAAACAAGGAAUGUGACACAACCCACAAAAAGAUGGACCUCUAUUGCAAAGAAAUUCGGAAAUGGGAAUCCAAUUUCUACGGCAUAGAAUACAUACAUGUGGUCCGGGAUAGGAACCAGGCAGCAGAUGCGUUGUCAAAAAUAGGGUCAUCUCGGGCCCAGAUUCCGCAAGGCGUUUUCGUUCAAGACAUCCACACGCCAAGUGUCGGUAUAGACCUGGUCGACAAGCAAGCCAAUGAGGCAAUGCUCAUAGACAAUACCAAUCCGACAACCAGCGGCCAUGAUUGGCACACUCCCUUCAUCAAGUAUAUAUCGAAUAGAUCGGGUUUUCAAGAUAAAACGGAGAACGAGCGCCUCAUUCGGUGGUCCAAGAAUUACAUACUGGUUGACGGCAAACUUAUGCGAAAGAAUGCAAGCUCAGAAGUGUUGCUGAAAUGCAUAUCCCAGGAUGAUGGCGUCAAGCUCUUAGAUGACAUACAUGCCGGGUCCUGCGCCAACCACGCUGCCUCCAGAACACUGGUCGGGAAGGCCUUCCGAGCAGGUUUCUACUGGCCAACCGUGGUCACCGAUGCUGAGAAACUGGUCCGACGCUGUGAAGGAUGCCAGUUCUUUGCCAAGAGGACCCACGUGCCUGCUCACGAGAUUCAAACGAUUCCGUCGUCCUGGCCUUUUGCCUGUUGGGGCCUUGACAUGAUCGGGCCAUUUAAGCCGGCCCCCGGCAACUUCAAGUUCAUCUUCAUGCUAAUCGACAAGUUCUCGAAGUGGAUUGAGUACACGCCACUGGUCAAAGCAACCUCCAAGAAGGCUGUGGAUUUCCUCAAUCAAAUCAUACACAGAUUCGGGAUCCCCAAUAGCAUAAUCACUGACCUGGGCACUCAGUUCACCGGCACUACAUUUUGGGACUUCUGCGAUGACAGGGGCAUAGUCAUAAAGUAUGUGUCGGUAGCUCACCCACGGGCCAACGGUCAAGUGGAGCGAGCGAAUGGAACGAUCAUCGAUGCUCUAAAGAAAAGACUGUACAUGGAAAACGACAAAGCACCAGGACGAUGGAUGAAAGAGUUACCAGCUGUGGUCUGGGGUCUCUGGACACAGGCCAGCCGCAAUAUGGGUGUAUCACCCUACUUCAUGGUUUACGGCACUGAAGCAGUGCUCCCUUCCGACGUAACCUUUGGAUCUCCAAGAGUCGAGAAUUUCGACCAGUCUUCGGCUGACCUCGCCAGAGAGCUCGAAAAUCAACUACACAGAAGAAAGGCGCCUAACCUCGUGCCUUCCAACAGCAAAGUAUCUCGAAGCUGUUAGAUGGUACCACAACAGGAACGUCAAAGACCACUCCUUCAUGGUCGGUGAUCUGGUACUCAAGUGGACAACAAGCUAGGAAGGAAUGCACAAGUUAUCUACACCUUGGGAAGGACCCUUUGUGGUCGCCGAAGUCACACGCCCUACAUCUUACAGACUGGCGUACCCAGACGGGACACGCUUUCCCAACUCCUGGCACAUAGACAAGCUGCGCCGUUUCUAUCCCUAAGUUCCAGUACAUUUCAUUUGUAAAUCUCUUACGAUCAGUAGUAAUAAACAUUUUUUAUUUCUUGCUAUAUACUUCUUUUAUAUGUAGAACUUUCGACAAGUGUCACAAUCUUCUUUUAGGACGAAGGUCCUUAAGGGUUAUCCACCCGACUCAGUGAUACAUCACUCAGACAACAUUGUAGCACUCAAAACCAUGGUUAUGAUAAAUCAACCUUUAUUACAAACUUUAUAUACAAAGUUUACAAUAAACACCCCUCUGGGCGGUCCCUAGUCUACUUCUACAGACUACUCUACAGGCCUACUGCUCGGGCUGAUCACCCGCACGGCCCUGCUGUCCAGUCGAAGGGGUCGGGGCCACCGACGUCUGGCUGGUCGAGACCGCAGGCGUCGACCGCCCAUGUCCUGCAAUGGACGCCCCCGACAACUCUCUGGCCGACCUAUCUGACCCGGGCUGGUUAGGGGGAGUUGCUGUCCCGCAGAGGUUGAUGUCACCGAUCAAUGUCGACGACAGAUCGAGCAGACCAACACGAAGGUCGUCUGCCUCCUGCGGACCAACCUCCUUGGGAUACCCCUCUCCAGCUGGGACAAGUCGACCAAGGGGUAGUGGGCACGCACCAUGCUGAGGACGUGCGCACCGGCAAAUUCCCUGGCGUCCGUGACAAACUGCUGAAGCCAGCCCCACGCUCGUUGCGCCUUCUCGACCGGGGUCAGCCUCGGUGCAUGGGGCUGGUCUUCGGGAAGCUCGGGGCUGAUCAAGUCAAGAACCGGGAUUACUUCUUUCUAGAUCUUGAUACAGUUGGCCUUCCAGGAGUCGCGGUCCUUGACCAGGUCGUCGAGGUGUUUCUUCGUAUUGACUUUAAGCACUAUAGAAAUGCAAGCAAGAGGUCAGUAUAAAGCGAGAGGAGGAAAGUUGUGUAAACAAAAGCAGCGAAAUGGCUCCUACCAGCCAACUCUCGACUCCUAUUCUUCAGCUCCUUGUUAGCCUGCUGCCCGGCCUCCAGCGCGUCGGCAUGCUCCUGGUCGAGCCGUUCCUUUUCUUGUCGGAGGCGUGCAACCUCCUCCUCCAAGUCUGUAGGAGUAAUUGCUGGUCAACAAAACCGACCACGCGGUUAUAUACAACUGCUCAGAAUGCAUGACUCCCCUUUCUUUUCCGGAUCCUUGUCGGCUAGUCGCCGAUUGAGAUCGAGCAGGCGCUCUUCCUGAGCACCCAUCUCGGCCGCCUUCUCCUCGGCCUCUGACCGAAGACGGUCUACUUCUGCGGUCAGGGCCUUAUUCUUGGCCACGACCCUUCAAUCUGGUCGAAGCACCUUUUCCUGUACUUCACCGUUUUCAUUGCGCCCUACACAGGAAUUACAUAUAUUGAAGCAAGCGACAGUACAUAUACAUUUCAGGCAGAACGCAAGACCGCUUACCUUAACCUCAUCAACGAGCCGCUUAGCUGCGCGCUCCACCCUCGCGCCUCCUCCGUCUCCGCGAGUUCUUCAUGACCAAUGAAAUGGUCCCCACGUUGGCGCCACACGUAAACGUGUUGGCGACCAUCAUGGGGGCGACCUUGGAUUUCUUCUACUUCGUCGUCGGAGGCCGCCUGGGUCUCCUCGCCCUCUGCGCUACCCCCAACCAUGGUCACAGGUAUCACUAGACCCUUAUCACGGCCAGGGGAGCCCUUUGGCGAAGAGGUUUCUGUUUGGGGUGGAGUUGGGGCCCUCCUUUCUUCAGCGGGCGGGGGAGUCGGCGCCCUGUCUCCCUCCUCCGCGACACUGCUCGGGGGAGGCGUCCUUGCAGCCUCAUCCCUUGCAGGAGUGCUCACUCCGGUCCUCGCCUGAGCUGGGUCCUCCUCGGCAGUCUCCGCCGCGAUCACCACCGUGGGCUGCACCUCGGUUUGUUCCUGGGUGGUCUGUUGCGCGACGUCUUUGACGACAACCGCUGGCUCGGCCGUCUUCUGGCUAUCGACGUUGUCCGGAUCAACGUCAGACGCCGUACUAACAAAAAUGCGACAUUUUACCAAUGUCAAAAAAUGCAGCACCAAAACAAAAAACAAAUAGGAGGAAGCGUAGAAGUGAGAUUAUACAACUUAUAGAUCGGAGCGCCUAUGUGUCGCUGUGAAGAACCUCCUUCUGGUCCUACCAGUCGCCGCCGCCGCCUCUGUCUCUCCAAGACGCGUCGGCUCGGCGUGUGGGGCAGGAGGGUCACUGGUCACCCAACCAGUAGUGAUCGGCGCGACGUCUGGACGACUGCGCGGCCUUCGGACCAAAGAGGGCACAGCCUCCUCCUCCUCCUCCUCAUCGUCGGCGAUCCUAAUGAGCCAACGACGCUUCGGAGCUUGGCUGGUCUCCGCCGGCAGCGUCUCCGCAGGAGAUGGAUCCACCGCCAUUGGCCUUUUCCCCGCCACCCUGUCCUCAGUGGUCGGGGCAGGGCGGUUCUGUUCCUACUCACUGCUGGUGUAUUGAGGACACCGAGCAGCAUCGCCCUCCGGCGGGUCCAUCCCCGCAGGAUUCUCCAUACCAGGUGCCAGUGACACGUACACUGCGCACCGGUCAAUGUCUCCAAUCUGCAAUAACAACCAACAACAAGUCAUCAACCAAGAGGCAACAGUAUUCACAUGACAAUACUAAUCAAUAACAAUAUUUAUUUACCUUAGGAGCUGGCCGUUGUUGACGGUCCUUAAGUAUCAAAUUUAAUUAUCAAAUAAACAAAGAAAAGGAUCCAAAUGAAAUCAACAUCUAGACUUAGGGUUUUAUCUGAUAGAAUUCCACGAGUUUUGGUGUUUGUCUAUUUCUGCAGGGGGUUAUCAGGAAAUAAGAAAGAAAGGCCCACAUGUCAGGAUUACAUAGAGAUAUCAACGCACCGCGCAAUUUUCUACCAUCUAGAAGACUCCAAAAGCCACGAGACCGAAGCGGAGGCGAAACGGGGCCAGGACCUGGGUGCCCGCCCAGUUUCCUUGGGCGCCCGCCCACCUGCCGAGGCCAAUCAGGACUCUUUCUCUCGGGAGAUCUCCACCGACCUAUUGGAUUCAGAAUAACGUAGUACCACCUCGCCUACCGACCCAAAAACGCAUAGAAGGGGAGGACUAUAUAAGGAGACCCCCCUGGCCCCUGCAGAAGACAAGAAAUUAUCAUAGAGAUUGAGGGGUGCUCUCGAAGGAAAACCUCUUCUCUAAAUAAUAUUUCUUUUUAGGCUUAGCAACCAAUGUAAAGUAGAAAUAGAUCUUCUAGUUUCUACUAGAUUGAGAGAGAUAGAGUGGAGGUGUGGAUCGGAGGAAGGCCGGCCUGUCGGUGUCUACUCCGAGUUGUACCUGUGGGAUCAAGUCUCCUAACCCGAGGCUUGCUUCUAAGAUUCUUCAGUAAUUCGACUUCUAAUUCUAGUAAGUUCUUGUUUUAUUGUUCUUUGGUUUAUGAGUUUACUUUAAUCCUCUUCCGGUUGAGUGUUAGAGUAAUCACUUGCUAGCGUAAACGUGGUGUUUAGGCUAGGGUACUCAUAGAUAUCCCAUGACUAGCUGGACCGUGGUAGUAGCGAGGAACGUGACAUUUCCGAGUUACCUUUGUAUCCCAUAUCUUGUUAGUAGGACGGGUAGGUUUAUAGGUGCGGGUCGAACAUCCUUUGUGUUGUCUAGAUUCCGUGAGCCUCCCCAAUAGAACGGUAGAUCAUCCUUACCAAGGUUAGAAUGAGACUACGGUUGCAGUCUUCUCUAUACAUCACUCACAUCGAGAGACAUUCUUUGUAGCCUAAAGGGAUAGUAGCAAUAGAUUUGGUUAGUCAGAUGCACCCUUUCUCCCAGUGGUAAAAAUAUAAAUACGAUACUCUGGAAAACCUCCCGGGUGAAAUGCUCACCGAUAUCCGUGCGCUUGCGUUACCAAAUAUCAACAAGCAUUUCUGGCACCGUUGCCGGGGAGAAAGACGGUUUGCUGAGAUAACUUUGAGUCUUGCUAUUAUCUUGUAUUAUACUUUUAUGCUUUUAUUCUUUUAUCUUUUUAUUUUUAUAUUUAUGGAUACUUUAAAUUCUAUACCUAUUAUUAAAUUCUUUACACCUUCGGAGACCAGCCAUAGACCAUGGGAGUCAACACGUCCUGCCCCUAAUUAUGAUCUGUGUCCGGAGUUGAUUGCAAUAGGUCAAAACCAACCCUUUUCUAUAGCCGAGGUCCUAUCUUUUAAUCAAGAAGAUAAUGCACUUUUAGCUACACCUAGGGAAUCUUUUAAUCUUUCUAUAAAUUCUGGUUUAGACCUAGCCCUACAAGACCAUGUUUUUCCUGAAUAUUUUCACAUUGGCCUUAAUCAUAUAACCUUUGGUAGAGUCCUUCUUUCUUUAUCUAUUAGUAAAGGAAGGUAUGUCUUCAUUCGUGGACAUCCUUCUUGUACUAGUCUUCAUAGAAAAAUCUUAGAAAUAGAGAAGGAAUCAUCUCCCAUACAAGGAAAGGAAGUUUCAAUAGCCAAUUUCCAAACAUUUCAAUCCCAUGAUUCGGCUAUCCAUCCCAUCCUUGAGUUUAAUAGUUUCUACUAUGCUCUUUCUCUUGAACCUCCCGAUAAUCCUAUGAAUCUCUCUAGACAUCCCAUGCAUAAGAAGGAGGAUCGAGAAGAGCAACAUCGAUGGCUAGAGGGCAUUAAAAAUCCAUGUGCUAUCACCAUUGAAUGGAUAGAUAAAACAAACUUGAGAGACAAUCCUAGAGGAAUUUUGAGCACUCAUGAAGAAUCAUCCUUGGAGUUUGAGAAUGAGAGAAACAACAGUGAGCAUGGAAGUUAUUUCAUAAAUACUUUACCAAGUCCUUGCUCAUAUAAAACAUCUCUCCAAUCAAUUGGUCUCUCCAUCCUUACCACAUUUGAGAUCUCCAACCCCCUCUUCCUUUCUAUUUAUAAAAACUUUAAAAGGGCGGUUGUCGAUGCAUAUGUCUAUAAUAAAUAUUGCAGAUCUCGUCGAGUUAAUUGAUGGUUUCCCAAGGACAAGCUUAGUGUCCUAAAACAAGCACUUAUCAGAUCGUAACAUGAACUUCUAAUUACUUGCAACAUUACCUUGUGUUGAGCAUAUAAGAUAAUUGUAGAAAUAUUCCUUCGGGUAUUCUUGUCACUAACCUUUUUAGGAUUGGAGCAAGAAGACCGGAUGAAUGACAAGCGCAAGGUAUGCCCAACCAAUCAACAUGCAACAUUGAAUUAAAUUCAUCCAAUCUUGAAUUUUGCAAAAUUCAAGCUUGGGGGAGUACUUCACAUAAAAACAUCCUUUGCCAUGUUGCUAUGUUGGUUGUCCUUACCUUUGAGACAUGCUCAAUUUGUUAAAUACUAAUCACACUACUUCAUCUCCACUUGAGUAGAUCUCUAUAAAAGCCAUCAUGCUACCUUUGUUUAUCCUAGUAAGUGUUAAUUUGGAAGUACUGGACACACUUCCAAUGGCAUUUAAAUUAAGCGUGGUGCUUAGGUUAAAUAGCCUUCCUUAAUCUGAUUAGACAUGGAGUCUAGUUUGGUUACUGAACUAAAAACUGCUUGAGUAGAUAUUGGUAUAUUUUGUGGGACUAACCCCUGCAGGAGAACUUUCAAUAUCAACCUGGGAAGUCCUGAGAUAAACUCACAUUGGAGAUGAAGAAAGUGACACAUGAAGUUUAACAAUUUGCACAAGAAAGACGUAGCUCAUAAGAGAUGAUUCAUGGAGGGUGCCACAAACACGAUGCACAACUGCUAAGAAAGGAAAGCUUCCACAAGGUGAUACUAUACCAUCACUCUUCAAUAACAUCUUAAAGUACUUGAUUAUCACUUUUAUAAGUUCUCCUUGGUUCUGGCAUACACAUGAAUAAAAGAGACAAACAUGUAUGAUUUAUAACUCCAAAUUAACCAACUCAAUUAAUUCAGCAUGUUUAGUCCUUUAAUCUUUGUUCUUAGUACUACCUUCGUGAUCCCACACUCCUAAUCAUAUAAGCUAAAGUAUUGCACAUUCAAUCUUUGGAAGAUAUAAACAAAACAUAAAUAUAGAUAGAUUAUCUUUCCAUUAGGUUGAGCCAUCUGAUCUAACAAAUGUUUUAAAUGCUACACUCAUGAUCCAUCAACUUUGCCUUGCUCACUAUGCUUAAGGUUAGAGAAGAACAAAUACACUUUUGGUUCUGUUGGUGUUUUCCACCAACAGGGCCCAUGCACUUGAUCUCUGUUGACACUUCUUAACGCAACCACCGGAUAUCGGCGACGGCGCCAGAAGUGCCCUGGUAGGGUAACUCUAUUUACUAUUGGAUAAUUCCGCAAGCGCACAGAAUGUACCGCUGUAGCACUUCACCAAGGAGUAUUCCAAGGUAUCGUAAUUUAUAUUUUCCCAAGGGAAAGCGGCUAAGUGUGUUUAACAAAAAGGGGAAUGAGAUUCCUUGAGUUAUCUAGUAUCAACUAGUGAAUAAGGGUGGUAAAUAACAAAUAGGAAGGGUAGUGGUGAAUCCAAGGUCCUAUGCUAAAGGUAAAUGGUAGAGUUAGCUAGGUGGGAGGACAACGAGUGAGUAAAGGACUCCUAUGUAUCUAACUUGACUUUUGUGACUUACUUUAAUAGAUAAUUGUCUUAACUACGCUAGAGCCUUACUAACUGUGUGCGAGGGAUAGCCGAGCUGGUAAGACGCUUAGAAGGUUUUUCACCUAACCCCUUACCGAAAGCGACUAUUGGGCUUAUGGACGCCUUACCUUUUAAGAACUAGCCUGUACGUGAGGAGAACCUAAUGCCGCCCACGAUCUGUCACCUACUAGGGAGUGCGCUCCUACUUUCCGUUCAAGCCAGCGGUAAUCAAAGGUAAUCUUAAGUAUGAGCACCACGCUCACACUUAAUCCUACAACGCUAACUAGUUGCAGCUAGCUAGAGCUCCUAUACAAGAUAGGACGAUGAUGCACACACAGGAGUGGUUACAGGUCACUAACUUCACUAAGACAACUAUAUUACUAAAGUAAAUGCACAACAAGACUAAAAGACUUGCACUAAGUAACAACUUAGUAAAGUAAAGUAAGAAUAAUAUAUUAAUAAAAGGAAAGUCUUACAAAAGUAGAAAGGUACAAGAGCUAUACCAGACUCUCCAGAAGACGACUCCGGAGACCCCGAGCUUCGCUCGACUCGACUCUAACUCCCACUCUAGACUAACUACUACUCUACUUGUAUGCUUGGAACUUGUAAUGCACUUGGCCUUGGAAUUGCACACUUGAAAUGAAGGAUGGAGGCUGCCUUUUAUAGAGGGAGAUGGAGUAGGGGUUACUCCAUCGCCACGUCAUCGAUCCGCGUGACAUCUUCUCUCCACCCUUGGAUCAAACCGACCUCACAACCGCCAUUUGAUCAACGGCAGGGGCAAAUCAACAUGUGGGACAUGUGGGGAAGGUCGGUGGGAGGCCACCGACCCUGGAACCGCCUUUGAUGUGGGGUCGGGCGACCCCACUUCUGGGCCUCUGGGCCCACCAGCAGUGUCCACAGGGGUCCCUUAUGUCGGUGGACUAGGUGGCACACCUGGGUCCCACCAAAGAGGGGUCGGGCGACCCCCUCCCUGUGGGCCCAGGGUGUCACCUGUUGUCCCCUCGAUCUCCUCUUGAUGAUUCUGAUGUUGGCUUUGUCAAAUAAUGUCUUGAAUUUGUUGUUCCUGCAUAAACAAGCUAAGAGUACAAGUGGAACUAGUUAUGGAUAAAAUAUGUUCAUGUCAUGUCGUUUCCCCUUGCAACCGAGGCAUGUUGACGGUGUUUUGUAUGUGGAUUUCUAUGGUAUAUCCACCGUCAACAAGAUCCCCCAAGCUUAACCUUUGCUCGUCCCGAGCAAACAAUCAAACUUAGCCUCGGUGGAUCAGGUAUUGUUACUAUGUUCACAUUUCAAGAGUACCAUGUGUACAACAAAGUUCUUCUCUUUGCAUGAAAAAUUUAGCUAUGUAAACUUACCCCUAUUACCUUAGUCCCUUAUGGGGCUUAUGGCUUUUCCUUUGUCUUAGGUGGUUGAGAGACAGAACAGUUUGACUUGAGCACUAACUUUCUCAUUCUUAGCAAGUUUGAUAUCAGAGGUUUUGUGAUAUUUUCAAAAGAAAGCUUAAAUGUUCCUCUUAUGGUUCUCUCAUGUCACUCAAAUGGUGUAUGAUUCCUCACCAAGGCAUAUGGUCAGAGUUGCCUUCUCUAUUUCAUCCUAUUUCUAAAAGGCUUAUGUGGAGUUCAAGGUAGGGAUGAAAGGAGAUAGCAUACUUACUUUGCAUGUAUUGCGAAGUCAAAGCUCGGAUCCUUGAAGAGAAGUGUCAUACUCCCAGAUCAAGAUGUGCAAGUGUGAUAUAUGGUGGAACUAGGUUGCUCCUUUAUUUGAUAGACUCUCUAUGUAUUGAGACAUGGCUAGCAUUUUUUUCUUUUUUUUUUGUUUAUAUAUGAGCUUUCAUGUGCUCAAUUUUCUUUUUCUGUGGACUUGCACAUGUCCAUCUUUUUAUUUCAUUUUGCCUAGCCUUUUGAUGUCUCAUUUACCAAAUAAUGCUUAGAGAGAUGUUCUAACAUUUAGAGUAUGGAGCAACCUAUUUAGUGGAUGCGAAAUACAUGUGGUUGCGUACUUCCAGUGUAGAAGCAGCAUAUAUAUAUGUGGUGUGUACGUGAUCUUGAUCUUAGGAGCAUGAAAAGUCUCUUAACAAGGGUCAACAAGACUUGACGACACUCAACACAAAGCAAAUAGCUUAUGUGGAAAGGUUGCAAUUAUGUAAAGUAGAUAUGGCUGUGGUAGGAAUUCAUCACCAUUGAGGAACAAUUAAGGUUUUGAUCAUUUUAAGAAUAAAUCUCUGAUAAUCAUGCAUGCUUAGAAAAAUAUUAUAGUAGCUCUUGUCUUACUAUCUCAUGUCCCACAACAACUUAGACUUAGUUCUAGCACUUGCAACCCACAAAGUUUUUAGGUUCAUGGCAGUUUAAGUGAGCUAAGUGAUCCAUACUUAGAGAAAUACUAAGUUGUAUACUAGGCACUAGAGAAACAUUAACAAGCAACUAGUCAUAAUUUCCAUGAGGGAUAUAAACAUACAUGAAGCAUAUAUGCUAAAGGGAAAUGCUAAUAAAUAUUUAUUUAUUUUUUUAAGUAAGAAUGAUAAAAUGUAUGAAAAUAAAUAGGAUAGAAUACUUACCUUAGUGGGGGAGAGGAUCUCCCCCAAGCUAGAUCUUCGCUCACUGUGGUGGCGGGAAAUUCUGGUACCAUCCGGCCCAACGUUGUGCGUCUUCCUCUCGCACACGUCGGAUAUGUUGGCCGUUUUGUAACGCCAGUUGCAAUGUUGCUUCUUGCCCAAUCUGCAAUUCGCCCAUGUCAUUAAUGAGACUGUCCAUACCUGUGGGCUGGUGACGCCUAGCCCUGUCCCUUGGGCGUGGAGUGCGUUGUGGAGGUAGACCCAUGGAGUCUGAAGCAUCCACUGACAUCGCUUCAUCGCCCUCUUCAACAUCAUGGUGCGAGGAUCCUCCUUGCUCCAUCUGGGCGGCUUGCAUCAUCCUUCUUGUCACCCUGCGUGUCCCUGCAACAUCUGGACUUGCCACUCGGGCUAGUCUAAUGGUAAGUGUGCGGACCCCAUACAACCGGCGCCUCGCACAUGGGAGAGGAAUUUCGGUUGUAUAGCCCGGAUAAAUCAUUUUAAGUUCACCAUUUGGAUCUCUUAUGAGCAUGUUAGCAUUGAUAAAGAAGUUCUCAUCUACCACUCCUCUAACAUAGCCAAUGUCUUCAAAAUAAUGUGAUUCAAGUAAUCCAAAAGUAUCGGCUAUUCGAGUAAUAAAGGAUGUGAAAUAGAUGGGCUUCCCAUACUCAAUAGAGUUAAGCCAAUAGUUCACUAGCAGUUUCACAGGGGAGACCUUGAUUUUACUAACCAUGGCAUAGAGAAUUUUAAGUUCAUCAUCAAUUAAAGUAUCAGUUCCCAUGCCAGGAUAUAGAGUGCACAUGAUCCAGAAGUGAAGAAAGCGCAAGGUUGGAUUAUGGAUUUCAAUGGGAGUAGGAUUUGAACAAUCAUUAGAGCCAGAAAUUGCUUUCCAGAAUCUAAAUUUAUCGAACAUUCUAGUGGCAUGAUCUAGAUCAAGUUCACAUUCAUGUUCACACCCUAAAGCAGUGUUUAGCAAACUCCAAUUUAAUUGAUGUUCUUGCUCACACAUGCGAAAAGAUAUUCCAUUAUUUGUGAGUUUUAGGGUGCAUAGAAAUUCCUUAGCAAGCAAUUCUUUUCCAAAUUCAGGCACUUGCCAAAAACUACUCCAACCAAUUGCUCUAAACACCUUAUCGAAUUCAACAUCCAUACCUGUGCGGGCCAAAAGGUCCGGAUCGAUGAUGCUAGUGUGUAGGAAGAGACCCUCUCGGAUGAUGUAGUACCUUUGCAACUCUUCUUGGCUUAACAUGAGGCCGCUCUCGGGCUCUCUCAUCCUUGAUGGAGGCUCGUAGGGUACCAUCCCAUGGUAACCUUCUUCUUUCUCCCUUCCAUGAGCAUGGUGAGAGCCUUGAGAAGAGCUCUCACCCUUUGCUUUCUUGAACUUGCCGAAGAUAUGCUUCUUCAUCCUCCUACACAAGUGAGGCAAACCAAGCUCCUACUACUACUACUAUGCAAGGGGAAUCUUUUUGGGUUUUUGUUUUGAUGACUAUUUCUAAACUAAACUUGAGAAAUGGCUUGUAACAAAGAGAGAAGAGAAAGGAUUGUGAGCUCGAAAUGGUUCUGGUGGUUUUGGGUGUGGAGUUGAGCUCACAAUGCUGUGGUAUUUAUAGGGGGAGAAGGGCAAGUAGUGGACCCACAAUAUAGGGGUCGGCCGACCCCCCCUAGAAGCACUUUGAAUUUGAGUUUAGCUUUAUACAGGGAACCAUUCUGCAUGCUUUCAAGAUUUUGCAGAGAUGGUCCAAAAUGGGGGUCGGCCGACCCCCAUCCUAGCCCCUCCUCCACUUUAAACAUUGUGUCAUUGAUUGUCCGGAAAAGUAAAGGCUAGGUGUGGACCAAAAGUUUUCAAAUUGUUUCUGAGAUUCCCUGUUUUAGUGCUUUGUGAAAGGUAAAAGAUGAAUGGCAAAAGUGGAGACAUGUCUAAAGUGAUUCCUAUGGACCAUGGGAGCACUCAAGCAUGCCUAGGUGACCACUUUGCAGAAUUUAAGCUAGUGGAGUGGUCCCAAAAGAAUCAAAGAUGAAAGGAGCAUCUUAUGACUAAAGUAAAGGAUCAAGGGACCACUCUUUUUCAAACUUCAGCUAGUGUUACAAGCAUAGGACUCCAUUGUGAUUCAAAUGGUGGCCAGCAGGAGGCAAGUGGGGCCAAUAUGGGGGUCGGCCGACCCCCACAUUGGAGCUCCCAGAGCAUCCAAGUGCUGGGUUGGAACCUCUAUGACUAGCAAGGUUGAAAUGCGGUGAAGUGGGCCCCAAGGUGGGGUCGGGCGACCCCCCUUUGGGAGCUCCAGCAGCUCAAAUUUUUAUGACAAGUUAUUCUCAAGAUUUUAUUUAUUAUGGCUAAACAUUUUGUCGAAAUAAGAUAUGCAAAAUUCAAAGUAAGAAUGCAAUUGAAAAGUGAAUAGUAGAAAUUGAAAUGCAGAAAAUAAAUAUGGGAUAACUACUGAUUUACCUUAUCAGCAAGGGCUCCAUGUUUUAGGUCCAUAGAGCAGGACCUCUCCAUCUUGUUCAUCCUUCGGGUGCAUCAGAUGGUCCCGGAGACGUGGACCUUGAUUGCACCUCUUUCUCCCGCCAUACUUGCUUGGUAUUGAUUUUUGGUUCAGCGGGUUCCUCUUCUUUCUUUUCGGCCCUUUUGGCCGACUUACCUCUCUUGUCCCUUCGGCGUCGGAUGUGGCGAGGCUUAGUCGGAGGUUCUUUGUCCUUCACCUGCAUGUUAGCUUUAUAACCAUUGAAUGGACAUUUUACCUUCCAUCCUGGGAAUUGGAGGUGAAUCUGGCCGGACCCCACAUAGAUGACUGCAUUGACCGUGUUGAGGAAUGGCCUUCCCAAGAUGAUCGAGACAUCAUUAUUGGAUCCCAUAUCUAGAAUGAUGAAGUCGGCAGGGACGUAGUCGUCUUGAACCUUUACCAGUAUGUCCCUUGCCAACCCCUCAGGGAACCUGAUCGUCUGAUCUGCCAUCUGCAAACGAACAAAUGUGGGGUGCAAAGGCCCCCCUAGCAAAUUAUCAUAAGUUACCUUGGCCAUGAUGUUGACACCCGAUCCAAGGUCGCAGAAGGCGUUGUGGAAGAUUUGCGGUCCGAUCUCACAGGUGAUGGUCGGCAGGCCUGGGUCGUCCUUCUUGGUGAUGAAGGGCGAAUCCAGAAGAUAGCUCCAGUUGGAUUGUACCGGAGGCUUAACGAACCUCGUAGUAACUAGUUUAACUCCUUCAAUUGGGUCCUCAGGUUUCCCUGGGAUCUUACCUUGCUCGAAGGAUGGGACAGCUGCUGCUAAUUGAGCUAAUUGUGUUUCUAGCAUUUUGUUAAAGCUCAACUGAUUUUUCAUAGCAGAGUUAAAGCUAUCCAACUUUUCACUUAAGUUUUCAAGGAUCUUAUCAUUAGCCAUCAUUUUCUUGUUAAUGCUAUCAUUGAUUUUAGAUUGGCCUAAGACAAGAUCUCUAAGAGAAGGUUGGUUACCAAAAGAAUUAUUGAAAUUUUGAUUGUAACCAUUACCUUGAUUACCUUGGUAGAAAGGGCGCGAGUUCCAUUGCUGUUGUUGGGGCCGGUACCCAUUGUUGUUGUUGUUGAUGAAGCUCACUUCCUCCUUUGUUUCGGGACAAUUGUUUCCCGAAUGAUCAUCUCCUCCGCACACUUCGCACCAUGAAUCAGAUUCAAUGGCCCGUGCAGUGGCGUAAGGUUGAAUGGUCUCUUGCUUGGAACUUUCUUCCAUCUUCUUCAUUAAGAGGUCCAUCUUAGCAGAGAGCAUGUCCACCUCAUUCAAGGCAUGGACACCUCUUCUCUUGGGUUGGAGGCAUUCCUCAUUCCAUCCUUGGUUUAUAACCAUCUUUUCAAUGAGGUCCUUGGCAUCCUUGACAUUGUGUUGCAAGAAUGCUCCUCCAGCGGCAGCAUCAAGGUGACUACGGGCCAAACCGGUCAGGCCAUGGUAGAAACCUUGGAUUAGGAGCCACUCCUCUAUCCCAUGAUGAGGACAGGCGCGAAUGUACUCCUGCAGACGUUCCCAUGCUUCGGGAAUCGUCUCAUCUGCUUGCUGUUGGAAGCUGGAAAUCUUUCCACGAAGGGCGCUGGUCUUGCCCAUCGGAAAGAACUUCUUGAGAAAUGCAUUGGCGCACCUCUCCCACGUGGUCACUUCACCCUUGUUGGCGUAGAACCAUUGCUUCGCCUUCCCCAAUAACGAGAAUGGGAAGAGGCGAAGACGGAUGGCGUCUGCGGCGACAUUCUUGAUGGUGAAGGUGCCGCACACCUCCAAGAAGUGUUGGAGAUGGGCAUUGGCAUCCUCGUGUGGCUUUCCACAGAAGGGAUUAGCUUGCACCAUAUUGAUAAGCGCAGGCUUCAACUCAAAAGUCGCAUCCCCCAAGUUAAGCUGCGGACCCGUGGCGACAUUGUCAGCCGACGGCGCAGAGUACUCAGAGAUGGUCUUUUGGGCCAUAGCUUCUUUGAUAACCGGUGCAGAUACUCCUUCCUCUAACGGAUUCAGGUUCGAGAUGAACCUUUGAGGUGGAACUUGACGACGUCUAGUUCUCCUCAACAGUUGCUCAGGAUCUUCAACGAAGUUUGACGGCAAUUGGAAACCGCUCAUACACUGUCAGGCUUCACAAUAAAGGAAGACAAGACAAGUGAUGGGUUAUCCCUAUCACUACUUGAUAACUAGCAAACUCUGGAUUCUCUUUUUGUUAAAACUCUUAGACAGACGCUCUCCCCGGCAACGGCGCCAGAAAUGCUUGUUGACACUUCUUAACGCAACCACCGGAUAUCGGCGACGGCGCCAGAAGUGCCCUGGUAGGGUAACUCUAUUUACUAUUGGAUAAUUCCGCAAGCGCACAGAAUGUACCGCUGUAGCACUUCACCAAGGAGUAUUCCAAGGUAUCGUAAUUUAUAUUUUCCCAAGGGAAAGCGGCUAAGUGUGUUUAACAAAAAGGGGAAUGAGAUUCCUUGAGUUAUCUAGUAUCAACUAGUGAAUAAGGGUGGUAAAUAACAAAUAGGAAGGGUAGUGGUGAAUCCAAGGUCCUAUGCUAAAGGUAAAUGGUAGAGUUAGCUAGGUGGGAGGACAACGAGUGAGUAAAGGACUCCUAUGUAUCUAACUUGACUUUUGUGACUUACUUUAAUAGAUAAUUGUCUUAACUACGCUAGAGCCUUACUAACUGUGUGCGAGGGAUAGCCGAGCUGGUAAGACGCUUAGAAGGUUUUUCACCUAACCCCUUACCGAAAGCGACUAUUGGGCUUAUGGACGCCUUACCUUUUAAGAACUAGCCUGUACGUGAGGAGAACCUAAUGCCGCCCACGAUCUGUCACCUACUAGGGAGUGCGCUCCUACUUUCCGUUCAAGCCAGCGGUAAUCAAAGGUAAUCUUAAGUAUGAGCACCACGCUCACACUUAAUCCUACAACGCUAACUAGUUGCAGCUAGCUAGAGCUCCUAUACAAGAUAGGACGAUGAUGCACACACAGGAGUGGUUACAGGUCACUAACUUCACUAAGACAACUAUAUUACUAAAGUAAAUGCACAACAAGACUAAAAGACUUGCACUAAGUAAGAACUCAGUAAAGUAAAGUAAGAAUAAUAUAUUAAUAAAAGGAAAGUCUUACAAAAGUAGAAAGGUACAAGAGCUAUACCAGACUCUCCAGAAGACGACUCCGGAGACCCCGAGCUUCGCUCGACUCGACUCUAACUCCCACUCUAGACUAACUACUACUCUACUUGUAUGCUUGGAACUUGUAAUGCACUUGGCCUUGGAAUUGCACACUUGAAAUGAAGGAUGGAGGCUGCCUUUUAUAGAGGGAGAUGGAGUAGGGGUUACUCCAUCGCCACGUCAUCGAUCCGCGUGACAUCUUCUCUCCACCCUUGGAUCAAACCGACCUCACAACCGCCAUUUGAUCAACGGCAGGGGCAAAUCAACAUGUGGGACAUGUGGGGAAGGUCGGUGGGAGGCCACCGACCCUGGAACCGCCUUUGAUGUGGGGUCGGGCGACCCCACUUCUGGGCCUCUGGGCCCACCAGCAGUGUCCUCAGGGGUCCCUUAUGUCGGUGGACUAGGUGGCACACCUGGGUCCCACCAAAGAGGGGUCGGGCGACCCCCUCCCUGUGGGCCCAGGGUGUCACCUGUUGUCCCCUCGAUCUCCUCUUGAUGAUUCUGAUGUUGGCUUUGUCAAAUAAUGUCUUGAAUUUGUUGUUCCUGCAUAAACAAGCUAAGAGUACAAGUGGAACUAGUUAUGGAUAAAAUAUGUUCAUGUCAUGUCGUUUCCCCUUGCAACCGAGGCAUGUUGACGGUGUUUUGUAUGUGGAUUUCUAUGGUAUAUCCACCGUCAACAAUCUCUGCCUUGUCUCUAUGAAUAGGUACACUUCAAACAAAACAUGGAGGAGUUUUACAACUCCCAGAUUCCACCAAGUGAAGAACCGGGAUCUACGAGCACAAACACAAUGGAGAUAAGACACUUAGUUUCCCAAAGGAAAUAUUGAAGAACCUCUGUGUCCGAGUUGGUACCUUGUACGCUCCAGCAAACUUCGUGGUGAUAGAGACUGGUACUGAGGAGAGGGCACCCAUCAUCUUAGGGAGGCCAUUCCUAAACACCAGAGCUGUCAUCUAUGCUAAUGCUACCAAGAUCAGUCUCUACAUCAAAGGGAAGAAGGAGACUUUCCUUCAAGAACAAGACUACACAAACUUCAGAGCAAUCCUAACAUGAACCAAGGAAGAGGACCAACAGGAGGAACAAGAACAAGCAAAUGUGGACCGAGUCAGCUGAGAUGGUCACUGCAGCUCAAGGAGGUCAAGAUCGUCGACUCAAGUCACCUUUCUUGAUCAAGAAGGACAAUCCUGGUGUUCCAAGCAUCGAGUGCACAAUCAAUGGAAACUCUUUUCAGAAGACACUCUACAACAUCGGAUCUAAUGACAACAUAAUGGCCGCAGUCACUUAUCAGCUCCUGCAUGGAACCAUGCUCCUACAACCAAUAUACAUUCGGCUCCAGGUAAUUUUCAGGUCAUUAACAUGGGAGAAGACGAGUAUGAUGCACCCACCAUCCUCGGAAGACCGUUCCUCAACACUAUCAAAGCAAUCAUCUAUAUUGGAAUCGGAGAAGUCCACAUACACUUCUCCUCUGAGAAGGUAUGCCACUAUUUUACUGACCUUAACUAUAUAGUUGAAGACUCUAAGCAGGUCAGGACAAGAAGAAGACAACGCAACCGCAACCAGAGGAGGCAAAUCAUCAAGAACGGAUGGGUAGACUACGAAGGAGAAGUGAUAAGGUCUGAAGACAUAUAGCUUGAACAGAACUGUCCUGAGGAGACCGUAGCACCGAGUCAGGUGUAGAGAGAGAAGAUAGUUAUAGCCGCCGGAAUCACCGACUACGCCACCUAGCGAAUCCCAGGACGACUGAGAAAACGGAGAGUCCCGUUCGUAGGACUUAAAAACACCAAACGCCUUGCCAAGAGGUAAACUUGGUAGUUAUCCUUUUCCUUUCAAUUAUUCAAUUAUAGUUUGCUUAGUUAAUCAGGUUCAUGCUAUCUUGAAAAGAAAAUAAAAAUGUUAAAAAAAUAGUAAGCCCCAUGUGAGUAUGCUCAUGACAUAAAACCCAUAAGUACAUUCAUUGUGGUGGCAUAAAAAUAAAAUAAAUAAGUUUUCAUCUUACAAUAAAAAUAUAAAAAUAAUAAGUGCAUGAUCCUGCUAAAUAAGUAACAUUUAUUGAGGAGGCUCAACAUGAUAAAGGCUAGAUAUUUAUGCUAACACUUAACCAGUUCCACAAAGCUUUGUUGUCUAUUUGAGCUCCACAUAAUUCAAGGAUCAAAGAAGACUAGCAGACGGAGGACAUCCUAAUCGCUGUUAGGGUGCUGCCGACUUUCAAAUACACCUCCAUCACCUGCUAGCUACAUCAGAAGAAAUUACGUCAAAAUCCAGCUUGGAGGAGAGCACCCCAUUUAUCCAGCUAAGUAUUCUACUCGCGUUUAUACUUUACUCAAAUAAUAAAAAGAUGCAUAAUCAUGAAAAAACAAAUAAAGAUUUUUGUGCUUUUAUAUAUAUCUUUGCUUAGUUUGCUAAAUAAAUAAAUAAAGUUUGCUAUGAACCCUCAUGAUAAACUCUCACAUGGAAAUGAUGAAUAGUUGCUCUGCCAUGACUAGUUCUUAAAAUUAAAAUCUCUCUCAAGUUUAGGCAUAACUGUUAUAAUUUAAACCUACUCUAAAUCUGAACUUGUGGGAAGAGAACUUGAUCUAAAGUCUAAGUCGUUAACGGAUAUGAUAUGGGAAGGUUGAGCUGCUGUUUAUCUGUUUCUAGAGAUGCUAGAAUUCUGGAGAAUUUUAUCUUUAAAAAUCUUUAAAAUGACACAUGAUGAGUUCCUGUAUGAUGAGAGUUUAAAAUCCUACCACAGCCAUAUAUACAUGCUUAUUAGACUUUGAGCCACACAUUUACUUUACUGCUUAUGAGCAUUGAGUGUGGUCAAGCUGUGUAGACCCUUAGGAGCUUGUCAUGUGGUUAAAAUCAAGAUUCACUUGCACGUUCACUCAUACAUGCUACUUCUACUCCGGAAGUACGCAUCCACAUACAUCCACUCAUUUCCAUCUCCAGAUUCAUCCAAAAUUAUUCUACUCCUAAUCCGGAAGAGAAUAGCCAAAAACAUUUUCCUAUACCUGUUAUUCCCUGUGAAAUAAAUGCUCCAGUUAUUUUGGUUACUACCACUUGCUAUAUUAUUUUAGGAGAUGAGUGCUCUAAAAAAAGAGAAAAUAAAUAAAUAAAUAAAUAAAUAAUAUACGAGGAAAUAAGAAGGGGCAAGUGCCCGGAACCUCGAAGAAAAGAAAAAGUGAGACGAGAGGUAAAAAUGGACAAGUGUCCGACAGUAGAAUUAGGGGUACAAGAUACCCACCUGAGAGAAAAAGAAAAAGAAAAUAUAGAGCAUCUCAUUCUCCUCAAAAAAGCUUCAAAGUGCAAGAAAGGUAUGUAUCCCUCAAAAGAGAAAAAGUAGAAUUAGACUUUCACCAUUAUUAUCAUCAUCAUCACCAUACACCAUUCAUUCGCCACACAUGCACAUCAUGAUUUGACUUAUUGACUUGUCUCUCUGGAUCCAUGGUUUGACUAUGCAAUAAAUGUCUUGUAAGUAUGUAUUAGCUGUCUCCCACCUAUGAGCUCCAGAUAUCAAAACCUUAUUAGAGUAGGGUGAGAAAGAAGGCAAUAUCACUAUGCAUUAUACCAAAAAUACCACAUACUUUGAGAAAAGGCAUAUACCAUUACUGCCAGAAAUAUGACAAAAGAGAGAUCUGAGAGAGUCAUACAAGGAAUCUCUGAGUUUUAUUUGAAAAUCUGCAAAAACCCCAGAGCUAUAGCUGAUCAAGAAAAAGAGACAUGGCGCUUGACUUGACCGUUCUAUCUUUUAACUGCUCAAGACACAAGUAACGGUUACAAGCCCCAUGGAGAAAGGUAAAAUGAGUAAGUUUUAAGUCUUAACAGUUUAUUCUAACUCAGAGAUGAGAUCUUGCUUGAAUGCGUGUGUACUUUUAAGGCAUGAAACCACUGCAGAAACUCUUGAGUUCAUCCUUGCUCAGGGACGAGCAAGAGGUAAGCUUGGGGGAGUUUGUUGACGGUCCUUAAGUAUCAAAUUUAAUUAUCAAAUAAACAAAGAAAAGGAUCCAAAUGAAAUCAACAUCUAGACUUAGGGUUUUAUCUGACAGAAUUCCAUGAGUUUUGGUGUUUGUCUAUUUCUGCAGGGGGUUAUCAGGAAAUAAGGAAGAAAGGCCCACAUGUCAGGAUUACAUAGAGAUAUCAACGCACCGCGCAAUUUUCUACCAUCUAGAAGACUCCAGAAGCCACGAGACCGAAGCGGAGGCGAAACGGGGCCAGGACCUGGGCGCCCGCCCACCUGCCGAGCCCAAUCAGGACUCUUUCUCUCGGGAGAUCUCCACCGACCUAUUGGAUUCAGAAUAACGUAGUACCACCUCGCCUACCGACCCAAAAACGCAUAGAAGGGGAGGACUAUAUAAGGAGACCCCCUGGCCCCUGGAGAAGACAAGAAAUUAUCAUAGAGAUUGAGGGGUUCCCUCGAAAGAAAACCUCUUCUCUAAAUAAUAUUUCUUUUUAGGCUUAGCAACCAAUGUAAAGUAGAAAUAGAUCUUCUAGUUUCUACUAGAUUGAGAGAGAUAGAGUGGAGGUGUGGAUCGGAGGAAGGCCGGCCUGUCGGUGUCUACUCCGAGUUGUACCUGUGGGAUCAAGUCUCCUAACCCGAGGCUUGCUUCUAAGAUUCUUCAGUAAUUCGACUUCUAAUUCUAGUAAGUUCUUGUUUUAUUGUUCUUUGGUUUAUGAGUUUACUUUAAUCCUCUUCCGGUUGAGUAUUAGAGUAAUCACUUGCUAGCGUAAACGUGGUGUUUAGGCUAGGGUACUCAUAGAUAUCCCCUAACUAGCUGGACCGUGGUAGUAGCGAGGAACGUGACAUUUCCGAGUUACCUUUGUAUCCCAUAUCUUGUUAGCAGGACGGGUAGGUUUAUAGGUGCGGGUCGAACAUCCUUUGUGUUGUCUAGAUUCCGUGAGCCUCCCCAAUAGAACGGUAGAUCAUCCUUACCAAGGUUAGAACGAGACUACGGUUGCAGUCUUCUCUAUACAUCACUCACAUCGAGAGACAUUCUUUGUAGCCUAAAGGGAUAGUAGCAAUAGAUUUGGUUAGUCAGAUGCACCCUUUCUCCCAGUGGUAAAAAUAUAAAUACGAUACUUUGGAAAACCUCCCGGGUGAAAUGCUCACCGAUAUCCGUGCGCUUGCGGAUCAUUUUGUAAUUGCGUUACCAAAUAUCAACAGCCGUCCCAGCUUGAAGGCGUGCAUCCGAUCACUGCUUCGAACAAAAUUGUCAUCCGAUAAGUUGAACAGCUCGUUCAUCAGCUGCUGGACCUCCGCCUUCUCUAGACCAUCCGGGCACAUUCUGGUCGGGUCUUGGCUCCCCGCAUACUCGUACGCCGAGUGUAUCCUCCUCUAGCAAGGCAUCACCCGACGCACAAGGAAGUUCCCGACCACUCCUGGCCCAUCUAAGCGGGACCAGUCGAUCAGGCUCAUCAGAUCUGCCACUUGGCCCUCGUACUCUGGACGGUCCGUCCAGCGGACCCUCUUCUUGGGGAUGUAGCCCACGUCGCAGAACGUGGCGCUGCCCGGUUCUUCAUGGAUGUAGAACCACUUCUUGUACCAUUCGGUGAGAGAAGUGUUCUAUGGGCAGCUGAGGUACCGGUUCUUCAUCCCAUCGCGCAGAUUGAGGUAUACUCCACCUGCAAUCUUGGAGCCUCCAACUGCCCCUUUCUUCCUCAGACAGAAAAGAUAGCGAAAAAGAUCGAAGUGCGGCUCUAUUCCAACAUAGGCCUCGCACAAAUGAAUAAAGGUGGAAAGAAGGAGAAUUGAGUUCGGGUGCAAGUUGUAGAUCCCGAUCUCAUAGUAAAGAAGGAGGCCUUGAAGAAAAGGAUGAACUGGAAUCCCAAAACCCCUCUUGAAGAAAUCCUCAAAAACGACAAUCUCACCAGCAUGGGGGUCGGGGUAGCUUUCCCCCUCUGGCGCCCUCCAUCCUCUGAGUUCUUGGUUGUGAAGGAGCCCCUUCUCGACGAGGUCGUUGAGAGACCGUGUGUUGCUCCGAGAUUUUUUCCAUUCUUUGGCCAUCAUCUCGGCCCUCUUCUUGGCAUCACUCUUCGCCAUCUCAACUCUCGAAAAGUCUCGAGCUCGGUUUUGGGGUUUGAAGGUGGUGAAGAAGAUGGAGUUUCUGGCAAUAGUAUGCAACUGCUGGGUAAAAAGAAAGGAUACGACCUUGAGCCUUUAUAACAAAAACUUCGCCUCUUCCACUUCCCGCAUUCUUGGGAAGUGGGCGGAUCCUGCGGCGGCUGUGGCGUUUCGGUUUUCAAUAAUUACCGUCAAUUAAUAUGGUGGCUUUUCUACAUAAUUGGUGCUUUCCUUUUCUUGAACCACACAAAGAGCAGCUGCACAGUUACCAGGCGCACCUUUUUACGCAACAGUCUGACAAUGACCUAGGAUGCCUUGUCACAUCACGCAUUAAUGUGGCGAGAUGCUUUUUCUAAAAGACAAGCGGAUCUGGUGGAGGACCGUACAUGACAUACUCGGGGACUGGUCGACCAGCACGCCCAUUUGAGCGUCUGGGGACUGUACCGACCACCAAGCAUUAUAUGCUCGGGGACUGGUCGACUAGUCUGUUCCAUUGCAGACGAGCAUGAUAUGCUCGGGGGCUGGUCGAUUAGUCUGUUCUGUUGCAGACGAGCAUUAUAUGAUCGGAGACUGGUCGACCAGCACGCCCAUUUGAGAGUUUGGGGACUGUACCGACCACUGAGCAUUAUAUGCUCGGGGACUGGUCGACCAGCACGCCCAUUUGAGAGUUUGGGGACUGUACCGACCACCAAACAUUUUAUGCUCGGGGACUGGUCGAUUACUCUGUUCCGUUGCAGACGAGCAUGAUAUGCUCGAGGACUGGUAAAUUCAAUUUUUUAGACCUUGCUACAAGGCUCAUACUUCACCUUCCAGCAAGCUCGGAGACUAUAUCGGUACGAUGCAUCUGGCGAUGCAUCUCAGUUUUGGAAUUUCUAUGAAGACUUUUUUGACCCUGGUACCACGUGCCUACGUCAUCUACUACCAGGUUCGGGGACUAAGUGGGCACACUUCACCUUGCGGUGAACAUGCUUGCUUUUUGAAAGUCUAUACUUUUUAGAAAAGUAAAGUGGGCACACUUCACCAGGAAAGAAAUCUUUUUUGAUUAAGAGCACCAUGCAUUCUUCGAACAACCUACUUCUUCGAUGUCCAUGUUGAUCAACUGCCUUUUGAGUUGGUUAAAAUACCGUUGCAACUGUUUGGGCAAUUUUCCUUCUUAUUGAAGACGUCAAGCCUCACUAGUCGAAGAAGCUCAAGACGGCGUGUUACAUCACAAUACAUGGUGCUCGGGGACUAGCUGUGGGGGUAUAAAUCCCUAUACCCUUACGGCUAGACUUGGGCCAGGAGGCUUGGCCCAUCACGAAGACAGUCCGAGGCUUGAUCCAACUGCUCGGAGUUUCGCGCAAGGAAACAAGACGUGGAGAUCAAGCCGAAUUCUAGUCGGUUAGAAUAGGAAUUGAUAUUGUGCUAUCUAUGGCAAUUGUAACCGACUAGGAUUAGUUUCCAGAUUUGUAACCCUGCCCUCUGGACUAUAUAAAGAGAGGCAAGGGACCCCCUAGGUAAUUCAUCUCAACACAAUCCAAUACAAUCAGACGCAGGACGUAGGUAUUACGCCCACGCGGCGGCCGAACCUGGAUAAAAACCUGGUCUGUGUCUUGCGUCACCAUCAAGUUCGUAGCUUGUGCACCGUCUACCGAUAAACUACUAUCGUGGGUAUACCCUAAGGUAGACUGCCGACUAGCUUUCGUCGACACACGUGAUAUACGAGAAAGAUUUGGUUCAGGUAAUUAUGCAUGUGGUUCAAGCAUCUAUCUAAAAAAAUUGUGACCACUGCCACCAUUGUGAAGUGUUCCAUAAAUAUGUUUAAUAUCCUUUGCCAUUGCCAAGACACAUGUUUUUUUCUCUACACAUUCCUUUGAACGCAGAUGCUCAAAAUUGGGGACAACAUUGACAUACCCUGGAUUGCCAAAGCACUGGAUUGUUGCACGGCAACACCAAAGUGUAGAGGCACAAGCUUGCAUUGAGGGGAUGGCAUGAGGUUAGGUUCAGCGGCAACUACUUAAGGUCUUGUUUUUCUAUCCCAACUAAUAAUUUUUGGUUUGCUUCGUCAUGUUAUUUUGGGAAGCAAGACAUGUCAUUAUCUACAAUUGCCUUGGGUACAAAAGCUUUGUCAAAUUGUUUGCAAGGUUCAGAAGGAGCUGCUCCUUUUAUUGACUAAAAUUAUAAAAACAGUACCUACUGCAAGAGAGAUUGAAUCUAAUUCUAAUGCAUUUUGGGGACUCUGGUUGUAAUGAUAAAGUUUAAAAAACGCUGGCCAUAUUGAAUUAAUCUUGCUCGAUGUUGCCUCUCCUGCCAAUUUGCCAUAUAAGUUGAUUGGUUCUGUCUCAUCUAUUUAGCUAUUGCACACCAAUUAUAUUGCAUGCAGACUCAUCAGGCUUACUUUAUAAGUGUACUUUACUAAUAAUUAGUGUUACCUAUAACGCUAUGACACUAAAAACGACAUCCUUAUUCUUUUUUGCAAUGUUUCCUUCUCGACUGCAUAUGUCGAGUGCUUUCCGCAAGCCAUCUGAAAAAAAGGUUUAAAAUGUUGCUACUUUUUUUUGCAUUAGAAGAACAUUAAUUCCUCAAAACAAAAUAAAGGUUUUGUACGAAUGUUUGUGUAUUUGUUAAAACAUUUUGACUCAGUAAAUAAAGUCCCUUUUGUAUUUCUUCUUCUUCUCUAUUACGAAUAUAAUCAAAUUUACUAUUUUGCUUCAAAUGAUUUGUUUUCUAUUAAUCCCCUUACUCCAGUCAGUGUUUCUUCGUAUAUCUCUUACAUCACUUAGUUUCAAAUUAGACAUGGUUAUGAAAACAAAUACUUUAGAUUACUGACUCAUAAACAAUUGAACAGGUUUAUCUAAAUCAAUUGGGUGUCAUUUGAAGCUAUUCCAACUUAAGCUGGUGUUGGCUCCUUUCAGCCUGCACAAAAGGAGAGAAGUGCUAUAUUAGAGUGAACAUGAUCCUUGCCACCAGCAAGUAACAGGGGAAGGUGAGGUGAGAAUUAGAAUUGUCUUCAAUUUUAGGUGUUCAUGCCGCUUCAUUUAGAGCACCUUGAGGAAGUUCGUGUCUUAGGAUGAUUAGUAUAGCUAUAGCUUACCUUAUUUGUGGAAGGCUGCAAAAUCUAGAUUUUACCAUCGCAUCAAUUUUAAAGUUCAAAGGUCCAAUUCAAGACUGCCAUGACUUGGCUACAUCACUUAAAGUAAAAGAGUCAACAAAAUUUAAGUUCCUAACAGAGUUGCUUUUCUCUAAAACUAUUUUUAGCUGCAAAGGAGUGCCUUAAUAGAAUAUUGAAAUCUCACAUGUGUUACAAAUAUGUAAUAGUUGAUGCUAAUAAUUCUGUAUUGACAUUUUCGUAGGCCACUAAUGAAUUUUCCAUAAGAAACAAAAGACAAUUUCUUCGUUUUUGCUUUGUAUAUAUGUGACUGACAUGUCAAUGAUUUUUUUCCCUCCUAUGACGCUCUUGCCCUUGUGAUGUGUCUUUACAGCACACCAUUUUAGAUCAGAUAUAACCUCUUACUAACACUAGCACAGUUCUUCCCAAACAACGCCUCACUGUUCACAUCUCCGGAAUACCACCACAUCGCUAUUGUGAUUUCACAGUCCACUGUCUUCUCAGUGAAACAUGCACAAUCCAUGCCAUCUCAUUUUGUCAUGCAACAUUAUCGUACUCAGUUGAUGUUCAUGGAUCACAAACCCUCAUGUCUCAAGCAGCACAUGUAGCACUUAGUAUGAUAACACGCUAUGGUUGUCUCCUCAACAUUUGGCCAAUAUGGUAUGACACAUAUAUGGAAGAAAUGCUUGGCCGACUAUCCUCGACAACCUAUGACCGGAUGCCAUCUUUGCAUGGAGGUAUUCACAUCCACAUCUGCAGUCUAAAUGAAAAAAAUAAUAGCACAACAUAAGUCGAAAACAAGAGAAGCUCUCUUUUUUUUUCUCACCAUCUUUUACUUGACCAUUUACAGGAGACACUCAUCUUGACAUAGAGGAGCAACAUGAAGCAUAUACGUACUCAGGUAUGUAAACACACUAUAAAAACAAUAUAUUAAUAAACAACACCAUAACAUAGACAAAACAAUUACUUUUAAUGUACCAGACGACCAGAACAAAGACACCUCCCAACCACUAAGCAAAUAAAUUUGCAUUGCAUUUUGCCUACACCUCACACUACUGAUACUUUGCAUACUAACAUAUAGCGAUGACACCCCUUCCUGAUUCUCGACAGGCAAAACACCGUACCACACCAUCCUGACACGGACUCAUCCAUCAACAUUUCACGUGAAGCAUGAACAUUGGUUAAUAGUGAUGUCUACAGCACAACCACCAAAACUCUUAAACCCAUAGCUCGCUUUCCUGUAUAAUAUUUCGGGCGCAUACUGUCAAAAUGUCUUUGAACACCACAUCUGACACAAAUAAAUUAGCACCCAACUGGAUAAUUGUGUCGUGUAAUAUACCAACCCAGCGCCCUAUGAUGCUUUGGUAUGUUGAGCCAAAUUCAGCGUGUACCAAACCUAAUGACUACUAUGAUAUAUACUCUUUUAUAUAUAAUAAAUACUAUGCUCUGUACAUUCUCCUUAAAUACCAUGAUGGCUCACUCAGGAUUGCUUAUGCUAAAGCGCAAAUGCGCGCGCCAUCAACUAGUCAAUAAAAACACCCGAACCGAACCGGCGGCGGCUGCUCGCCUGCCCGACCCGGACCCGUACUCGGGCAUUUUUUCUUUAGCGACCCGUACUCGGGCAAAUGUAAAGCUUGAUCACUAUGAAUCCAGAACUCGAGAGAAACAGCCCAGACAGCCCACGACCGGCCCAGUCUCAUCACAAACGCACGCGCACGUCGCCGUCGCCAUCGCCCCGCUGUAACCCUACCCUAGCCGCCCCGAAGCUUCCCGUCCUUCUCCUUGCGGCGGCCGCGGGCGGCGCGGCGAGUCGGCGGCCACCCGCCCCCAUCUCCUACUUGAGCCUCCCAACCUCACCGGCGCUGUCCGCCUCCUCCCCCUCCCACUCCGCACCGUAGAUCUUUCUCCUCGGCGCUCGGGAGGACCACUCAAUCCACCUUCACUUCACCGUGCGGGAUCUGAUCGCAAUCGGAUCCCCCCCGCCGGCGCCGCCGCCGCCGGGGUCGCCUCCCCGGGAGGAGCCCCGGGCCCGACGAGACGGAGGCGAGGGUAGACGACGGAGGCGAGGAGGACGAGGAGGCGGGGGAGGGGAAGCCCAUGCCGGCCGCCGGGGCCCGCCGCUCCACUCGCGUCUUCAUGCCCAAGGCGCCCAAGCCGCCGCAAUCCCAGGACCAGGCCGACCCCGCCACCCGGGUCCUCCGCUCCGGCAAGCGCCUCGCCGCCGACCGGAUCCGCUGGGACGCCAAGGAGGCCCCAGCCUUCCACGUCGACAUCAACCACGGCCACGGCCACGACCAGCAGCACCAAAAGGAGGAUUGCCCCAAACCGGGAUUGCCACCUCUGACGAAGUCCUUCGGGAUCGUGUACAGUAGGAAACGCCGCCGCCGGAGGCACUCCGCCUCCGAGGUCGUCGCCGAGGACGAGGACGGCAGCAGGAGGUUUGGGAUAGUAUAUACCAGGAGGAAGGGCAAGCGAUCGAAGGUCAGCCAUCUCCUUCCGCAAGAGCGAGCGGUCCCCUGUGACCUCGCCGCCGCGAUUCCAUGCUCCUCCUCCCUUGAGUUUGCGUCAAGAACUGGCUUCUUGGAUGCCCAUUUAUCGGCCCUUGUAGAUGGUGCCGCCACUCACUCUGGGGCUCAGACGCUGAUCAUCCUUGUUGAUACGUCUUGCCCUGGGAGCUCUCACCGGCUCCUUGGCCUUCUUCUACCCAUGCUGCGGUGGAUGUGCCGCAGUAGGCAGCGUGGAAAGUUCCAGAACCUUGCUACUUUCAUCAUGUCUGCUGGCGUAGCUGCUGCGUUUGCAUUCCAUGGGGUGCACUUUGUCAAGCUCCAGCGCCGGAGUGCCGUAAGCUUUCUACAGCCUUCAUCAGCCCUAUUUUGUUUCUGGUAUAAUUGGUGUAACAUUUGUGCUUCUUUCUGCAGUCUGCAUUGUUACAUAGGCCUCUUGCGCACUGUGGGUGGUGUGCGCUUCAUGGUUCCAAGAUAUCUGAACCGCUUCUGUCAGUUGAUUUCUCAGCACUUCCUUCAUACUUUUGGAGCUUGCAAUAUGCUGUAGCUCUUGAAUCGAUGUAUCUGCCAGCUAUGAUUCGGCACAGCAGGCUGCUGGAUGGGGGAUCUGAAGAAAUCUAUCCUCACACUCCUUUGUAUUUGGAUUCUGGGGCUCAAAGCAGUGGUUUUGCCACUACUGACGUGGGCAGCAAUGAACCUUGCAGAGUGGUUCCGAACUACAUGCCCCUUGAACAAGUUGCUGGACUAGUGGCACAUGGUCUGAGGCUAAAGAAGCAUCAAAGGCGGAGGAGAACUAUGAGACAUCCUCGAAAUCGGCGGCGGCUUAUAACUAGAUUACCUGACAAUGGAAUUGGGAUGAAGCACAGCAUGGCUGCCACGCAAACAGAAUUAAAGCUGCGAUCAAGUAGGCAAGAACCUCCAGUGGAGCCUCUCCAACCUAAAGCAACAUUAGAAAUUUCUCUUGAUUUGCUUGAAAACAUGGAUGAAAGUGAUGUUUCGACUCCCAUGGGAUCAACUAGGAGAAAGAGAUCUUCUUUGAAGAGCCCUGUCGAGAGAAUGAAUGAAAAGCUGGCCUUGGCUGAGGUGAGACAGAACAUAGAUUCUGUUCACAGCAAAGCAAACCUUCUAAAUCUUCAAGCUGAUAGGUGCUGGAGGGAAGAGGGUGCUGAAGUUAUGCUAGAACUAUCAGAUACCAAUAAGUGGUGUAUAGUUGUGAAGAUACAAGGUGUUACUAGGUACUCUCUUAAACCUUCAGAUAUGAGGUCAUAUGUCGUUAAUCGUCAUACUCAAGCCUACAUGUGGGCAGUUGAUGAUGCAUGGAAGCUUGAGUUCACUGAUAAGUGGGACUGGCUGUUAUUCAAAGAGUUGCAUGUUGUGGGCCGUGAGCGUAAUUCCCAGGGGAAGACGAUCCCAAUUCCUGGGGUACAUGAAGUUUCUGAUGACAUGGAAGGGAUUGUUACAGAUCCUUUCUCACGCCCUGUGCCAGACUAUAUCAGGAUGGUGGAUGAUGAAGUUGGACGAGCUAUCUCAAGGGAUUCUAUUUAUGACAUGGAUUCAGAGGAUGAACAAUGGCUCAUUCAGUUGAAUCAUGCAGAUUCUGAUCCAAACAGCUCUCAAAGGGACCAUAUCUCUUACGAAGACUUUGAGAGGAUAAUAAGCAUAUUUGAAAAGGAUGCCUACAACAAUCCCCAAGGAAAAAAUGAUUUGAGUGAGCUUCUUCCCAGAUAUCCUGCUUUAGGAAAUGAUGAGAAUGUGCAUGCUGUGUAUGAAUAUUGGACAAGUAAGAGGUCCAAGAGAGCUGCACCAUUGCUAAGGGUAUUUCAGGUAAUUUUGGGGUUUCUCAUACCCAUUUCCAAGCUCAACACUGCUUUGUUAUAUCAUUUCCCUUUUCUACUGUCUAGCCUUGAUUAUACCAUCUACUGAUACCAGUUACCUAUUACCAAAGCUUAAUUCUUUUUACAGCUAUGUCCUGUUAUUUCUCUUUUUGUCAAGCUUUCAUUCAGUGUAUAUUAUCUAAUUGAUACACUGUUUCAACCUUAGGGUGCACCCAUAAGGCGAGGACAUCUAUCACAAAAGUCUGCCAUGAAGCGAAAGAGAUCUUUUAAGAGACAAAAAAGCCAAGCCGGUCGUGGAAAGCCUGAAGCUUUAUUGCUAGGUAAUUACUACUGCAUAAAAAACCCUACUGAGCAAUACAUUUAAAUCUGAUAAUGUGGAAAUCCAAUCAGGAGACAGAUCUUAAUCACCUUCAAUUCUUGCGCUGUUGGAUGAGUCCCCUCCCCCACCCACCACCACCACCCAUAGAAAGAACCAUGUUUAUCUCCUUUGUUUAACAUUUGAGAUCCAUAGCAUUAAGACCUUGUCAUGGACUUCCUUCUUCUGGGGCCAAUCUUGCUAUGCACUUGUCAACAAAAUUAAAACAAUAAAAUAUGUGCCCUAAGUAUGAUACAUCUAAAAGCAACUCCAAGAGACUCUCUAUAUCAUUCCUAAUUGCUAGAAAUAGAGAUUUUGAUGGAAAAAUACUCUCCAGCAGCUUCUUUAAAUGGUUAUCCAAAUAUAGCCAUCCUCUAUUCAGUAUUUCUUGCUUAGCCUAAGUUAGUGAAAAUGGCUCUCUAGAGUGUGCUCAAGAUAUAGAAAGGCCGUUGGAGAGUGGAAAGAUAUAGAAAGCGAUUUUUAUGCAGAUGGCUUUGCAAACGAUGAUUUAGAGAGCUAGUUUUAGAAAGAUUAUUGGAGAUGCUCUAAUGGCAUUAAUCGGUGGCCAAUCUAGUAUUUAUCACAUUACUAUGGUUCUACAGAGGUAGAAUAAUCUUAUUUCAUUUGUUUGUGCAUUAUGGUUGACAGACAAUGCUGAAGAGGAGGCAGCUUUGCAGAGAGUUGCCCAAGCUGAACGUGCAGCAAAACAGGCUGUAGAAACAGCUAUUCGACUGCGCAACAGAGCCCAGUCUCUCAUGACAAACGCAGAGCUCGCGGCAUACAAAUCCAUCAUGGCUCUCAGGAUUGCCGAGGCUGCUAGGAUAUCUGACUCUUCACGAGAUAUUGUUUGUACUAUCCUCGACUAAAGAAGAAUAUGGGCUGUUCAUUGAUUUGUGUGGAGGACGUGGGAAUACUCUUUUUUCUUUGGUUGCAUCAUCGCCCAUGAUAUUGGCUUUUCGAUAAGCUGUGGGACUAUUUUUACCCCCUCUCGUGUUGUUAACUUUGUCAGGCCAAUUUUGAGGCGAAUGCUUGAACUGAAAACUGUAAUUUCUUGUAUAAAUGAAAGUAGCUAGCUAGAUUCUGUAUGUUAUGGGAACUGAUGUUCUGUAGAAAUGAUGAAAGAAAAAGUAAAAAAAAAAAAAGCAUGAGAUGAAGGGAAAUCAAGCAUCUGUUUGCAUCCCUUUGUCUUCAGUGAUAUAUGUUAUCUUUAAUGUGUCCCUUUUCUCUGUUUUUAUCAGUGUGUGUAGUGUCUCUUCUCUGAAAUUAGUUGCUUUAUAUAUAUCUUGUAAAAAUGUAAAUAAUAUUUGCCAUCGACUGUUGUAAUUGAGCCAUUGAAAUUUGUUCCCAUAAUGGAAGUAGUGAAGUAAAGGUAAUAAUAUUUUGGUUGACCCAUCACUCAUCCUAUGCUUAUUGACUCAGUUUUAUUUCACCAUGGUCCAUUUGCUAUAUUUUGAUUUAUUUCCACUUAGUUAUCUAUACAAUACUCCUAAAGUUGGAGCACUGGAGCCCUCUCACAAAUCACCAGCACCCCCUCACACAGCACUGUUCCAAGCACAGUAACAUUUUACCACCGCAGGAUCUCUAACCUCCUCACUACAACCAUCCAUGUCUUCCACGUUCCGGGUUUCUAUCCUAUCGCAUCUCCUCCUGAAUUAAAAAAAAAAGCAUAUCAUAUUCCCUCAUUCCCUCGUCAAUCAAAAAAAGAGUACUGCAUCGGCUACAUCCUCGCUUCAGACCGUGGCAUCCCCGGGACGCCAUCCUCCUGCCGUGGGCACCUCGCCUCAUCCUAUGAUUCGCCUCCCUUUGCGCUCCUCCACGAUGCGCCCAUAUACUGGGUGCCGCGGGUGCCCGUAUAUUGGACCUAUAACCUAUAUGUACAUAUUGGUUUCAGAGCACAGUCUUCACGAUUGGAGCUGCAGCAUAUAUGUAAAUAUGCACUUCUGUUUUUACUGCUUUAUGCUUCUACAAUACACUUUCAGUAACAGAAGUGAUAUCACAACAUUUUAUCACUUCCCUACCCCUUGUGUUGCGCAGGGUUUCCUGCUAGUCUUCACUAUUUUUUGUGUGUAUUCGUUGUUGUUUAUUUGUUGAGAUAUUUAUCUGUAUAGCCUUAAAAAACAUGUCUUUUUCUUGUGGCCUUAUUUUUUUAAGAGUAAAGUUCAUUAUCAGUCCCUAAACUUGUCUGGGUAUGUCAUCUUGGUUUCUAAACUUGCAAAACGAUACCUGAACUUGUUUGGUUGUAUCAUCUUAGUCCCUAAAUAUGAAAAUCUCUCAUGUAGGUCCUCAAACUUGUUCGAUUGUGUCAUCCAGAUCCCUAAACUUAUUUUUAAGUCUCAUUUGGAUAAAAGAAGUCGAAUCUAAAAACUCUAUAUCAAAAAAUAACUCAUAACUUUUCAUAUGAACUCAAAUCAAGAUAAACUAUCAAAAUUAUAGCCAGCAAUGCGAUCUACAACUUUAUAGUUGAAAACUUUUUAAAUUAAAAUCAUCUAGGGUCCCAAAAUGUUUUUUGUACGUUUAUAGGUUUCAAAAUUUAAAAAUUUAAAAUAAAUUUUGUGACACUAAAUAACUUAAAAUAAAAAAUUCUACUACAAAGUUGUAGAUCGUGUUAAGGGCUACAACUUUGAUAUAAGUUUUUCUUCAUUCGAGUUCAUAUGAAAAAGUUAUAAAUUAUUUUUUCCAUUUAGAGUUUUUAGAUCGCUUUGUUUUGACCUAGAUGAGAUCUAAAACCAAGUUUAGGUACUGGGAUGAUACAAAUUAAUAAAUUUGUUGACUUAAAUGGGUGAUUUCUAAGUUUAGGGACUAGAAUGACAUAGCUAAACAAGUUUAGGGACUGGGAUGACAUAGACGAACAAGUUCAAGGACGUAAAUGAUCGAUUUACGAGUUUAAGGACCGAGAUAACACAAAAGUACAAGUUUAAGGACCGGGGUGGACUUUACCAUUUUUUAAAUUUAUGUGACCUUAAAAUACAUGUGCCUUAUUUUUCUGUGGCUCAUUGUUUUUUUGAAUUUACCUACAUGGCCCGAGAACAAAAAAUCUCUUUCUUCUAUCAUCUUUCGUCCAAUUUAGACCACUAAAAUAUUUUCCUUCUUUGGUCUUUCGUCCAAUUCAGGCCACUGAUGGUGUGUGGAGUAAAAUGGACGAAAAGAAUAAAGUUUUAGCAGAAAAAUUGUAUCAUCGUAUGAAGACGAUUUUUAUAUUAUAAUUGUAGCUCUUAAUAAGAUCUACAAGUUUCUAGUUUUAAGUUUUUUAAUUUAAAAUCUUUAAGAUACUCAAAAAUAUUAAAUAAAGUUUUAGUAGUAUAUUAAUCGUGUAUAACACUGGUCGUCUUGGAAAAAUUAUAUAUUUCUUAUAUGAUGUUAAAUAGAGAUGCAUUAUAAAUGAAAGUUAUAGCUUUUAGUAUAAUCUACAAUUUUAUAGUUUUAUUUUUUUCAUUUAAGAUUAUUAAGAUGCUCAAAAAAUAAUAUAAAUUUCAGCAGCAAAUUAAAUCGUGUACAAGCCUAGAAACUACAAUUUAUGUACUAUAACGUGUGACCUUAUUUGCGGAAUAUUACUCUAAAUCUAAAACAAACAAACUAAUGUAUAUUUAGGUUUGUUACAAAAGCUAUAUUUUGAAAAAAGUCAGAAUAAUUUAUAAUUUGGAACAGAACGAGUAGGAUUCAUAUGGUGUUAUUUUGUGUGUGCAAUGGUUACAAAAUGCUAAUUUGAAGCUAACUUGUGUCUUUGCUAAUUAUUGCUUGACUUUGUUCUUUUUUAUCCAUGUGUAUUUCUGUUCGUACUUUGUUAGAGCAACUCCAACCAUUAUACAAAUGGAUUUGGCAUUUACCAAAAUGCAUAAAACUCUAAAAAAAACCCCUCCAAUCGUUAUGCAUUUGGACUUUGCAUUUUACAUAACUAUGUAUUUGGAGGGGGAAACUUGGCAUAUAUGCCAAAGGAGUCCGGCUAUGCAAAUAGAGAUCACGGGAUUCUCAGUUCCACCUCGCGGGCUUUUUUCUUCCCUUCGCGCGGUUUCCCUUCGCGCCGCCACCACUUCGCGCGAUAGGAGAAGCAUUGCGCGUCCUCCUUCGCCAGCUUCGCGCGCGCGUUUGGACGAAGCGGCUAGAUCCAUUCUCCGGUACCCUCGAUCCCAUGUUGGCUUCACGAAAUUCUGCUGCUCGCGAGCUGCAACGGCUUGACUGAUGGCGGCGACCUGCCUUGACGACGAACUGAUGGCGGCGAUCGGAAACUAAUGGGGAACAUGACCUGAUGGAGAUCGGUACUGGAGCCAAGGGGCGAACCUGUACGACGACGAACUGAUGGCCAACAGACGACGAACUGGUACGGUGAACGGGAACUAACGGAACGGGCUACUGCGAGGCUGUUUGGCGCGAGAAUUGGUGAACGGGAGACGAUGGCGGGCUGUUUGGCGCGGGAUCGAUUGGCCGCGCGGGAAGGAGUGCCGCGAAACAAAAUUUCCGGAAAAAAAAAGAUGAUGGACUUGACAUUUUGCAUAACGGUUGGAGAUCACCCGAUUUUAGCCUUGCUAUUUUCAUUUGGGGGUUUGCAAUUUGCCUAAAAUGCAUAACUUCAAAUGCAUAAUGGUUGGAGAUGCUCUUACACGAUGCAUCUGUGUAGGGCCUAUUUAAUUCCUCAUUUGGGCCAAAAAAUUUUAUGUUUUGGUUCACCAUUUUGCAGAAUGAAAUUAAAUAUCAUCUAAAUUUUUUAGAGUUGCCAUUUUGCACUAUAGAUUUUGGUGUCAAGAGCCAAAAAAAGCAUCUUCAUGUAUUUUGGACCCUAAAAAUUUUAGCAUUUUGGAUGAAACUAAACACACCUAUAAAAUUUGGCAUUUUACAUUUUAUCAUUCUAAAGUAUUUGGUAUUUUGCAUUCCAUUGAAAACUAAACACGCCCUAUGUAUUAUCUAAUAUACGAUUUUUUUUUCAAGUUAGCCAUUUUCAAUAUAAGAUAUUUUUCAUAAACUCGUAUACUAGUAACUUUUUUGUACUGUAUUGUAUUGUUGAUGGUAGUUGUAUACUUGUGUUAGAGCCCAUUCACUGGUGCGAAAAGCUAUGAGAGAAAAAUAUCGCUGCCUGACAGGCUAAUAUUUGUUUGAGAUAUAAUCGGCCCCUUGCACUGUUGCAUGAUUGGGUAUUAGCACCGGUCGGGAAGGGUUCUGUUGCCUCGGUUCCCGAGCCGGUGCUGCCCUUCCGGGACUAAAGCCCCACCCUUUAGUCCCGGUUCGGGAAACCGGGGCUAAAGCCCCCCCUUUAACACCAGUUGGUAAUACACCAACCGGUGUUAAAGAGGGCAGGACUCUUUAACACCGGUUGGUAUUACCAACACCAACCAGUGUUAAAGGGGUUCUUUUUUUCUUUUUUUUCGGUUCAUUUCUUCGGUUCUGUUUAUUGUUUUUAUAUAAUAAUAAUAGGUUUGUCAAUACAUAUUUUAUGCUGAUAUAAUAUAUAUAUAUAUAUAUAUAUAUAUAUAUAUUACACGCAUAUUAAGCAUAUAUAAAUGGAAAUUAUAGGCUUAGCUUUAUAAUUAAGCUUUGCCUAUAAUAAAAUAAAUAGUCCACAUCAAUAAUUAAAUAGAUGGAUAUGUAAAAAGCUUUAUAUAUAGUUUUAUAAGUACAAAAUUCGUAACACAUAUAUACAUAGAGUUUUUUCUCCCAAUGUCUAAAACCGAUACAAAUGAUCAUCGUUGUUUAGAAUAAGAGUUCCGUUGCCGUUGAAGUGAAACUCGCCGUUUGGAUUGAUCACUUUCUCACGGAGAAAUCCUGGUAUCGUCUCUUGAGUAGCUUUGAUGCGGUCUUUUUGCAUGACCUUUUCCCUCAACCAUUCCGUCUUUAAUUUGAAAUAAAAUAAAAAAGGUAUUAGUUAUCUAAGUUAUUUAAUAUAAUUAUGGAGAUAAUGAAAAGAGAUAUGCAACGUACUCUGAGCAUCUCUGUGGGUGUUUGAUUGACUUUUGCCAUUAUGAAUUUGCACAUGUAAUAUGCACAUAGGUUGUUUCCCCCUUCUUGUGUUAAACACCACUGUACGAUAUAUAUAAAAAAUAUUCACGACCACGACAAUAAGAAGGCUAAAAGUUAGCGAAAGUUUGCUAGCUAGUACAACUUACUUGUAGAUGAAUUAUAUUAAGAGGCGCUUUACAACCAAUGAGAUGUUCACGGUCAAUAAAUCUUUCCCAAACCCUACACACAGCCAUUGUGGAUCAUGAACUAAUAAUUACAGAGUCAUAUCAUGAUAUUCUUCUAGCUGAGAUCGAUAUUACGUACCUUUGAAUAAUGAUUACCAUUUACUGAUAAUUAAUUUUCUUGUGGUUUUCUCAUUGAGUCAAAGAUUAUCAACCGGUUCUUGGGAAUUUCAAUGACCAUGAGUAUCCAGUGAAAGCUGUUUAUAUAUAUAUAUAUAUAUAUAUAUAUAUAUAUAUAUAUAUAUAUAUAGUCAGGCCUAUAACUAUAUAAAACUCGUCUCGAGUAAUAAUAAGUAAAAUAAAAUGUGCAUGCACUUAAUAACUAUAUAACUCACUCGAAGUUGUAGGGGAAGAGUAUGUUUGUUUUUCUUUUUGGUUCACAAAGAACCUCAUAAGAUUGGUGCAGACUUCUGUCUCAUGAGAUGUUGUCCACACUGCGUGCGGAGCCUUGAAAACAACAUAAGGGUCAACGAACCCAAUACUAUUGCCAUUUUUGCUUCUGAGCUCUCUCAUUUGGUGCCUGCAUAUAUACAUACAAAUUCUAAGUGUGUAAGGAUUAUAUACAUAUAAUUAAAGAAGGUAGAAGUUUAAUAAAAAAAAUACUUACAGACAAAAGCAGCUGACAAGAGAUUUGUCGAAAGCAGCUGACAAGAGAUUUGUCGAGAGCGUCGUGGUGACAUAAUUGGUGCAAUUCUUCAAACUGGACGUAUAUGAGGUCAUCUCCACGAAAGUAGUGAUGUUGUCUAAUACGAACAGAAAUCCAAUUAUCUCCCCUUUUAGACGCCUCCAUACACCACUUGUUUAUUGCAAAUAUUUGUGUGCCGAGCUCAUGUAAAUGCUGAGGGUUGAAUAGACUCCUGUCCGGUUCAUAUCUUGUCCUCCAUUGAUCAACUACCUCAGCUUUUUCAAAAGUUUGGCAUCCAACAAUGGUGGCAAUGUCUUCAAUAUUUAGACCGCUCUGUCCAAAGUAAUGCUCAAGCGAAUCUAGCUCAUACAAGAUUAAGGAUUUCUUUAGCAUCAAGUCUUCAUUUGAGCCGUAUUGAUUUGGCACAAUCAAAGGGGCACCGAUUUUGAUACUUCUCCGAGCUGUGGGACCCUCUUUCCUACACUCUUUCUAGGCUGUGAAGACUUGACCAAAGACUGCUCAUAGUUUGAAAGUGUUGGCUUUUUCUGAGCUUCCCGCUUCUUCUUUUGCUGGUCCGCCACCUUCUUCCUCAGUUCCUCUGGCUUUACAUAAAAGUACAGCUUUUCUAGAUUUAGCCACUCUUUUCUUUCCUGCUUCAAUUUAUCGAAAAAUUAUUUGACCUCAGCUUUGGAUGUAGCAAUUACCUCCUCUUCACUCUUUUCAUAAGAUAAUUUCUCUGGUGUCUUAGCUUUCUUUGCUGAGGCAGCCUUCUUUGGAGGUGGGAUCGAUGACUUCGGUCGUUCUGGAGCGGACCGCUUCUGACUACCUCGCUUUGGAGGCGAUGGGACCGACCGUGUACUCUUUGGAGAGGGCGGUGGAGGUGGUGGGGCCGAUCUUUUUGGUGUUGGAGAACGUGGUGGAGGAGUUGGAGACCUCGGUGGAGGAGGUGGAGACCAUGGUGGAGGCGGUGGCGGGGUCGGUGUGGCCGCCGCAGGUGUUGGAGGAGAUCCAACAUUGUCACCGCCCACAGCACUAUGAUGCGCUGGGGAAAGAACUGGACUUAGGUUGGAGGAGUCCCUGCAGAGAAAACAAUAACAAGUUCUGUGAACAAACUUUAUUUAAAUGCAAUACAUAAUAAAUAAUAUAAGAAGUAAACAAUAGUGACAUUCCUAGAAUAAUUAUGAAGCGCUUGCGCCAACAAAUAAACGUCUUCUCAGCUUCACCUAAGUUCUUCUCUCCGUAUCCCCCUUCUAUUUCUAGAGGCACACUGCCACAACCUUUCUCAACCCUAUCAACCGAGACGCUAGCAUAUCCAGUUGGCACUGGUCGAUUAUGGAUUCUUGGAGUUCUCGUUUGGUCGAUAGGGUUGACAACACCGGUAGCCACCUUUUUUGUUGCAUUUCCAUCUGGUACAUGUAGCUCAUAAGUAGUAAAAGCCUCUGUAACAUCAUCCACGUGGAAGUGUAGCUUCGUGUCAUCCUGAAUGGUUGGUACUUCCGUGGAUGCGCAACUGCUUUUCAACUGGCCUGGGGGCUAACGUUGACCUCAGGCUGUGAUGUACCUUGUCCUUUCAUUAUUUGACUAAGUGCUGCUUGCACUUGCCUUUCAAUCUCCGCCUGCAUCCAUUCUUCAUGAGAUUUCUCGUGCUCUUGUGACUGCAGAACAAAAGCUUCCAGCCGGCGGAUCCGCUCUGCCUCCUCAUCCUUCUUUCUCUGGCGGCUUCUGUAGGUUUCUUGAUCAGCUUGGAAUGAUUGCAGCCAUGGAACUACCCCAUAGCCUCUCGUACGCCCACCGUGCUCAGGAUUUUCAAGCGCAUACGUGAGUUCAUCCUUCUUCCUGUUAGGCCUGAACUCACCAGACUGAACCACCUCUCCUGCAUGGACUAGUCUCUCUGCUACUCUAGAGAUUUCUUAGCCCCAAACUAGCACCCCGGUGUCUAGGUCCACGCUUUCCCCAUGACCGUAGAACCAAUGCUUGGAGCGCUCGCUCCAAUUCUUUGCUAUUGUCUCGGGUGUGACCCCCCUAAUAAGCAUCUCCUGUUCCAUUCUUUCCCACUUGGGAACAACACUCUUAUAACCACCUGAUCCCAUAUGAUGGUGGUAUGUCUUUUUACUUGCAUUUUCUUUGUUCUUAAUGGCUCGUUCCUCGCCCUCUUCUGAUAUUUUGUACUGCACGAAGUCAUCCCAAAAGGCCCUCAGCUUUACAUAUUGCUUGAGGUUGAAAUUUGGAGUCUCGUUUUUCUUGACAAAUUUAUUGUACAAAGACUUCUUCCAAUUCUGGAAUAGUACCGCCAUCUUCUUCAUAGUCUAGUCAUAAAUUCACACCUUCAACUCUUCAUCGUUAGUGUCGAAGGUGAAAACCGCCGUGCCGACUUUCCAAACUACUUACCACGAUCAGAGACAAAACUGAUUUCAGGAGCACCUCGCUUCUCUCUCCAUUCACGAGCACUGAUCGGUAUUUGGUCUCUCACAAGGUAUCCACAGUGACCAACAUAUUUAUUUGCAUGUUCACCAAGUGGUCUGCCUAUAGCUAUCUCAAACUCAGAGGUUACGUAGCGGCCCUCCAACGGCUUAUUUGGCCCUCGUGGAGGUAAGCUUCUCCCCGUAGAGGUCGAUCCAGAAGGCUACACGUAGAUAUAAAAACAAAAAUACUAAAUUAAUAACCAAGUAAGUCUAAAACCUAAUGUAAAGAUGCAUUAUAUAUGUUUACAUUUACAUACCUCGCCGGUAUUUCCUUCUUGUUGCACGACAAGUUGUUGCUCAGGCGCAUUACCCUCUUGUUGCUCAGGGGCAUUUCCCUCUUGUUGCUCAGUCGGAUUGUCUUGCACAAUCUCGUUGUAAUCAAUAAAGUACUGACCACUGUCGUCGAUCAUAUUUUGAAUGUCAUCUUCUAUAUAAUUAGGAUCAUCAUAAGGACGGUCGGCCAUUUCUAUGUCUGCAACCACAUAUACAUAUAUAUUCUAUAUAAGAUAAGAAAUACACUAGAAUAAUAUAAGUUCUAGAGUGCUCCAAACUAAAAAAUAAUACUAACAAUAACAUAUGAAAGUGCUAGAGUGCUCCAAACUAAAAAAUAAUACUAGAAUCCUUUAAGCCAAGUAAUACACUAGAAUAAUAUACUAAAAAUAAUACUAAAAAAUAAUACUAGAAUAAUAUACUAGCAAAAUAUAUUUCAUAACAAUUCAAAACACUACAAUUCAUAAUAUACUAGAAUAGUAUACUAAAAAGUCUUUUAAGCCAAGUAAUACACUAGAAUAAUAUACUAAAAAAUAAUACUUUAAAAUAAUACUAGAAUAAUAGUACAAACAAUAAUAUAUACAAAACUCUAGAAUUAAUAAUAUACUAGAAUAAUAUACUAAAAAGUAAUACUAGAAUAAUAUGCUAGCACAAUAUAUUUCAUAACCAUUCAAAACACUACAAUUCAUAAUAUACUAGAAUAAUAUACUAAAAAGUCUUUUAAGCCAAGUAAUACACUAAAAUAAUAUACUAAAAAAUAAUACUAAAAAAUAAUACUAGAAUAAUAGUACAAACAAUAAUAUAUACAAAACACUAGAAUUAAUAAUAUACUAGAAUAAUAUACUAAAAAGUAAUACUAGAAUAAUAUACUAGCACAAUACAUUUUAUAACAAUUCAAAACACUACAAUUAAUAAUAUACUAAAAUAAUAUACUAAAAAAGUAUUUUAAGCCAAGUAAUACACUAGAAUAAUAUACUAAAAAAAUAAUACUAAAAUAUAAUACUAGAAUAAUAGCACAAACAAUAAUACUAGAAUAAUAUACUAAACUAAAAUAUAUAUUACAGACUACAUGUAUACUAGAAUAAUAUACUAAAAAGUAAUACUAGAAUAAUAUACUAAAAACUAAUACUAGAAUAAUAUACAAGCAUGCAUUAUUUUUUAGUGUAUAAAUAUAUACUUAAAUAUAUAUACAAAUCAAAACACUACAAUUUAUAAUAUACAUAUAUUUUUUAGUGUAUAUAUAUAUAUAUAAUUCAGUGUGGUCUAGUGUGUGUAUAUAUAUAAUACAGUGUGGUUUAGUGUAUAUGUAUAUAUAUAUAUAUUUUUAGUAUACUUAAUUAAUAUGUUAUAAUUCAUAACAAUUCAGUGUGGUAGUGUAGAGGGAUGGCCGGAGUACGUGAUCUAGCGCGCGUAAAGAUGGCCGGAGUUCUCGGUGUGUCGUCCACGUACGGCGCAGCGACGCUGGUGGAGAUCGAUGGCCGCAGCGGCGAGCUGGAGACGGCGGCGCGACGCUAGAGACGAGGUCACGCGGCGCUGCAGUAGACGAACGGCCGGCGGCGCAGGAGACUAGGGCUGCUCGACGAAGACGAAGGAACUGUUUAGAUCCAGCGCGUAUAUGCGCUUAUAUAGGGGCAGACCCUUUAGCACCGGUCCGUAGCUGGAACCGGUGCUAAAGGGUCUUUAACACCGGCUGGUAACACGAGCCGGUGUUAAAGGGUGACCCUUUAGCAUCGGCUCGUGUUACCAGCCGGUGCUAAAGAGACCCUUUAGCAUCGGUUUUAGCCACGGGCCGGUGCUAAAGGGUCCUUAGACGGGCUCGGAUGGGGUUCUGAAAUUUUCAUUUUGAAGACCCGUUAGCACCGGUUCCAACCAUGAGCCAGUGCUAAAGGGUAUGUUUUUUAGUUUAGGGUUUUUAAAGUGUUUAUAUAUACACUUUACAUUAUAAAUUGUAUAGUAAAUUAAAUAUUUUGUAUAAUAUUUUUUAAAAAGUGACAUGUAUUGUAUUUUUUUAAUGUACACAUAAAAAUUUUUAACCUUAAAUAUCUUACUAUAUUUUUUAAAUUUGCAAUAAUUUUGUAAGUAAUGUUUAGUAUUUUGUUAAUGAAAAAAUAUAUUAUUCCAAUAAAUUUACAAAAACUAUAUCCAAUCAACUGGAAAUCUAUUUUCACAUCAUAUUGACGUUAAACUUUUUAUUUUUGUCAUUUAUUACUCAGAAUGCUAGUACGGUACAAUUUUCAUCAAAUAAAAAAUCUAUUUAUCAUAUAAAAAUGUAGAUCUUGAUGAAUACACCCUUUGACCAAACCCUAGAUGGUCCCAACUAGAAAAGUCAUGAAUACAAAGUUUGUUACACUCAUCAAGUUCUACAUUUGGUCUAAUGGUCAACUUUUCAUUUGGAAAAGUUUGAAAUCACUCAAUUUUGAAUUUUGAAAGAAUUCAUAGGCACGCAUCGGUUUCGGAACCCUAGAUGGUCUCGAAUGGAAAAGUCAUGAAUACCAAUAUUGUUCCACUCAUCAAAAUCUACAUUUAAUAUAUAGACCAUUUUUGCAUUUGACAAAGUGUUGGGAAGGUGUAGUUGAAAAUCCAUAACUGACAUAUGUAGUUUCAUAUAGUUUGUGUGAGAUUAAAGAUUUGGUGGGUAUUGUUAACUUAAACUUUCUCAAAUGGAAAAAUUUUGUAUAUAAAAAGUUUAUAUCUUGAUGAUAUCUAAUAACUUGGUAUUCAAAAUUUUUUCAUUUUAAGUAAUUUAGUUUGUCAUUUGACCAAAACCCGUGUUGGAUUUUAAAGAAAUGUGCUUAGGAUUGGCUCAAAUUUAUCCAAAUGGAAAAAUGGACAAUAUAUCAAAUGUAGAUCUUGAUGAUCUCUAACAACUUUGUAUUCAUUUUUUUAUUUGAAGUCAUCAAAUGGGUCAUUUAACCAAGUUUGACCAAAGUCAAAGCAUUGGUUUUUACAAACACACCCUUUGACCGAACCCUAGAUGGUCCCAAAUGGAAAAGUCAUGAAUACAAAGUUUGUUACACUCAUCAAAAUUCACAAUUCUCAAAUAUAGUUUCAUACAAUUCUUAGUAUUCGUACAUUUUACAACACAUACUAUUAAACAUAACUUUAUAUUAAGCCGACACAAUAGUGAACUUCUUCUUGAUGUAUGACCCUUGGUUAUGAUCCUGCCGUAACCAUGGAGUAUCCUCAUUGUUUAACAGAAUGCUUGGGUCUUUGUUGACUAUGAAGGGCGGAAUUCGAUCAUCCCUUUCGUAAUCGCCUGACAUGUCUGACUUGUCCUCAAUUCCGACAAUGUUUCUUUUCCCAAAAAGGACAAUGUGGCGCUUUGGCUCAUUGACGAUUGAGUGGUCAUCAUUUUUUCCUCUCUUUGGUUUCGUAGACAUGUCUUUCACAUAGAACACCUGACUCACGUCUGCAGCAAGGACGAAUGGUUCGUCUUUGAACCCACUAUUGUUAAGGUCCACGGUUGUCAUCUCAUACUCCUUAUUGACUAUUACCCCACCUCCGGUCAUCUUCACCCAUUGGCACCGGAACAAAGAAACUUUAAAAUUAGCUGCAUAGUCUAGUUCCCAUAUGUCUUCUAUGCGUCCAUAAUAUGUUUGUCUGUUCCCAUUUGGAUCCAUGGCAUCCACACGUACACCACUAUUUUGGUUGGUGAUCCUUUUAUCUUGGCCAACUAUGUAAAAUGUGUUACCAUUUAUCUCAUACCCUUUGUACGUGAGGACAUGCCAUGAUGGUUUCCUGGCCAACAAAUAAAGCUGCUCAUUAAUGUUUUCAUCACCCUGACAUUUUUUGUGCAACCAAUCGCCAAAAGUUUCCUUGUGCUGAUGCAUUAUCCAAGCUUCAUUCUUCCUAGGCCAUUGGGACCGUAGGAAAUCUUUGUGUACCUCAACAUAUGGUUCCACCAAUGAGGAGUUCUGGAGAACUGUGUAGUGUGCUUUAUUGAAGUAAUCGUCACCCGUACCAAUAUAUGUUUUCUUCCCAAAUGUUCCUUUUCCGCUGAGUCUGCCCUCGUGUCGAGAUUCAGGAAUGCCAAUUGGGUCAAGGUCUAGAAUAAAGUCAACAUAGAACUCUAUGACCUCCUCUAUUCUGUAGCCCUUGGCAAUGCUUCCUUUUGGGCGGGAACGACUAUGGACAUAUUUCUUUUGGACACCCAUGAAUAUCUCAAAGGGGAACAUGUUGUGUAGGAACAUAGGAUCGAGAAUACGAAUCUCUUUGAUCAGAUGAACUAGGAGGUGUGUCAUGAUAUCAAAGAAGGAUGGAGGGAACACCAACUCAAAGCUGACGAGACAUUGAACGACAUCAUUCUAUAGAGUAGCUAGUUGCUCUAGAUUGAUUGCCUUCUGAGAAACUGCAUUGAGGAAUGCACAUAGCUUUACGGUGGCUAGACGUACGUGUGGAGGUAAAAUUCCUCUUAAAACCACCGGCAACAAUUGCGUCAUUAGAACAUGACAGUCAUGGGACUUUAAGUUCAGGAAUUUCGUCUCUGGCACAUUAAUUAUUACCUUGAUAUUGGAGGAGAAUCCAGAUGGGACCUUGAUGUUGCUAAGACAUUCAAACAUGCUUUCCUUCUCUUCUUUGCUCGGAGUGUAGCUAGCAGGGCUUAAGUAAUGACGUCCAUCAUCUGUCUUUUCUGGAUGCAGGUUGUCUCGUUCUUUCAUGCGCUGCAAGUCUUGUCGUGCUUCAAGUGAAUCCUUAGACUUCUCGUAGACACCCAUGAAUCCGAGCAAGUUCACACAAAGAUUCUUUGUCAGAUGCAUCAUGUCGAUCGCGUUGCGGACCUCUAGGACAUUCCAGUAAAGUAGCUCCCAAAAUAUGGAUUUCUUCUUCCACAUGGGUACGUGUCCCUUAGCGUCCUUGGGAAUAGGUUCGCUGCCUCAUCCCUUUCCAAAUACCACUUUUAUAUCCUUGACCAUUUCGAGUACAUCAUUCCCAGUUCGAUUGAGAGGCUUGGUCUGGUGGUCUGCCUUGCCUUUGAAAUGCUUGCCUUUCUUUCGUACUGGGUGGUUCACAGGAAGAAACCGACGGUGGCCAAGGUACACGACCUUUCGACAUUUUUUCAAAAAUACACAGUCAAUGUCUUCAUAACAAUGUGUGCAUGCAUUAUAUCCCUUGUUUGAUUGGCCUGAAAGAUUACUCAGAGCUGGCCAAUCAUUGAUUGUUACAAACACCAAUGCUCACAGGUCAAAGUGCUCUUGUUUGUACUCAUCCCACACGCGAACUCCUGGUUUGCUCCAUAAAAGUUGAAGUUCCUCAACUAAUGGCCUUAGGUAGACAUCGAUGUCGUUGCCAGGAUGCUUCGGUCCUUGGAUAAGCACCGGCAUCAUAAUAAACUUCCGCUUCAUGCAUAGCCAUGGAGGAUGGUUGUAGAUACAUAGAGUAACUGGCCAAGUGCUGUGACUACUGCUCUGCUCACCGAAAGGAUUCAUACCAUCUGUACUUAAGGCAAACCACAAGUUUCUAGCAUUAUCUGCAAAAUCUGGGAAUUCUCUGUCUAUCGCUCUCCACUAGGAUCCAUCGGCAGGGUGUCUCAGCAUAUUGUCUAUCUUACGGUCUUCUUUAUGCCACCGCAACAACUUUGCAUUGUCCUUAUUUCUGAACAGACGUUUUAAUCGUGGUAUUAUAGGAGCAUACCACAUACCUUGGCAGGAAUUUUCUUCCUAUGACAUUCUUCACCCUCAACAUCGCCAGAAUCAUCUCGCCUGAUCUUAUACCGUGAUGCCUUACAUACUGGACAUGCAUCCAAAUUCUCGUAUUCCUCCCCACGGUAGAGGAUGCAGUCAUUAGGACAUGCGUGUAUCUUCUGGAUUUCUAAUCCCAAAGGGCAGACAACCUGUUUUGCUUCAUACGUAGUGGUGGGCAAUUCGUUGCCUUUUGGAAGCAUCUUUUUUAUGAUCUUCAAUAACUGCCCAAAUGCCUUGUCAGAUGUACCAUUCUUUGCCUUCCAUUGCAGCAAUUCCAGUAUGGUACCUAGCUUUUUUUCCCCUCUUCAGCGGUGGGAUAUAGCGAUUUCCUGUGGUCCUCUAGCAUGCGCUCGAACUUGGCUUUCUCUUUCUCACUUUCACAUUCUCUUUGUGCAUCACGGAUGGCAUCACCAAAAGCAUCAUCGCCCCGAUCAUCUUCUGUGCUACCUCUUAUUCAUUAUCUCCCCCCAUUGCAACAUCAUUGAAGCCACCGUACUGAGCAAUAAUGUUGGCGUGGUCCAAUUCUUCUUCUUCACCUUCAUCCAUUAUAAUCCUGCUUUCUCCAUGCUUGGUCCAACAAAUAUAGUUUGGUACGAAACCAGACUUUAAUAAGUGCGAAUGAAGAGUUCUUCAAUAUUCUGUCAAAUUCUUGCACACGGCACAUGGAUAGCACAUGAAACCGUCCCUUUUAUUUUUCUUGGCCACACUAAAAGGUCGAGAUGGUGGACUAGAGGGGGGUGAAUAGUCCUUUCUAAAAACUAUCGUACCGGCUAACCAAAACAAAUGCGGAAUUAAAUCUAUCGGCCUAGCCAAGACUACACCCCUCUAUCUAAGUUCUCUAGCACCUUGUAAAAGAUCCUAAACAAGAAAACAAGGUGCUACCUUAGCAAGAGCUCACCUAACCAAUUCUAGAAGCAAGGUCACACAAACCUAUGCAACUAGUACUUUGCAAACCGAGGGAGCUCCUACACAAACAAGUGAGGCAAAGCGCACAAAGCCUAAGCUCACUAGCAAGCUCAAUAACAAGGCAACUAAUGCCAAAUUAGAGAGCGCAACUUACUUAGCUACACAAACUAAGCAAUGUGACUAACAAGGUUACACAAACCAAAUUAGUCACGCAAGCGAACUACUUCUAGCUACACAAGCAAGAAGGUAACUAGCAAGCUACACAAGCUAACUAAUUACAAGAGCAACUACACAAGCACAAAUAUAUGAAUGUAAAUACAAGCUCGUAUAUAGCGAAUGCAAACCACCGAGAAGAGUAGACAAUGUUGACACGGUGAUUUUUACCGAGGUUCACUUGGUUGCCACCAAGCUACGUCCUCGUUGUGGCGAUACACCCACUUGAUGGAUCACGAGCUAAUUGGCAUUCAAAGCCAAACCCUCAGCGGGUGCCGCACAUCCACUCUCAAGAUGGGGAUCCUCCAAGCCACAAGAAAUCCACUAGAGUUGCUCUUCGCAAUCUCUGUGGGGUGAGCACCGUACCCCUCACAAUCUCUUCUCCGAAGCACCGCACAAUCUCCUUGCGUGCUUCGACGGAGUCACAAGCCACCAAGCCAUCUAGGAGGUGGCAACCUCCAAGAGUAACAAGCACCACCGGCUUGCAACACGAACACCUAGUGCCACUCGAUGCAAUCUCUCAAUGCAACGCACUAGAAUCGCUCACUCACACAAUCGGAUGAUCACUAUCAAGCAUAUGUGAGUUAGAGGCUUCACUAGCACUCCCUAACCAUGGACACUAAAUCCCAAGGGUGCUCAGCACAAGCCAAGGCCGGCCACCACUUCUAUUUAUAGCCCCAAGGGCUAAACUAGCCGUUGCCCCUUCACUGGGCAAAACACGUGGGCACCGGACGCUCACAGGGAGCCACCGGACGCUCAACCCCCAGCGUCCGGUGCUCAGGCGUCAGCCAUGUGUCACUAGCCAUUUGAACUCGACCGUUGCCGCCAACGGCUACUGCGCACGUGCGCCUACACAGUACCAUGUUGGGUAUUUUAAACGCAAACAGAAAAAUCCGCAAGCGCACGGAUACCGAUGUAGCUUUCACCCGGGAGUAUUCCAGAGUAUCGAUUUUCCACAGAGAACGUGAGUGUACUAAUUAAGAUCCAAGAUCGCCCAAGGAUAACUAUAUAAUUAUUUUUGGUGGGAAGAGAGGAAGUUUCCUGAGUGUUCUCUAGUUGAUCUAAGAAUCAAGAAUUACUUCAAGAUUAUCUAUAUCGGGACAUCAGAGCACUAACCACAGAAAGAGAUGAGAAGGGGGCUAGGAAGGUCUGACUACGGUCCUACAAACACCGAUCCGAACGUGGUGGAAUACGUCGACCGUUAGGGCUGUCACUACCCUAAGGCUACCACAACAAUCCGCAGGAUUGGGUGCAAUUCCAGGUAAUUGCAAGACUAAACACCACGUCUAAUCUAUUAAUUACUACUCUAGCGUUAUAAAGACUAGAGCACUUGAUGCAAGCGGGAAUCCAAUAAAUAACUUGAAUGUAAAUAAAAGUAAUUAAAGAACUCAGGAUUAUGAAUUGAAGAACCUGGAGAACGAUGAAGAAUGAACCAGUUGCUGCAAAAAUUUAAUGUUGAGGAAGAUCCGACAGAUCCGGGUCCUCCUCCGCUCUCCUCUUCUCUCUCCCUAUUUUCUAGACUACAACUAGAACUAACUAGAACUAGAACUAGAGGAACUAGAACUAGAACUAGAUGAACUAGAACUAGAACUAGAUGAACUAGAGGUAGAACUAGAAGAACUAGAGGGAUCCUCUCUACUUGGAUGAAGAAUUGAAACCCUAACUUUGAUUCUGUAGAAGAGGUAUGCUCUCCAGGGGCCAGGGGGCCUUGCUUAUAUAGUCUUUUCAGAUGAAUCUGGGCCGUCGGAUCGAACCGACAUUAAUCGCACAGUUUUCCUUGGUCCCUUAGGUCGGUGGAGCACGAUCCGCGAAGUUGAAGCUGAUUGGUUACUGUAGCUGGGCGGGCACCCAAGGGACUUGGGCGGGCGCCCUGCCCCCGGGCCCGAUCGGCCUCCCGUUCGUUCCCGUGGCUUCUGGAGUCUUCUAGAUGGUAGAAAAUUGCGCGGCACGUUAAUAUCUCUAUGUAAACCCGACGUGUGGGCUUUUCUUUCAUAUUUCCUGAUAACCUCCUGCAGAAAUAGACAAACACCAAAACUCGUGGAAUUCUGUCAGAUAAAACCCUAAGUCUAGGUGUUGGCUGCAUAUAAGUCUUUUUCCAUGAUUAGUUGAUGGUUAAAUGUGAGCAUUAAGGACCGUCAACAAGCUCCCCCAAGCUUAACCUUUGCUCGUCCCUGAGCAAAGAUGAACUCAAGAAUUUCUGCAGUGGUUUCAAUACAUGCGUUCAAACAAGAUCUCAUCUCUGGGUUAGGGUAAAUUGUUAAGAUUUAAAUUUACUCAUUUUUCCUUCCACCAUGGGGCUUGCAACCGUCACUUGUGUCUUGAGUAGUUAAAAGAUAGAACAGUCUAGUCAAGCGCUAUGUCUCUUGUUCUUCGAUUAACUAUAGCUCUGGAGUUUUUGCAGAUUUUCAAAUAAAACUCAGAGAUUCCUUGUAUGACUCUCUCUAGUCUCUCUUUUGUGGUAUUUCUGGAUCCUUACCAAGGCAGUAAUGGUGUAUGCCUUCUCUCAAAGUAUGUGGUAUUUUUGGUAUGAGGCAUAGUGACAUUGCUUUCUCUCUCACCCUACUCUAAUAAGGCUUUUGAUAUCUGGAGCUCAUUGGUGGGAGAUAGCUAAUACAUACUUACAAGACAUUUAUUGCAUAGUCAAACUAUGGAUCCAGAAGAACAAGUCAAUAAGUCAAAUCAAGAUGUGCAUGUGUGGCGAAUGAAUGGUGUAUGGUGAUGAUUGAUAACAAUAGUGAAAGUCUAAUUCUACUUAUGCUCUUUUGAGGGGAUACAUACUUUUCUUGCUCUUUUGAAACUUUUUGAGGGGAAUAAGAUGCUCUAUAUUUUCUUUUCUUUUUUUUCUUUUCUCUCAGGUGGGUAUCUUGUACCCCUAAUUCUACUGUCGCACACUUGUCCAUUUUUACCUCUCGUCUCACUUUUUCUUUUCUUUCGAGGUUCCGGGCACUUGCCCCUUUUUAUUUCCUCGUAUCUUUUUUUUCUCUUUUUUUAGAGCACUCAUCUCCUUAAAUAAUAUAGCAAGUGGUAGUAACCAAGAUAACUCGAGCAUUUAUUGCAUAGGGAAUAACAAGGAUAGGAAAAUAUUUUUGGCUAUUCUCUCCCGGAUUAGGAGUAGAAUACUUUUGGGUGAAUCUGGAGAUGGAAGUGAGUGGAUAUAUGUGGAUGCGUACUUCCGGAGUAGAAGCAACAUGUGUGAGUGAACGUGCAAGUGAAUCUUGAUUCUAACCGCAUGACAAGCUCCUAAGGGUCUACACAGCUUGACCACACUCAAUGCUCAUAAGUAGUAAAAAGUAAAUGUGUGGCUCAAAGUCUAGCAAACAUGUAUAUAUGGCUGUGGUAGGAAUUUAAACUCUCAUCAUACAGGAACUCAUCAUGUGAUAUUUUGAAGAUUUUCAAAGAUAAAAUUCUCUAGAAUUCUAGCAUCUCUAGGAACAGAUAAACAGCAGCUCAACCUUCCCAUAUCAUAUCCAUUAACAACUUAGACUUUAGAUCAAGUACUCUUCCCACAAGUUCAGGUUUAGAGCAAGUCUUAAUUAAUAACAGUCAUGCCUAAACUUGAAAGAGAUUUCAAUUUUAAGAACUAGUCAUGGCAGAGCAACUAUUCAUCAUUUCCACGUGACAGCUUAUCAUGAGGGUUCAUAGCAAACUUUAUUUAUUUAUUUAUUUAGCAAACUAAACAAAGAUAUAUAUAAGCACAAAAUCUUUAUUUGGGUUUUUAUGAUUAUGCAUCUUUUUAUUAUUUGAGUAAAAUAUAAACAUGAGUAGAGCACUUAACUGGAUAAAUGGUGGUGCUCUCCCCCAAGCUGGAUUUUGCCGUAAUUCCUUCUGAUGUAGCUAGCAGGUGGCGGAGGUGUAUUUGAAUGUUGGUAGCCUCCUGACAGCGAUUCGGAUGUCCUCUGUCUACUAGUCUUCUUUGAUCCUUGAAUUCUGUGGAGCUCAAAUAGACAACAAAGCUUUGUGGAACUAGUUAAGUGUUAACAUAAAUAUCUAGCCUUUAUCAUGUUGAGCCUCCUUAAUAAAUGUUACACUCUUUAGUAGGAUCACAAUCUUAUUUUUACAAUUUUAUUUUUAUAGGACAGGAAUAUAUUUAUUUCAUUUUUAUGCCACCACAGUGAAUGUACUUAUGGGUUUUAUGCCAUGAGCAUAAUCACAUGGGGCUUACUAUUUUUAACAUUUUUAUUUUCUUUUCAAGAUGAUAUGAACCUGAUUAACUAAGCAAACUAUUUUAAAAUAAUUGAAAGGAAAAAGAUAACUACCAAGUUUACCUCUUGGCAAGGCGUUCGGUGUUUUUAAGUCCUCCGAACGGGUCUCUCCGUUUUCUCUGUCGUCCUAGGAUUCGCUGGAUGGUGUAGUCGGUGGUUCCGGCGGCGCCUCCUCUUCGUGUAUAACUAUCUUUUCUCUCCACACCUGACUCGGUGCUACGGUCUCCUCAGGACAGUUCUGUUUAAGUUGUAUGUCUUCAGAUCUUACCACUUCUCCUUCGUAGUCUGCCCAUCCAUCCUUGAUGAUUUGCCUCCUCUGGUUGCGGUUGCGUCGUCUUCUUUGUCUUGACCUGCUUAGAGUCUUCAUAUAUAUAUAGUUAGGGUCAGUAAAAUAGCGGCGUACCUUCUCAGAGGGGAAGUGCAUGUGGACUUCUCCGGUUCCAAUGUAGAUGAUUGCUUUAACGGUGCUGAGGAACAGUCUUCCAAGGGUGAUGGGUGGAUUGUACUUGUCUUCUUCCAUGUCAAUAACCUUAAAAUCAUCUGGAGCUAAAUGUAUGUCGGUUUUAGUGGCAUGGUUCCGAAUAGGAGCUGAUAGGUGACUGGGUCGUCCUUUUUGGUCAGGAACGGUGACUUAAGUCAACGAUCUUGACCUCCUUAAACUGCAGUGACCAUCUUGGUUGACUCGGUCCACAUUUGCUUGUUCCUGUUCCUCCUGUUGGUCAUCUUCCUUGGUUCAUGUCGGGAUUGCUCUGAGAUUUGUAUAGUCUUGUUCUUGAAGGAAAACGUCUCCUUCCUCUCCUUGAUGUAGAAACUGAUCUUGACAGCACUAGCAUAGAUGACAGCUCCCGAGGUGUUCAGGAAUGGCCUCCCUAGGAUGAUGGGUGCCCUCUCGUCAGUAUCAGUCUCUAUCACCACGAAGUCUGCUGGAGCGUAUAAGGUACCAACUCGGACAUAGAGGUUAUUCAAUAUUCCCUUUGGGAAACUUAGUGUCUGAUCUGCAAGCUGCAAACACAUGGUUGUUUCUAGGAAAGGAUGUGUAAAGAAUUUUUCAUAGAGUACCCUGGGCAUAAUGUUGACGCUGGAGCCAAGGUCGCAGAGUGCUUCUAGGAAGUCCACCAUGCCGAUGGAGAUCGGGAUGACGAGGCGUCCUGGAUUGUCUCUCUUGACCGGCAGAAGGUCAGUAAUUACUUCCACAGCAGGGUUACUCCAGUAGUUACGUCCUCAAGCAUCUCAGGGCAGUGAUUGCCUGAGUGUCCAGUAUCCCCAGUGUGUUUGAGCUCGUAGAUCUAGGUUCUUCACUUGGUGGAGUGUGGGAGUUGUAAAAGUCCUUCAUAUUUUGCUCGAAGUGUACCUGCUCGUAGAGACAAGGGAGAGAUCAAGUGCAUGGGCCCUGUUGGUGGAAAACACCAACAGAACCAAAAGUGUAUUUGUGCUUCUCUACCCUUAAGCAUAGUGAGCAAGACAAAGUUGAUGGAUAAUAAGAUCAUGAGUGCAGCAUUUAAAAUAUUUGUCAGAUCAGAUUGCUCAACCUAAUGGAAAGAUAAUCUCUCUAUAGUUAUGUUGUUUUUUUAUAUAUCUUCCAAAGAUUGAGCGUGCAACAUUUUAGCUCAUAAGAUUAGGAGUGUGGGAUCACAAAGAUGGAAGGACUACACAUGUUGAAUCGAUUGGGUUGGUUAAUCUAGAGUUGUAAAUCAUACAUGUUUGUCUCUUUUAUUCAUGUGAACGCCAGAACCAAGGAGAAGCUUGUAGAAGUGAAAGUCAAGUACCUUAAGAUGUUACCUUACUUGAAGAGUGAUGGUACAGUAUCACCUUGUGGAAGCUCUCCUUUCUUAGUGGUUGUGCAUCAUGUUUGUGGCACCCUCCAUGGAUCAUCUCUUGUGAGGUAUGCCUUCCUUGUGUAAAUUGUUAAACUUCAUGUGUCUCUCUCUUUGUCUCCAAUGUGAGUUUAUCUCUGGACUUCCCAGGUUGAUAUUGAAAGUUUUCCUGCAGGGGUUAGUCCAACAAAAUAUCCAGUAUCUACUAUAGCAUAAUAUUGGCUCAAAGAUUAACCUAGACACCAUGUCUAAUUUGAUUUAGGAGGGCAUUUUAACCUAAGCAUCAUGCUUAAUUUAAACUCCCUUUGAAGUAAGAUCAUCAGCCCUAAACUAAGCACCAUGCUUAAUUAAGAGAUAAAUGAAACUACUCAAAACCUAGACAUAUACUAAAGCAAAUAAAGGUAGCAUCAGAGCGUUUAUAGAGAUCUACUCAAGUGGAGAUGAAGUAGUGUGAUUAGUAUUUAACAAAUUGAGCAUGUCUCAAAGGUAGGGACAACCAACAUAGCAACAUGGCAAAGGAUGUUUGUAUGUAAAGUACUCCCCCAAGCUUGAAUUUUGCAAAAUUCAAGUUUGGAUGAAUUUAAUUCAAUGUUAUAUGAUGAUUGGUUGGACAUACCUUGUGCUUGUCAUUCAUCCGAUCUUCUUGCUCCAAUCCUGGAAAGGUUAGUGACAAGAAUACCCGAAGGAAUAUUUUUACAAUUAUCCUUAUAUGCUCAACACACAAGGUAAUGUUGCAAAUAAUUAAAAGCUCAUAUUACAAUCUGAUCAGUGCUUGUUUUAGGACACUAAGCUUGUCCUUGGGAAACCAUCAAUUUAUGUCAGUGAAGUGGUUUCCCCUCCAAUGCUGACCUAUAUCAAGAUCAACUCAAUGACAUCUAGAAAAUUUAUUAUAGACAUAUGCAUCGACAACUGCCCUUUUAAAGUUUUUAUAAACAAAAAGGAUGCGGGGGUUGGAGAUCUCGAAUGUGGUGAUGUUGGAGAGACCAAUGGAUUGUGAAGAUGUUGCAUAUGAGCAUGGAGUAAAUGAAGUGGCAAUGAAAUAAAUUCCAUGCUCAUUAAUGCUUAGAGUGAAAUCCAUGUGGUAUGGUGAAAAUGAUAAGGUGAGUGUGGUAAAAAAAGAAAAGAAAAAGGAUACACGGAUGACUUGGUUCGAAACUAGCACAGCUACCGUUCCCCGGCAACGGCGCCAGAAAGCUUGUUGGGUAUUUUAAACGCAAACAGAAAAAUCCACAAGCGCACGGAUAUCGAUGUAGCUUUCACCCGGGAGUAUUCCAGAGUAUCGAUUUUCCACAGAGAACGUGAGUGUACUAAUUAAGAUCCAAGAUCGCCCAAGGAUAACUAUAUAAUUAUUUUUGGUGGGAAGAGAGGAAGUUUCCUGAGAGUUCUCUAGUUGAUCUAAGAAUCAAGAAUUACUUCAAGAUUAUCUAUAUCGGGACAUCAGAGCACUAACCACAGAAAGAGAUGAGAAGGGGGCUAGGAAGGUCUGACUACGGUCCUACAAACACCGAUCCGAACGUGGUGGAAUACGUCGACCGUUAGGGCUGUCACUACCCUAAGGCUACCACAACAAUCCGCAGGAUUGGGUGCAAUUCCAGGUAAUUGCAAGACUAAACACCACGUCUAAUCUAUUAAUUACUACUCUAGCGUUAUAAAGACUAGAGCACUUGAUGCAAGCGGGAAUCCAAUAAAUAACUUGAAUGUAAAUAAAAGUAAUUAAAGAACUCAGGAUUAUGAAUUGAAGAACCUGGAGAAUGAUGAAGAACGAACUAGAUGCUGCAAAAGUAUAAUGUUGAGGAAGAUCCGACAGAUCCGGGUCCUCCUCCGCUCUCCUCUUCUCUCUCCCUAUUUUCUAGACUACAACUAGAACUAGAACUAGAGGAACUAGAACUAGAACUAGAUGAACUAGAACUAGAACUAGAUGAACUAGAGGUAGAACUAGAAGAACUAGAGGGAUCCUCUCUACUUGGAUGAAGAAUUGAAACCCUAACUUUGAUUCUGUAGAAGAGGUAUGCUCUCCAGGGGCCAGGGGGCCUUGCUUAUAUAGUCUUUUCAGAUGAAUCUGGGCCGUCGGAUCGAACCGACAUUAAUCGCACGGUUUUCCUUGGUCCCUUAGGUCGGUGGAGCACGAUCCGCGAAGUUGAAGCUGAUGGUUACUGUAGCUGGCGGGCACCCAAGGGACUUGGGCGGGCGCCCUGCCCCCGGCCCGAUCGGCCUCCCGUUCGUUCCCGUGGCUUCUGGAGUCUUCUAGAUGGUAGAAAAUUGCGCGGCACGUUAAUAUCUCUAUGUAAACCCGACGUGUGGGCUUUUCUUUCAUAUUUCCUGAUAACCUCCUGCAGAAAUAGACAAACACCAAAACUCGUGGAAUUCUGUCAGAUAAAACCCUAAGUCUAGGUGUUGGUUGCAUAUAAGUCUUUUUCCAUGAUUAGUUGAUGGUUAAAUGUGAGCAUUAAGGACCGUCAACAAGCCACUGGACGCUCUACUGCGUCACACCGGACGCGUCCGGUGCACACCGGACCCAUGUGCAGAGAGCUCCGCAAACUCGCACAGUCACCGGACGGACCCUGAGCGUCCGGUGCUCACCGGUCAGAAACUCCUCGCGCACACUCGCUGACAUCACACACCACCAGACGCUCGAACAGUAACCGCCCACCGUCCGGUGCCAGCGUCCGGUGCGCUCUACACACCUGAGCCACAGACACCACACCGGACGCUCUGGACCAGCGUCCGGUGCUGCCAACACCAGCGUCCGGUGCUCCCGCAACUUCUCCAAAAUUCCCACCGGCGCAAUAGAAAAUAUACACUUAAUUUUCUCAAAAGCGCCGAAUCCCGCCGAGGAACCCACACCCCUCUCAACCCUAGGAACUCCACCUCCUUUGUAAAUGUGCCAACACCACCAAGUGUACACCACCAUGUGCAAGUGUGUUAGCAUUUUCACAAACAUUUUCCCAAAGGAGUUAGCCUCUCAAACUUGCCGCGCCACUCGAUCCUAACACAUAUGCAAAGUUAGAUCGCUCAAGUGGCACUAGAUGACCGAUAUGCAAACAAGUUUGCCCCUCUUGAUAGUACGGCCAUCUAUCCUAAAUCCGGUCAUAAACUUCUCUACACACCUAUGACCGGUGAAAUAGAAAAGCCCUAGGUUAUACCUUUGCCUUGCGCUUUCCAUUCCAUCUCCUCCAAUGUAGAUGCAACACAUGCACCAACCCAUCACCAAAUGAUAUGAUCCUCUUCAUAUCAUCAUGUGACUGUAUUGGUUCAUCGAUCUUGACCUCACUUGCUCUUCACCGUUGCCUCGGUCCAUCAGCGCCAAGUCUUGCUCAAGCUUCACCGUCACACGCGGUCCCUCGCUUCAAAGCCUCUGACUUUCCCUUCACUCUUGCAACCGGUCCAUCAAGCCAAGCCACAUCUUGAUCUUUUCCACCUUGGUCACAUGACUCCAUGUCAUGUCUCAUAUGCAAUGAGCUCCUCCAUCAUCAUAUAAUCACCUGUGGACUAAUCUCCUAUGUAUCUCACAUAAACACUAUUAGUCCACCUAAGUUGUCACUCAAUUACCAAAACCAAACAAGGACCUUUCACACACUUAAGAAAUAAUGCACGCCAUUAAUGAACUCUUCGGAGCGCCGAUCGGCAUUAUACAACCAAUUACGUGUUACCAUCUGCAUUAAAUAUAACAUAUAUAUUAUGAAAACCAUGCACACAUAUAGUUUCUCAUCUUAUUGCACAAUAUGUCUAACACACAUAGUUGAUUAAUUCAAGCAAGCUUGGCUACAACAAAUACAAUCGCAACUAGCACUAAAAAACCAAAACUAAAAUGCACUUAAGCAACAUAAUUAGUUCGAGUCUCAUCCCAACUAUAAUAGAUAGAUAAUUUGCUUGAUCAACAUCAUUGAACUCCUUUUGCCGGCUCACUGCCUCAUCACCUUCAGCCUCAACCACCUGUGCAAAAGAUUUCUUGAUGUGUUGAAUGUAUUCUUCCUUCCAGUACCAACCUGUACAUCCGCCGGUACCGUCCCACUGAAAUUAAAAGAGAGAAUCAAAAGUUUAAUUAAUAUCAUUAAAAAAAUAAGCACAUAUAUAAGCAAAUGUCUAGAAAUAACUCACAUUACGAUCCGGACACUUGUAGAAUAUAGGACCGUUGUUUACUCCCUCUUUCGACACUCUGUACUCCAUCACAAUCUUCUACCCACACUUGCCACAAGCAAUGAGAGGGAGUUCCGGCCGGUAUCGCUUUUGAACCCGUUGAGAGACUGAAGACCCGGUCACGGUUGCCAUCUACUAUCCAUACUCAAUUUUUAAACAAUUAUAAAUUCCACAUUUACUAGUAAACAUGUAUGAUAAAAGAAGAACCUAAUAAUAUCCUUUAUUUGUCUAGUUACUUCAACAAAUCUUCUAAAUUAUACAAUGGACAUUAUGUAGUAAUAAAAACUUAUCAAGUGAUAUUAAUAAACCAAUUAAUUUGAACUAUCCUACUUUCUAAGAUCAUAAAAAGAUACUAUUGACAGUCCUUAAGUACCAAAUAUAAUCAGCAAAUAAACAAAGAAAAGGAUCCAAAUACAACCAACAUCUAAACUUAGGGUUUUAUCUGACAGAAAUCCACGAGUUUUGGUGUUUGUCUACUUCUGCAGGGGGUUAUCAGGAAAUAUGGAGAGAAGGCCCACACGUCGGGUUUACAGAGAGAUAUUAACAUGUCGCACAAUUUUCUAUCAUCUAGAAGACUACAGAAGCCACGGGAACGAACGGGAGGCCGAGCGGGCUCGGGGGCAGGGCGCCCGCCCACCCCCCUUGGGCGCCCGCCCAGCUACAAGUCCAAUCAGGAAUCUCUUCGGGGAUUACGCUCCACCGACCUAAAGGAUCAAGAAUAACCAUUCAAUCAAUGUCGGUUUGAUCCGACGGCCCAGGUUCACUUGAGGGGACUGUAUAACCAGACCCCCUGGCCCCUGGAGGAGGCACCCCUUGAUCAUUAUUCAUUAUUCAUAGAUAGAGCAAAAGCUAGGGUUUAGAGAUGAGAGCUCUCCUCUCUUCUCUAAACUAGAGUAGAUCUAGAUAGUAGCGAGAUGGAGAGCGAAGGAGGAUUAGAGGAGAGGCCGGCCUGUCGGUUCUUACUCCGGUUGUACUUCGCCAUGAUCAAGCUCUAAUCAAGUUUGCUCAUGGGAUGACUUUGGUAAUCUACUUCUAAUUCAUUAUGCAAUUACUAAUCAUGUAUGUUCUGGUUCACAACUCUUUUGAGUACUUCUAAUCCAUAGGGCCCUAUAGGUUAGAGUUGUAGUAUAGGUGUAGGUGUGGUGCUUAGACCUAGAUUACUUGUGGAUAUCCCCUGUCUAGCUGGAUCGUGUGGUAGGCCGCGUAGGUGACAGUUACAUUGGUUCUCUGUAGUCCACCUCUCGUUAGCAGGACGGGUAGGGUUUAUUGGCCUAUGUAUAAGCAUCCUUUGUGGUGUACUCUUAUCACGUGGUUCGUCCUAGACAUAGACAUACCCCUUUGAAGAAGAGAAACCAUAGUUAUCCUCUCUAUUCUACUACCAUCGCCCAUAUAUUAGAUUGCUCUACUCUCUAUUCCCAUAUUAUCACCCACUGUUAUCUUACCUUUAAUAUUGUUCUUAUUCAAUUCUACCAUCUUUCCUAUUUACACCUAUCUAUUUAUCUUGGUUAAGUUAGAGCAUAGAUCAGUUCUCCCGUUUCCCUGUGGAUACAAUAAAACCUUUAACUGGGUAAAAGGCUACAACGGUAUGCAUGCGCUUGCGGAUUUAUCUGUGUGCGUAUAAAUACCAUAGUACACUCUAGUGCCAUGCUAGGGAUGACAACCUAGUAUUCAAGUGGUGUUAGCAAGUGUCAACAAGCAUUUUUGGCGCCGUUGCCGGGGAAACGGUUGCUGAGUUGACUACGAACUAGCUUAAUCAUUUUCUAAAAAAAUAAAAUAUAUAUAUUUUUUUCCUUUUAUCUUUUGCCUUAUCUCUGCUAUUCUUUCUUCUUAUCUAAUCCUUGAUCUCUGGUCUAUUAUGAAUUCAAACAUGUCUAUCUAUGAAUUUCAUAGACCUGUGGGCACACAUCUCGAACCACCAAAAUCUUCAAAGCCUAUCAUAGCAUCUAGUUUUGAGAUAGACCCCGAAUACAUAGAAUUUGUUCAAAAACAACCUUUCUCAGGAGAAGGUUAGGAAAACCCAUACACUCACCUAAGAGAGUUUUAUCGAGUCUGUGACCUCCUUCGCAUAGAAGGCAUGUCCGAUGAGACCCUUAAAUGGAAGCUCUUUCCGUUCUCUUUAACGGGAAAAGCUAGACAUUGGUACAAACUCAAAGUAGGGAGUGUUCAUGGAGAUUGGAAGGAGUUAUAUAAUAGUUUUCUUUCUAAAUAUUUUCUAAUCUCCAAAGUGGCGGAACCUCGGCGUAAGAUUCUUUCUUUUAGACAACUAGAAGAAGAAUCUCUUGGCAAAUCAUAGGACCGCUUCAUUAACCUUACUCUCACUGGCCCAAAGCUUUCUAUUCCAGAAGAAGUUCUUCUAAUUCACUUUUUUGAGGGCCUUAGUAGGGAAAAUAAGCGAACCCUUCAUGCGGCCUCUGGAGGAUCUUUCCACCACCUAUCCGCUAGUGAAGCUUGGAAUUUGAUUGAUUUAAUGAGCGGAAAGUCUCCUAGCUUUUAUAUCCCUGAGAAAGAGAAAGAACCAGUUCCUAGACAAGAAGAAGAAGUUUCGAUAGCCAGAUCACAACCACUUCAAUCCCAAACUUUAGCUAUCGAUCCUAAACCAUCAAUACCCCAAAAUUCUCUAAGGGAGGAAGGAAUUCUGACCUUAAAUCUUUCAGAUACUGAUGGUUUAGACUUCUGGUUCCAUAAGAGACCUUCAAGCAGGGAUAAUUCAAAUCCUUGCAAUAAUGGUUCUCUUAGAGAAUGUCCUGGUUUCUGUUAUGAAGAAGUUGAGGAUGACAUAUCAAGUGAAGGAGAGCUAAACCAUAUAGAAAAUCCUAUCUGCUCCCCUUCCAUGUUCACAAAUUCUAAAUCCAUCCUUGACCUUAGAGACCCCUCUUAUCCCUCUCCUUUUAAGUCUCAUGAUGAUCCUAGCAAUCCAUCAAAAUGAUCAAACCAUAGGAGUCAUAAAGACCAUGAGGAUGACGUGUCAAGUAAUGUCAUAGAAGGAGAGCUAAGCCAUAUAGGAAAUUCUAACACCUCCCCUUUCCUGAUCACAAGUUCUAAAUGGCUAGAAUGUGUAGAAUGGAUGGAUAAGGAAGAAGACUUAAUGGAUUCUGACUUUGGCUCAAUUUCAAAUGGUGAGUUCUUGACUCCUUUUGAAGAUGAGAUUUAUCCAACUACAGAAGAGGACACAGGUGAGACCAAUUCAAGAGAAACUCCAAACAUUCAGAUUGGAGACGAAGAUAACAUUAAUGAGUAUGGAAUUUAUUUCAUAGCCACUUUGUUUACUCUAUGCUCAUAUGCAACAUCUUCCCAAUCUAUUGGUCUCUCCAACAUCACCACAUUUGAGAUCUCCAACCCCCUCUUCCUUUCUAUUUAUAAAAACUUUAAAAGGGCGGUUGUCGAUGCAUAUGUCUAUAAUAAAUAUUGCGGAUCUCGUUGAGUUGAUCUUGAUAUAGGUCAGCGUUGGAAGGGAAACCACUUCGCCGACAUAAAUUGAUGGUUUCCCAGGGACAAGCUUAGUGUCCUAAAAUAAGCACUGAUCAGAUCGUAACAUGAGCUUUUAAUUAUUUACAACAUUACCUUGUGUAUUUAGCAUAUAAGGAUAAUUAUAAAAAUAUUCCUUCGGGUAUUCUUGUCACUAACCUUUCCAGGAUUGGAGCAAGAAGAUCGGAUGAAUGACAAGCACAAGGUAUGUCCAACCGAUCAUCAUACAACAUUGAAUUAAAUUCAUCCAAACUUGAAUUUUGCAAAAUUCAAGCUUGGGGGAGUACCUUACAUAAAAACAUCCUUUGCCAUGUUGCUAUGUUGGUUGUCCCUACCUUUGAGACAUGCUCAAUUUGUUAAAUACUAAUCACACUACUCUAUCUCCACUUGAGUAGAUCUCUAUAAAUGCUGUCAUGCUACCUUUGUCUAUUUUCUAGCAAGUGUUGGUUUGGAAGUACUCGACAUACUUCCAUUGGCAUUUAAAUUGAGCAUGGUGCUUAGGUUAAAUAGCCUUCCUUAAUCUGAUUAGACAUGGAGUCUAGUUUGGUUACUGAACUAAAAACUGCUUGAGUAGAUAUUGGUAUAUUUUGUCGGACUAACCCCUAUAGGAAAACUUUCACUAUCAACCUGGGAAGUCCUGAGAUAAACUCACAUCAGAGAUGAAGAGAGUAACACAUGAAGUUUAACAAUUUGCACAAGAAGGACAUAGCUCAUUCACCAUACAGAGAUGAUCCAUGGAAGGAGACAAAGUACAUAAACAAGAUACACAACCACUACGAAAGAAAAGCUUCCACAAGGUGAUACUAUACCAUCACUCUUCAAGUAAGGUAACAUCUUAAGAUAUCUGACUAUCACUUUUAUAAGCUUCUCCUUGGUUCUGGCGUUUACAUAAAUAAAGAGACAAACAUGUAUGAUUUAUAACUCCAAAUUAACCAACCCAACUGAUUCAGCAUGUUUAGUCCUUUAAUCUUUGUUCCUAGUACUACCUCCAUGAUCCCACACUCCUAACCAUAUGAGCUAAAAUGUUGCACAUUUAAUCUUUGGGAAGAUAUAAAGAAAAAGGCAUAUAUAUAGAUAGAUUAUCUUUCCAUUAGGUUGAGCGAUCUGAUCUGGCAAAUGUUUUAAAUGCUACACUCAUGAACUUAUCAUUCAUCAACUUUGUCUUGCUCACCAUGCUUAAGGUUAGAGAAGAACAAAUACACUUUUGGUUCUGUUGGUGUUUUCCACCAACAGGGCCCAUGCACUUGAUCUCUGCCUUGUCUCUAUGAACAGGUACACUACGAGCACAAACACACUGAGCAAGAUACUGCCAACACCGCACUUCGAACUACUGGGCAAACGAAGAACAUGGGUGACACCGUAUUAAGAGGUGCAGACGUCAAGGUCCACACCUGAAUCAAAUGACACACCUGAAGAAUGAACACGGUGAGAAGUCUUGUUCAGAAGACUUAAAACAUUGAAUCCUCGCCGAAAGGUAAAAUCGGUAGUUAUCCAUAUUUAUCCUUUCUGCAUUCCCUUUUCCCAUUAAUUAUUUACUUUCCUUAAAUAGAUUAUUAGUUAAUCAUGCUAUCUUGAAAAUAAAAUAAAAAUGUUAGUAAGCCCCAUAUGAGUAUGCUCGUGGCAUAAAACCUAUAAGUACAUUCACUGUGGUGGCGUAAAAAUAAAUAUAUUCCUGUCCUAUAGAAAUGAAAGUAUAAAAAUAAAUUUAUGAUCCUACCAAAGAGAGUAAUAUUUAUUAGAGGAAGCUCAACAUGACAAAGGUUAAGAGAUUUUAUGCUAACACUUAACCAGUUCCACAAAGCUUUGUUGUCUGUUUGAGCUCCACAGAAUUCAAGGAUCAAAGAAGACUAGCAAACGGAGGACAUCCUAAUCGUUGUCAGGGUGCUGCCGACAUUACACCUCCACCACCUGCUAGCUACAUUAGAAGAAAUUACGUCAAAAUCCAGCUUGGGGGAGAGCACCCCCAUUUAUCCAGCUAAGUGUUUCUACUCGCGUUUAUACUUUACUCAAAUAAUAAAAAGAUGCAUAAUCAUAAAAACCCAAAUAAAGAAUUUGUGCUUAUAUAUAUAUCUAUGCUUAGUUUGCUAAAUAAAUAAAUAAAUAAAGUUUGCUAUGAACCCUCAUGAUAAGCUCUCACAUGGAAAUGAUGAAUAGUUGCUCUGCCAUGACUAGUUCUCAAAAUUGAAAUCUCUCUCAAGUUUAGGCAUGACUGUUAUGAAUUAAGAUUUGCUCUAAACCUGAACUUGUGGGAAGAGUACUUGAUCUAAAGUCUAAGUCGUUAACAGAUAUGAUAUGGGAAGGUUGAGUUGCUAUUUAUCUGUUCCUAGAGAUGCUAGAAUUCUGGAGAAUUUUAUCUUUGAAAAUCUUUAAAAUGUUGCAUGAUGAGUUCCUGUAUGAUGAGAGUUUAAAAUCCUACCACAGCCACAUAUACAUGCUUAUGAGACUAUGAACCAUACAUUUACUUUUUACUGCUUAUGAGCAUUGAGUGUGGUCAAGCUAUGUAGACCCUUAGGAGCUUGUCAUGCGGUUAUAAUCAAGAUUCACUUGCACGUCCACUCAUACAUGCUGCUUCUACUCUAGAAGUAUGCAUCCACAUACAUCCACUCAUUUCCAUCUCCAGAUGCACCCAAAAUUAUUCUACUCCUAUCCGGGAGAGAAUAGCCAAAAAUAUUAUCCCAUUCCUGUUUUUCUCUGUGAAAUAAAUGCUCGAGCUAUUUUGGUUACUACCACUUGCUACAUUAUUCCAGGAGGGUGAGUGCUCUGAAAAAAAGAAGAAAAAUACGAGGAAAUAAAAAGGGGCAAGUGCUCGGAACCUCGAAAGAAAAAAGAAAAAGUGAGACGAGAGGUAAAAAUGGACAAGUGUCCGAUAGUAGAAUUAGGGGUACAAGAUACCCACCUGAGAGAAAAGAAAAAGAAAAUAUAGAGCAUCUCAUUCCUCUCAAAAACCUUCAAAGUGCAAGAAAGGUAUGUAUCCCCUCAAAAGAGCAAAAGUAGAAUUAGACUUUCACCAUUAUUUUCACCAUCAUCACCAUACACUAUUCAUCCACCACAGAUGCACAUCUUGGUUUGACUUAUUGACUUGUUUCUCUGGAUCCAUGGUUUGACUAUGCAAUAAAUGUCUUGUAAGUAUGUAUUAGUUGUCUCCCACCUAUGAGCUCCAGAUAUCAAACCUUAUUAGAGUAGGGUGAGAGAGAAGGCAAUAUCACUAUGCCUCAUACCACAAAUACUACAUACUUUGAGAGAAGGCGUAUAUUAUCACUGCCUUGGUAAGGAUCUAGAAAUACCACAAAAGAGAGACUAGAGAGAGUCAUACAAGGAAUCUCUGAGUUUUAUUUGAAAAUCUGCAAAAACUCCAGAGCUAUAGUUGAUCAAAGAACAAGAGACAUGGUGCUUGACUUGACUGUUCUAUCUUUUAACUGCUCAAGACACAAGUGACGGUUGCAAGCCCCAUCGUGAAAGCUAAUAUGAGUAAGUUUUAAAUCUUAACAAUUUACCCUAACCUAGAGAUGAGAUCUUGUUUAAACGCAUGUGUACCUUUAAGGCAUAAAACCACUGUAGAAACUCUUGAGUCCAUCCUUGCUCAGAGACGAGCAAGAGGUAAGCUUGGGGGAGUUGUUGACGGUCCUUAAGUACAAAAUAUAAUCAGUAAAUAAACAAAGAAAAUGAUCCAAAUACAACCAACAUCUAAACUUAGGGUUUUAUCUGACAGAAUUCCACGAGUUUUGGUGUUUGUCUAUUUCUGUAGGGGGUUAUCAGGAAAUAUGGAGAGAAGGCCCACACGUCGGGUUUACAUAGAGAUAUUAACGUGCCGUGCAAUUUUCUAUCAUCUAGAAGACUCCAGAAGCCACGGGAACAAACGGGAGGCCGAGCGGGCUCGGGGGCAGGGCGCCCGCCCACCCCCCUUGGGCGCCCGCCCAGCUACAGAGUCCAAUCAGGACUCUCUUCGGGGAUUACGCUCCACCAACCUAAAGGAUCAAGAAUAACCGUUCAAUCAAUGUCGGUUUGAUCCGACGGCCCAGGUUCACUUGAGGGGACUAUAUAACCAGACCCCCUGGCCCCUGGAGGAGGCACCCCUUGAUCAUUAUUUAUUAUUCAUAGACAGAGCAAAAGCUAGGGUUUAGAGAUGAGAGCUCUCCUCUCUUCUCUAAACUAGAGUAGAUCUAGAUAGUAGCGAGAUGGAGAGCGAAGGAGGAUUAGAGGAGAGGCCGGCCUGUCGGUUCUUCCUCCGGUUGUACUUCGCCAUGAUCAAGCUCUAAUCAAGUUUGCUCAUGAGAUGACUCUGGUAAUCUACUUCUAAUUCAUUAUGCAAUUACUAAUCAUGUAUGUUCUGGUUCACAACUCUUUUAAGUACUUCUAAUCUAUAGGACCCUAUAGGUUAGAGUUGUAGUAUAGGUGUAAGCGUGGUGCUUAGACCUAGAUUACUUGUGGAUAUCCCCUGUCUAGCUAGACCGUGUGGUAGGCCGCGUAGGUGACAGUUACGUUGGUUCUCUGUAGUCCACCUCUCGUUAGCAGGACGGGUAGGGUUUAUCGGCCUAUGGAUAAGCAUCCUUUGUGGUGUACUCUUAUCACGUGGUUCGUCCCAUACAUAGACAUACCCCUUUGAAGUAGAGAAACCAUAGUUAUCCUCUCUAUUCUGCUACCAUCGCCCAUAUAUUAGAUUGCUCUACUCUCUAUUCCCAUAUUAUCACCCACUGUUAUCUUACCUUUAAUAUUGUUCUUAUUCAAUUCUACCAUCUUUCCUAUUUACACCUAUCUAUUUAUCUUGGUUAAGUUAGAGCAUAGUUCAGUUCUCCCGUUUCCCUGUGGAUACGAUAAAACCUUUAACUGGGUAAAAGGCUACAACGGUAUCCGUGCGCUUGUGGAUUUAUCUAUGUGCGUAUAAAUACCAUAGUACACUCUAGUGUCAUGCUAGGGAUGACAACCUAGUAUUCAAGUGGUGUUAGCAAGUGUCAACAGAUACUAUAAUUCAUUCUUGCAAACUACAUUAAUACUAGGUCAACCAUGAAAUAUGAUAUAUAUACAUAGAUACUAAUUCAAGUGAAUGAUUCAAAAUAACAAAGUGGAUUUGAGCUAAAAAUAAUGGGAAAAUCACAAGCCAAAAACAACAUGAAAAAGACAAAAAAAGAUGAAGUUAGUCACCUCUAAGCACGAAGAGACGAUGACGGAGUCAAAGAAGAUCAACGAUGGGCGUCAGAGAUGAGGAACAAAGGAAGAACAAGCAAGAACAACAAAAUAGAAGCUCUAAGAACGACCAUGGUGCUCUCGGUUUCGAAUGGGCAGAGGGGAGGAGGUAGCCGGCCUAUAAACCGGACCUUUAGCACCGGUUCAGAGCACAAACCGGUGCUAAAGGGUCACCCUUUAGCACCGGUUCGUGUUACCAACCAGUGCUAAAGGGUUUGCCUCGGCCCAUGGCACUGGCCGGUGAUAUAAAGGCCCCUUUAGCACCGGUUGGUAACACGAACCAGUGCUAAAGGGUCCCUGCCCGGACAACACCUGUUAGUAGCCGUUGGGCAGGACCCUUUAGCACUGGUCCUUGUUCCGAACCGGUGCUAAAGGGGCCUUUAGCCCCGAGCCGCAAAAAAGCCGAGGUUUUUGGAGAUUUUAGGCAUCGACCAAUGCCUCAUUCUGUAGUAGUAGUGUUGUCUACUAAACUAAACACGUUAUGUGUUUGGUCUUUAUUAUGUAAAAAAAAAUGUGCUGGAGAGAUCUCACGGCAUUCUGUAAGUCUGAACCAAGUAGUACGAAAAUUUGGAUAUGGAGAAUCAUCAACAUUUUCAUUUCUUCUCUAAUAAUAAGGAUAUGUUUAGUUCCCUAUUAAAUACAAAAUACAAAAUAUCAAUUACUUUGGAAUAAUGAAAUACAAAAUGUCAAUUUAUUUUAUAGUUGUGUUUAGUUCCAUCUAAAAUGCUAAAUUUUUUCAGGUGCUGGCGGGGUGGGCACGGGCUCCCAGGUGUUUUUGGGCUUUUUUAGCCUCUUGAGACCAAAAUUCAAAACGGCGAAUAUCCAUAUUUUUAGUAAAAAUUUUUACAUGGUAUUUAGUUUCAUUAUGGAAAAUAAUAGAUCCAAAUAUAAAAUUUUAUGAUGAAAAGAGAAAACACCCCCGCAUUUUGGGAUGUGUUGUUUUCCGAUAUAAAGGGAUGGUAGAAUUGUUGCUGUGACCAAUCUUGUUGUACAUGUUUAUCAGUGGGCCUACUAGUGACCUCCUUGGUGGCAUGUUCUGGCCAGACUGCAGAAAGAAUAACUGUGGCAGGUGUUUUCCCUUUUUCGUAGUGGACAAACACGUUCGCCACAGUCAUAAGGCCACGGUAAAUCGUGUNNNNNNNNNNNNNNNNNNNNNNNNNNNNNNNNNNNNNNNNNNNNNNNNNNNNNNNNNNNNNNNNNNNNNNNNNNNNNNNNNNNNNNNNNNNNNNNNNNNNCUGCAUCUAGCUUCGAAUACAUUUAUUACCUAACAGACCGAAGCAAUAGCGGACCACGAGACUUUUGACCCUGGCAAAUUUUAAUACGAUGAGUAUUUGCUAUAGAAAAAUUGGAAACCGCUAAUGCGCGGCCGGCCGUGCAUUAAGCUUCCGGUACGCACAUUCCGUUUACGGAAGGUUUUUUAAAACCAUCAGUAACCAUUCCUAUUUGCUUUUGCACUCCUUUUUUCUCUUGUUGUCGUUUUCUACUUCUUCCAACUAACUCGCUGCUCCUAGAUUUUCUAGGCAUUAUUUAGCUCAUAUCCCAAAUAUUACAAAUUUGAUACAUUCACCAAAAUAAGCCGAAAUCAAAUAUAAACUAUUCAUCACACAUGACAUUUUGGACAUCUUGAGAUAUUUCGUAUAACAAUCCACAUAUGUCAUUUUGGGCACCUUGAGAUGUUUUGUAUAGCAACUCAGGCUUCUUAUAGAAGGGAACGUAUCCUGUGUAACCCAGCUUCGUGUGCAACCUAUGCAACUAUCAAUUAAGGCCACAAGAUCUAAAUCCAACGUCUGAGGUUUUUUCAUUUAAACCCUCCCAUCUAGAUACACACGGGUUAGAUUUAAACCCACAGGUGGAGGGGUUUAAGUGAAAAAAUCCUCAGACGUUAGAUCUAGAUCAUGUGACCUUAAUUGGUGGUUGCAUAGGUUGCACACGAAGCUGGUGCAUAUGAUACGUUGCCCUUAUAGAAUACAUAGACGAAAAGGUAGAUAUUAUGUACUACUACGAUAGAAAUACAUCUUGUUUGGACUAAAUCUCCUUGUGUUGGUAAUAUAUAUACUGAUCCACCAUGCAUCCCGCUUGCACACAUGGCUCUCUUUGUUCAUUUUAUCCCAUGUUGAUGCUUGAGAGACCAUCACACCUGCAAGUAAAAAAUGUUAAAAAAAUUUAGGCUUGCAGCAACUAGAUGUCAUAUAGCAUAUAUAAGUACUGAAACCUUGUCUAUGCAAAUGCAUAAACAUGAGGCACACCAUAGCAUGUUACUGAACAAAAAUUGCAUAACCUUGUGUUUUUUUGCCUAAUCCAGUACACUAUUAUUGUCUAAUAAAUUUGACUAACUACCUUGCAUGCCAUGAUAUAGCAGCACACAUCUAUCCUAUACACUUAAAGUUGUAGAUUGCUCCCCCUCUCACAAAACUCCUAUACAUGAACAGCUCCCAGACUCAGAACACUGUUCUGGUAACAGUAUCCAAGCAACCACCGUCGGAUCAGGCCGUAGUGAGCACCUACCGUCCAUGCAAGGAAUCAUCAUAUAUGUGUCAAAAAUAUAGAUUUGGAUGAGCUACCUCCAGAUUUUCAAUAGAAGGCUACAUUGCCUAUUUAGGAGCACAUUGUUGCCUAACAAAUGACUUAAUUUGCCUACAUGCCAUGAUAUAGCAGCACACAUUUAUACUAACUGUCUUGCAUGAAAGGAAUCAUCAUAUAGGUGUCAAAAAUAUAGAUCUGAAUGAGCUACCUCCAGAUUAGCAACAAAAGGCUAAAAUGCCUAUUUAUGUGCACAUUGUUGUCUAACUAAUGACUUAAAUUGCCAUAAAAAUGACACUUAAAUUGCCUAAGAAAAUGGUUGUGUUUUUCUUUUGCGUGUGUGCCAUCAUACCUCGUUGCUGCCAUUUGGACACCGGCACACAUACUCCACAAAAUCCCUGCCCUCUAGACAUUGUAUGAAGAACUAUCCCUGUAAAUGCAUGCAAAAAAGAGUUGUUUUCAUUACAUUUGUAUAUAGCAAGAAGCAAAAAAAACAUCACAGGUAAAAUGCCUACAAUCUGAGAAUAGAACAAAGGGCAACUAGCUCAAUAAUAUAAGUCAUCUAGUAUUUUCAUGUGUGCUUAGAAAUAAGGAACUCACAUGAAGAAAAUUUGGUAGUUAGCCUACUCGGUGGCUAUUAUUUGGUUGUAGCUGCACCUUAUUGCAGUUAUACCUACAAUAUAGUCUAGUUCACUUUUGCGGCCAAAAUAGCAGCAGCCGGCUGUAAGAAGUUGCAUUUUCUUAGGCAAUUUAAGUGUCAUUCAUUAGACAACAAUGUCUUCUUAAAUAAGUAGUUUUUGUAUUCUGAAAAAGCAAGUAUAGUAUUUGUGUUCAUUAGCAACCCACAACCCCACUCCCACCCCCGGUGUAAAAAUAAGCAGAGACAUAUGACUGUAUGAACCAUCACCUAGCAUUGCUAUAGAAGUAACAUGUAGUACAUCUUUGGCAUGCAGAUCUCCAAUGAAUGUAGAAGUGUUAAACCUAAAUCACAAGAAUACAAGAGAAAAAGAGAAGUAGGGAUCAGUUCAGAGCAGAUCCCAGAUGUGUAUAGAAAGAUUCAACAACAUGUCAAAAGGUAAGAUGAUAAGACUGGUAACCAUAAAGUGAAACAGAUGGUAAAGAGAUAUAUGCAUCUUUGAUCUUUCCACCUAUAGUUCUUUCAAAAGUGAUAAUUGUUAACACUAAAAACCAAGUAAAAAAAUUAGUGUGAACUUAGAGAAAGUUACCAUGAACAAAAAUCUGGGUGUUAUCAUGUCUACUAAAAACGUUAAUUGAAACUGUAGGAUCUAUCAAUUUGUUUCACUCGACUUUAGUUGGUAAAUGUUUUCCAAACUCCAACUUAAUUUCACUAUCUUACCAGUUUAUUCUACUGGUGUUCUCAAUUGGUAACUAUUUUUCCAAAUCCUACUUAAUUAAGCAAGCUUGCAUUCGCAUCUCAGUAGUUCACUUAGCAGAAAGAAAAAUAUAAUAGAAUUAAAUCAUUCUACAAACACUCACAUCGUUGCAGCCUUUAUAAAGAUGCUUCCCCUAGAACCACCUCCACCCUUCUCAUUGCUAUCCCCACCUGUGCAUUCAUGACCAGGUCGUCAUCAUAAAUGGUAGCAAAAAAAGCUGAUAUGUUGCGUAUCUAAAUGAUAUAUCGUUGCCUAUCCAAUGUUAUGUUAUUGCCUGUAUGAGCCCUUAUUGUUGCCCCGCCGUAUAAAUUAAACCUAGAGGAGGAUUAACAAUGGCAUAGCAGGUAGCUAGCUAUUGCCACCUCCAACUUGCCUAUGUGCUAUGCUUGAGGUGAUGAGGAGGAGAAUCGCAUCAGCAGAUGAAUUAAUGGAUGAAUGAAUGAAUAAACAAGCCUGGUUGGUGCAGAGUACAGCAGCCGGUGGAGCAAUUGGACAAAGAUUGCAUGUGGUUGUCAGAAGACAGAUGAUGCAUCAUUGGAAAUGCAAGCCAAGGUUAGUACUAUAAAAUGUGAUAAUCACAAUCGGGUACCAAAAAGGUUCAGAGUGAUGGCUGCCGUACUUCAAAAUUUUGCAUCAGAGAUGUAGACAGAGGUAAAAUUUUACGGUUCAGUUCUGUAACCUAGCCUCAUUCAGUCUAUAUAACGUAAAUGUUGGCAAGAAAAAAUCUUACUCUGAUUUGUUUUGAAUCUUUUGAAUGAAGAUCUAUAAUACUAGAGUAUUGACAAUGUUUAGAAAAAAUCUCGUUAGUUGAUACAAUAAGCAAUUAUUAAAAGGACAGGGAAAUGUGAAUCAUCAUAAUUCAUACGCACAAGGUAAGGGUUCAACUAGAACGGUGACUGAAACUUACCCCCACAGUGCCACCAUUACUCAUGACAUCUAAGAAGUAGUGCCCGUGAGCAUGGCCAUUAUGCCAGCUCCUCUCACCAUUAUCCUUGGAAGCCUUGAUCUUUCUUCUUGACAACUUGGAUAACUGCAAGAAAGUAAACAAACAGAUACAGAGCAGGACCCAACGACAGUGACACAACAAAGCUGUUAUUGUUGCCUAUCUAAAUAAUAUAUAGUUGCCUAUCCAAUGUUAUGUUAUUGCCAGUGUGAACUCUUAUUGUUGCCUAUGCAGUGCUAUAUUGUUGCUUAAACAUAUAAAGGUGUCAAAUGCAGAAUCUUAAAUACACCUUCUAACUUCUUUGUCCUCUGUUUUGAGCAGUACUCAAUGAUCUUAAAUCAACUGCUCAACAAGCAUCUGCAUGCAUCUACAAGAGAAUGACCAAAUUAAAAUCCCAUCAUUCAGUCACACACUUAAUAAGCACCAGAACAUUGUGCCCUCAAAUACCAACAUAUAGAUUACAAAACUACAUAUACAACAACCACGAAAAUCGUAAAGCAAAAUUAAAACUAAAACCACUCAAUCAUAAUCACUGAAUAUUAAAAAAAUAGAACAGGAUCUGGAUCUCACAUUAUUACCUAACUGUCAAUCUGUCACCGACGAAGGAUUGGGAGCGGGCAGGACCGUGCAGCCGACAGGGAAAAGAGCCAGUGGAGGGCCGAAGGGCCUGCAAGCCGGCCGGCUUGGUCCCUGAUGUAGCCGCGCAGGCGGUCUGGGAAGCUCCUCGCCUGCAUAGCUAGUUAGGCGGGGGAGGUGACCGACGUGACCUUGGCUGUGGCCACCGGUCGGCUAGGCUCGGCCCCAGGCGCAACCGCGUAGGAAGGAGCUCUGGCCCCUGGCAGUGGAGGUCGGGUUGGGGAAUGUAUGACCUGCAACCAUGGAUGAGGCGUGGGGAAAUCGAAUAAAAACAAAUCAGCAUCAAAAUCAAUCAGCUCACAAUUACAGGCGAAUCGAUUAAGCGACGGCGACUUGCCUCACAACACUAUAGCAUUGAGCGAGGCCACUAGAUCGUGGAUCUAGGGCAUCAGACCCUGGAUCUAGGCCGCCUGUCCAUGGAUGCGGCGACGCCCACGGCACUAUCCAGGUGGCGGUGCAGGGAGGCGGCGACGGGGAGCAGGAAAGGGUCAGCGCUGGGGAGCGAGUCCACUGGAGCAGGUCGUGCUCAUGGAAGAAAGGUGACCACGCGGGCCGGGGGAGAGAGAGAGACAGGGGCGAGUGGAAGACGAGCAGGUGGGCGACGACGAGCGUAAGAAGUGUCCGUGUGGGGCGAUAAUAAGAUGACGGCCGGCCAAAACAAAGUCUUUACCUUUUUUUAAAAAAAAAACCCGAGGAACUAAACUUUUCAAGGAACCGAACGGAUAACCAAAUGCCAAUCCCCUAAAUACUGGAUUGAGGUGGACGCAAGUCCGGCACAAAAAGGCCAUAUGGAUUUCUGACGUGUUUCGUGGGUACCUUCCAACUAUUUCUGACUGCAUGACAAAUAUGUACGAAUUCGGACAGAGCUUGCCUCACAUGUUUCUGUACCACCAAAAACCAGGUAAAUAGACCAGUUGAAACAAAACUGUACAGCUCGAGAGGCUAACACUAUCCCCACCAAAGAACAAGUGGGCGUGUUUGGUUGCCCCUUCUCCCCCAUCCUGAUUUUGCUCAUGCGUAUAUAUAUACCAAAAGAAGCUUCUUUGGUUGCCUUCAUUUACUGUUCUAUGCUAUAAUCAACAAUUGUACUCCUGUUAUAAAAAACAAUUGUACUCCCACAUGUGAUAUGCACUACUACAGGAUUGAUUAACCGCAACGAGCCCAUUUCCACCUCCGUGGCAGGCACAGUUUUCAUCCGCCACGGUUAUUCAACCGCACACAAUUACUUUUGGCCACAGGAACGCCCGCUGCGAAGACAAUGGCAAAGGACAAGGCGAUGGCCAUGGCCAGGACAAGGAGAAGGCACAAGACGAGGACGAUGGCGGAGAUAAGGAGAAGACACAAGUAGAUGAGGGGGACAAAGACAUGGGCACAACCUGUGCCCCUCCUCCAAACAGCCCACCUCGGAGCCCAAACAGACAACAAGGAGGCACGGAGGAGGCAACGAGGACUAAGACACCUCUGCCAACAGCUACUCCUACGCUUGAAGCCCCCUCCUCCACCAAGCAAGGAUGCAUGCAUGACCGCUAAGGAUGAAAACGGAACAGAAAUAUCGCAAACCGAACCGAACCGCUUUCUAUAUUGGAUCCGAUCGAAUUUAUAUUUUCUUGUCCGACUUUACCGUUUUCGCUUUUGUAUUUUAGAUGUUUCGUAUUUCAAAUGUAAAAGUAGAAAACGGUUUAGACAUUUUUCGACCGUUUUCUACUUUUCUACUUUUAAUUUGAAAUAUUUUGAAUUCAAAAUUUGGUUUAAAUCGAAUUUAGUCAACUGCACGGUCACACAGCCCCAAUUACAGAGUACUCACCAAGGAUUUGUGUUCUUUCUACUAGUGGCUAGCUAUGUUCCUGCUAGCUAUUAAUUGUUUGUUCUUAUUUAUGUGUGGGCUAUUGUAUUAAAUACCUAAGACCAAGAAUCAUGCACUUUUUAAUUAUUAUAUGCACUUAAACUUGAUCGUGUGUAUACUUAGUUAUGCACUUGGUACUACACAUCGGUAUUUCGUAUUGAGUUUCCGUAUAUCGACCGUGUUCGACAUAAAUCUGCUUGAAUUGGUUCGUUUUCGAAAUUCUUGAUAUUUCGUAAGUUCGCGUUCGUUUUCGUGUCCGACUUUACCGUUUUCGUUUUCGUUUUCGUUUUCGUAUUUCAAAUGUAAAAAUAGAAAACAAUUUAGGAGUUUUUCGACCGUUUUCAUCCUUAAUGACCGCCACACUGCUCCCGUACACUACUACGUCCGAAAGGUAUGAGAUAAACAAACAUAAUAUUCUCGUAACCUUUCUAUAACACAUCAAAUGGUAAUAACAUUUGUAUCCAUGUUUUGCCAGGCCUACAAAUACUCUUCAGAUCAAUCUAUUUACCGAGGCGGAAGACUGUCCUGGCCACUAUGAGCUUGGAAAGUUCAUGCUACCUAAGGCUCAGCUCAUCGACGAUGAAAAGUGGGAUACAAGGAAGUUCCACCUGUGGUAUAUGGAAGCGGCAAAAGCCGAGAUGACAGGUUUCACCGUCAAGAUUCCCAAGGAGUUGUUCCACUUGCCCGGUGGCGAUAUUCAGCUACAUGUGGACUUCUAGGACAUGUACAAUCUAUUGCGGGAUGAAGACCUUGACAUCGUCCAAAUCACCUUAUUCUCUCUGUAACUGAUGAUUGCGACCUUCAUAGACCAAUCUCUACAUUUGUAUUGGAGAACUAUAUGAUUUUUAGGACACGAUGACUUGUCCGUGCAGGUUGACGGUCACUAUUAGCAACAAAAGGCACCAUCCUAUCCUAUACCUCUCUCCAAUGCAUAUUGCUAAGAGAGUGAUCAAGGGUUUCAACAUAAUAGACCCAGAGUUGACCGUGCGACAGAGGGAAAAGAAGUACGAAGACAACAUGAAAGAGGAGAAGAAGAAAUUGUUAAGGUACAUCUUUGAAGUAGUGAAGAAGCUCAACCCGGAUGGGCCGCAUUGUAUUAUGGCUACCUACCACUUUGGGUAAGUCAAAAACAUCCAUGUAGAGCAAAAGUGGUUAGGAUCAUGCCUUCUCAUCGACAUAACUUAUACUUUGUUUCAAUGGUGUAGAAAUGACCUAGCCGGCGGCCACUGGGUUGCCUUCCUCAUCUAUCCUCAAGAUGGCCGGAUUGUCAUAUUUGACUCGUUACAGGUCCCGGACAAAAAGGGAUACAAAGCCUUCGAAGACUGCUUGAAAAAGUAAGCCACCGAGCUUCUUGAUCAUUUACGGUUAUCGUAUUCAAAUUGACGCUAACACUAAUACACUUCGUACAGCGCUUAUAGUGCAUAUCUCAAGGAUCCGCAAUGCUAGAAUUAGAGAACGGAGAAAUUUAAGAAGAGGCAUAAGCACCACCUCAAAAUCCGACAUGAUUUCCCGGUAAGUAUGUUUCAAAGGUAGUUCAAUCAUGUUUGUGGUACAUAUGUGUUCUAAUGCUUCUAUAUCGAUCAUGCAGUGCGCCAAACAACCCUUGGGAUCAAAGGCAUGUGGCUUGUACACCUGCGAGAACCUAAGGUAAAGCAGGGAGUACACCAACAGCUGGAAGAAGCUCAAGGAAGCACUGAAGGAUCAUGGAGAGACGAUGAAGAAUGAACACCACGCUUUCAAGCAAAUCAAGGCGGACAUUUGUAAGUUCAUCCUAGAGAAAUGUGUGCUCGAAGGCGAACCAUUCUUUGACAAUGAAGGUGAAUUUGCGGUUCGACCUGAGUUCGAGAAGUUUAGGAGAUGGAACACCAUGCUACGGCCGACGGAUUACGUCCAUACAGUAGAAUUGUGAUGUAUAGCGGCUUCCUCGGUUUCCUAUGUGUAUAUGUGAAUGAUGAGAACAACUAAGUGGAUUUAUAUAUUAUGUCAUGUCUUAUGUAUUGAACUUCUAGGCAUAUAUAUAUAUAUAUACGGCAGCGCUAUUCUACACCCUAAAUCUGAGCAGAAAAAUACUGAGCAAUACUGAACAACGUUCAGUAUCAUCCAGGACCGCGAAAUACUGAAUAAUACUAAAAUAUGGGUACUGAAUAAUACUGAAAUUUGUUCAGUAUAACACUUUGGUGUAGAAUAGUAUUCUACACCUAGAGUGUAGAAUAGCACUAUAAACACCCGGCGACCCCGACCAGCCAUAUACGGGCUCCUUGACAAAUACACAAUGAAACACAACGAAGUUGUUAUGGUAUCCAAAGGAUUUUUCUAUGGUAAAGACUUUGUUUUGGCCGGCCGUCAUCUUAUCGCCCCGCACGGACACUUCUUACGUUCGUCGUCGCCCACCUGCUCAUCUUCCACUCGCCCCUGUCUCUCUCUCUCUCUCUCCCCCGCGUGGUCACCUUUCUUCCAUGAGCACGACAUGCUCCAGUGGACUCGCUCCCCAGUGCUGACUCUUUCCAGCUCCCCGUCGCCGCCUCCCUGCACCGCCACCUGGAUAGCGCCGCGCAUUUUAGCCUUUUGUUGCUAAUCUGGAGGUAGCUCAUUCAGAUCUAUAUUUUUGACACCUAUAUGAUGAUUCCUUUCAUGCAAGACAGUUAGUAUAAAUGUGUGCUGCUAUAUCAUGGCAUGUAGGCAAAUUAAGUCAUUUGUUAGGCAACAAUGUGCUCCUAAAUAGGCAAUGUAGCCUUCUAUUGAAAAUCUGGAGGUAGCUCAUCCAAAUCUAUAUUUUUGACACAUAUAUGAUGAUUCCUUGCAUGGACGGUAGGUGCUCACUGCGGCCUGAUCCGACGGUGGUUGCUUGGAUACUGUUACCAGAACAGUGUUCUGAGUCUGGGAGCUGUUCAUGUAUAGGAGUUUUGUGAGAGGGGGAGCAAUCUACAACUUUAAGUGUAUAGGAUAGAUGUGUGCUGCUAUAUCAUGGCAUGCAAGGUAGUUAGUCAAAUUUAUUAGACAAUAAUAGUGUACUGGAUUAGGCAAAAAAACACAAGGUUAUGUAAUUUUUGUUCAGUAACAUGCUAUGGUGUGCCUCAUGUUUAUGCAUUUGCAUAGACAAGGUUUCAGUACUUAUAUAUGCUAUAUGACAUCUAGUUGCUGCAAGCCUAAAUUUUUUUAACAUUUUUUACUUGCAGGUGUGAUGGUCUCUCAAGCAUCAACAUGGGAUAAAAUGAACAAAGAGAGCCAUGUGUGCAAGCGGGAUGCAUGGUGGAUCAGUAUAUAUAUUACCAACACAAGGAGAUUUAGUCCAAACAAGAUGUAUUUCUAUCGUAGUAGUACAUAAUAUCUACCUUUUCGUCUAUGUAUUCUAUAAGGGCAACGUAUCAUAUGCACCAGCUUCGUGUGCAACCUAUGCAACCACCAAUUAAGGUCACAUGAUCUAGAUCUAACGUCUGAGGAUUUUUUCACUUAAACCCCUCCACCUGUGGGUUUAAAUCUAACCCGUGUGUAUCUAGAUGGGAGGGUUUAAAUGAAAAAACCUCAGACGUUGGAUUUAGAUCUUGUGGCCUUAAUUGAUAGUUGCAUAGGUUGCACACGAAGCUGGGUUACACAGGAUACGUUCCCUUCUAUAAGAAGCCUGAGUUGCUAUACAAAACAUCUCAAGGUGCCCAAAAUGACAUAUGUGGAUUGUUAUACGAAAUAUCUCAAGAUGUCCAAAAUGUCAUGUGUGAUGAAUAGUUAUAUUUGAUUUCGGCUUAUUUUGGUGAAUGUAUCAAAUUUGUAAUAUUUGGGAUAUGAGCUAAAUAAUGCCUAGAAAAUCUAGGAGCAGCGAGUUAGUUGGAAGAAGUAGAAAACGACAACAAGAGAAAAAGGAGUGCAAAAGCAAAUAGGAAUGGUUACUGAUGGUUUUAAAAAACCUUCCGUAAACACGGAAUGUACGUACCGGAAGCUUAAUGCACGGCCGGCCGUGCAUUAGCCGUUUCCUAAAAAACGGUUUCUAGAAAAUGGGAACCGGUUGAUUCCAAAAUUCUAGUAAAUGAAAGUCUUACAAAAUACAAGUACAACUCAUGUAUUUAGGUUCUUUUGGUUAAUUGGUUAACCGAGAGUAGGAACCCAAGUUUCUUUGGUUAUUUCGGUUUUGGCUAUAUGACCGAAUAAAGAACUAAACCUUUUGGUUUCGAGUCUUUCAGUUUAAGUUCAGGUUCUUUUUUUUAUGUUUUUUUGGUUUCAGGUAGUUAUGCCCAUCCCUAGUAUUGGAGUAUAUUAAAGUGGAAAUUCACUCAGGGUCGAGGCCUUGAGGUUCUGUUUGACUGCACUCAUAUCUAUCCAAAUCGACAUUGUGUUAAGGCGGAUUAUGGUGAAAAUUAAACUAACUUAGAGCAUUUCCACCACUUUCCUAAUAAUCAAUCCCCAAUAUGUAUAUAUUGGAGUAAGCCAAUAUUAUUAUUCCUAAAUAUUGGAGUGCCUGCAACAUUACCCCAAUACCCAUAUGGAAGAUGGAUCCCAUAAGAAUGCAGGGAGAAAGAUGGAUAAAAAGUAGUAGUUGGGGGAAUCCCCAUGUUAUUGAGUGAGAUACAUCUUCCCCUUUAUUUGAGGAAGGAUGAGAAAAAUAUUAGUGAUAAAAAAGAAAGUAUUAGAGAACUGAGCAAGAAAGAAGCAUAGUUAUCUCUAAUAUGAUAUUUUUAUGGGAUAGGGAGAAGUAUUGGGGAUUUGGGGUACUAUCGGAGACGUUGUUACAUUUUUGCCACAAACUGUUGUCUGAGAGUUGCCUGUAAAGUUUAGAAAAUUUGGAAAAAUGUGUUUGGUUGGAUGCCUAUGCCUGAGAACGCUAACUAAAGUAAAUUGAUUUUGUAUUAUCUAAAUAAGACCCGCAUACAUUAUUAUUGUUUGUAUAUUGAGAUAAAUUAUUUGUAUUAGCCUUUUUCUGAGUUCGUAAGAUUAAAAUAAUUAUUUUUCGUUAUAUUUAAUUAGAGUGAAGCAUGAGGAAUUAAAGUAACUAUAAUUAAUUAUUUUUUAUAAGUUGUCUUGUCAAGUCCGCAUAACCAUGUACUCUAAUUCAAGUAAAAAAACGAUAUAGGAUUUAGAAAUCGUUUAUGACAGUGACAUGGUCUUCAAAAUACAACUUUAAUCUCUUAUUUUUAUAAAAAUAUUUAGAAAAAAUGAUAUAUGUAUAUUUUUAUAAAAGUAUUUUUCAAAAAUAAAUCUAUUCAUAUAAUUUUCACAUUUACAAACUUAACAAUUUAAAAGUUAUUGGUAAUUUAUAUUCUCAAUAUUUGACUCAAACUUUAUCCAAAAGAGCUUCUAAAUCCUAGGAGGGAGUAGUUAAUUAAGAAAAGAGAGAUAAGACAGAACCGGUGCGAUUAGCAUACCAUAGCUAUUUCCAGGCAAGUGAGCUUUUACACCAGGCGCUGGAUAUCGUCCGCAUGGCUGGGCCAUUGUUGCCUGGAGCAGGCAAGGUGCAACUAAACGGUGUACAGGCAAAAACCAGGCAGCUGUUCAUCGAGGUAAUUGGAGUCCUAGUUUAGACUAUCUCCAAUAAUCAUCACUUAAAAUACAAGAUUCAUUUGUCCUUUGGAUAGCGCUAUAGGUAAAAGGUUUCAUACAUAAUUUUAGUCUUCUCCAACAACAAGAUCUAACCGUGUGUUUGGUUGGGGGUUGGGUGGGUUGGGUUGGAUCCAACACAGUUUUUAGGGACGGAGCCAACCCGUCCAGUGUUUGGUUGCACUUCUGAUUUUGGGGACGGAGCCAACCCAUUUUAGUGUUUGGUUGAAGAAUUGGGGACAGAGCGGCUCCGUUCAGUGUUUGGUUGAAGGAAUUUAGUGUUUGGUGGGAGCCAACCCAGCUGGAGCGGCUCCGUCCGCCAGAUUUUGACGGACGAGUCCAACCCGCAUCUGAGAGGAAUAUUCCACCCUGGAGCCAACCCAACCCUCUCAUCCUCCAACCAAACAGCCACAGGAAUGAGUUCGCUCCGACCCGGCUCGCCCCGCUCUCCAACCAAACACACGGUAAAAGACAACACUUUCUGCAAAUGGGUCUCGAGAAGAGAGGAUACCCAAAUUUAAAUUAUGUCUCUCCUAAUACUUAAAAUGAGUUUUCUGUAUGUGUACUUUAUUGAUACUAUAGGUAUUGUGUUGAAGACCCAUUUUAGGUUUGGGUUCCCAAAUAGGUCUUCUAUUUGAGACAAUCUUAGAAAAAAAAAGCCUAUCCCAGGUGUAUAGGAUGGAAAACACGUGAAAGAAUGAAAGCUAUCACCUAUUCUAGAUACAGAUAUGGUUCAGGUUACAGACCACCUUGCUAUUCCUCUAUUUCAAAUUAUAAGUCAUUUAAAGAAUCUUGGAAAGUCAAAACAUCUCUAGGUUUGAUCAAAAUUAUAGAGAGAAAUACUAAGAUUUGUAACAUAAAGUGAGUAUAUUAUGAAAAUAUAAGUAAGAAAGAAUCUAAUGAUACUUAGUUGAUAUCAUAAUAAUUAUUAUUUUAUCAUAUAAAUUUAGUUAAACUUUAGAUAUUUUUAUUCUCCAAAAUUCUUAAAAUAACUUAUAAUUUAGGAUGCAGGAAGUACAUCGGUAUAAACUAUGUUGUAAACUGUUGUUAAAGCUAAUUCUUCGUUGCAUGAAUCUAAGUCAAAACUUGCGAUGAUGCGGGAGCACAUGGCCAUGUACUCCCUCUAGUCCUCCUUUGAGCAGCAGCUGCAUCAGGCUUUCUCAAACACACUACGGUGGUAUGUUGUCUCGGUGUCCACCUCAGCUUCAGACUUCCAUAUCAUAGAAAAUUAGCCUCGCAGAGAGUCAUAUUGUCUUGCAAAGGAAACCAUUACCUCAUCUGACAAAAGUCAGAAGCAACAUCGGGAGCGCGGUGCGGUGGGAGUAAACUUUCUCAGGCUAGAAUAGAGUAGUGUGCUGAGUGUGGAUCUCGAAAGAGACAACACACAUACAACUUACAUUGAGAAUAAUCCUUCGGGUGUACGUGGAGGGUGACCUUUUCUCUAGGGCUAAUGCUGCUAUAUGCCCGCGUUGUUAUUGGCCUCACACGGCUCCGCACAUGCUUCAUCGUGUCAUUGUCGAGCCUGGCGUCAUGGAUUUUGGCCAUGUCUCCCGUGCGGGAGGGGUUCAUGAGAAUAAUGUGUUUUGUUUGGGUUGGACCUUGUUUAGCACUACUACACAAUAGGCCUUUAGUCACUUGUCCAAAAUGAACAAUAAUCUCGACCAAAACAGCGUCAGGGACAAAAACAUAUUUAGUCUCGGUUGGUGAGACCAACCGGGACUAAAAGUCCCCUACCCAACGGCUAUUGUGUCAGACAUCGGCGGAGGAGACUUUUAGUCCCGGUUGGUCUCACCAACCGGGACAAAAGCCUAGCCUUUAGUCCCGGUUGGUGGUACCAACCGGGAUUAAAAGCUGUUGUCCCGGUCCGUCCCACCGGCCGGGACUAGUGUUGGAAUUUAGACCCGGUUUUUAAAAGGACCGGGACUAAAUGUCCCUCCCCAUAUUUGAACUCUUCUUCCCGUGGCCGAGCCCAUCGAUCUUCACUCUUUUGCUCUGUUCUUCAUUUGGAGUUGCUUGUUCUUGCUCUCAUCUCCGGCUAUUGAUUCAUUUCAUUGUUUCUACACCGUCAUCGACUUGUUAAGAGGUCACUAGCUUCAUCUUCUCAACAUUUAGAAGCGGCAUAUGUCAUUUCCUAGUGUUAUGUAUAUUGUUUUUUUAUUUUAUGGUUUUUUUAAGAGGUUAUUAGCUUCAUCGCCAUUUCAAAAGCGACACGUUCUUUUAGAGAAAUAGUGGUAAUAUGUUUUUUUAUUUUAAUUAGUUUAGAAAAAAAAUAAAAACAUAUAAUACUUUAAUUUGCAAUUUUUGACCGAUUUAGUUAGUUAAUUAUAACUAGUAUGCAUACCACAUUUCAUGAUUAUUUAGGAAAAUAGAGAAUUUUUGUGCUUUUUUAAUAUUGCUUGUUUAGAUAAAUUAGAAAUAGAGAAUUUUAGGUUUUUUGUUACUUUAAUUUCUCUAUUAAAAAUUAGAAACUUAUAAUACUUUAAUUUGCACUUUAUGACAUGGUUAAUUAGUUAAUUAUAACUAGUAUGCAUGCCACAUUUCAUGAUUAGUUAGAAAAUAGAGAACUUUUAUGUCUUUUUAAUUUUGUUGGUUUAGAAAAACCAGAAAUAGAGAAUUUUAGGUUAUUUGUUACUUUAAUUUCUUUAUAAAAAAUUAGAAACUUAUAAUAUUUUACAUUGCAAUGCAGACAAUGACACGUCAUUGGAUGUACAAUGCCGAUCGCCGCUCCAAAGAAUUCAUUGAUGCUGUGCAUUAUUUCUUAAGAGUGGCCGAGGAAAACAAGGGGGAUGGAUUCAUACGUUGCCCAUGUGCCUUGUGUCAGAAUUUGAAGGAAUAUUCUAGCUCUAGAAAUAUUCACUCACAUUUGUUGAAGUCGGGUUUUAUACCAAACUAUAUUUGUUGGACCAAGCAUGGAGAAAACGGGAUAAUGAUGGAAGAAGGUGAAGAAGAACAGUUGGAGCCUGACGACAUUAUUGCUCAAUACGGUGACUUCGGUGAUACAGCAAUGGGAGAAGCUGAAGAUGAGGCAGGUGCAGAAGGUGCACCUGUUGAAGAUGAUGCUCUUGGUGAUGUCAUUCGUGAUGCACAAAAAGAUUGCGAAAGUGAAAAAGAGAAGACAAAGUUUGACCACAUGUUAGAAGAUCACAAGAAAUUACUAUACCCAUCUGCCCAGGAUGGGCAAAAAAAACUGGGUACAACACUAGAAUUGUUAAAAUGGAAGGCACAGAAUGGUGUAUCCGAUAAGGCAUUUGGGCAAUUACUGAAGAUCCAAAAAAAAUGCUGCCGAAGCCUAAUGAACUGCCCACUACUACGUACGAAGCAAAACAGAUCGUCUGUCCUUUGGGAUUAGAAAUCAAGAAGAUACAUGCAUGUCCUAACGACUGCAUCCUAUACCGUGGCAAGGACUACGAGAAUUUAGAUGAAUGCCCCAUAUAUAAAGCAUCACGGUAUAAGAUUAGGCGAGAUGACCCUGGCGAUGUUGAGUGGGAAGAACGUCCUAGAAAAAAAAUCCCUGCAAAGGUUAUGUGGUAUGCUCCUAUAAUACCACGUCUGAAACGUCUUUUUAGAAAUAAGGACCAUGCAAAAUUGUUGCGGUGGCACAAAGAAGACCAUAAAGUAGACAACAUGUUGAGACACCCUACUGAUGGGUCCCAGUGGAGAGCAAUAGACAGGGAAUUUCCAAAGUUUGCAAAAGACGCAAGAAACUUAAGGUUCGCUUUAAGUACGGACGGUAUGAAUCCUUUUGGUGAGCAAAGCAGUAGUCAUAGCACUUGGCCUGUUACACUAUGUAUCUACAACCUUCCUCUAUGGUUAUGCAUGAAGCGAAAGUUCAUUAUGAUGCCGGUGCUCAUCCAAGGCCCGAAGCAACCGGGCAAUGACAUUGAUGUCUAUCUAAGGCCAUUAAUUGAAGAACUCCUUCUUUUAUGGAGUGAAACAGGUGUUCGUGUGGCGGAUGAGUACAAACAGGAACACUUCGACCUACGAGCACUGUUGUUUGUGACAAUCAAUGAUUGGCCUGCUCUAAGUAAUCUUUCAGGGCAGACAAACAAGGGAUAUAAUGCAUGCACACGUUGUUUUGAUGACCUUGAUAGUAUAUAUUUGAAAAAAUGCAGAAAGGUCGUGUACCUUGGGUAUCGUCGAUUUCUUUCUAUGAAUCACCCAGUUAGAAAGAAAGGAAAGCAUUUUAAAGGUAAGGCAGACCACCGAUGCAAGCCUCGCAACAGAACUGGAGAUGUAUUUGAGAUGGUUAAGGAUGUGAAAGUAGUUUUUGGUAAGGGACAAGGCAGCCAACCAGUUCCAAAAGAUGCAGCGGGUCAUGCACCCAUGUGGAAGAAGAAGUCAAUAUUUUGGGAGUUACCCUAUUGGCAAGUCCUAGAGGUCCAGAAUGCGAUCGACGUCAUGCACCUAACAAAGAAUCUUUGUGUGAACCUUCUAGGAUUCAUGGGUGUAUAUGGUAAGCCUAAGGAUUCACUUGAAGCACGACAAGACUUGCAACGCACGGAAGAACGAGACAACCUGCAUCCAGAGAAGACAGAUGAUGGACGCCAAUAUUUAAGACCUGCUAGCUACACUCUUAGCAAUGAAGAGAAAGAAAUCAUGUUUGAAUGCUUAAGCAGCAUCAAGGUCCCAUCUGGAUUCUCCUCUAAUAUAAAAGGUAUAAUUAAUGUGCCUGAGAAGAAAUUUUUGAACUUAAAGUCGCAUGACUGCCAUGUGCUUAUGACGCAAUUGCUUCCAGUUGCAUUAAGAGGAAUUCUACCUCCACAUGUACGUCUGGCCACCGUAAAGCUAUGUGCAUUCCUCAAUGCAAUUUCUCAGAAGGCAAUCAAUCCACUGGAACUAGCUGCUCUACAGAAUGAUGUGGUUCAAUGUCUUGUCAGCUUUGAGUUAGUGUUCCCUCCAUCCUUCUUUGAUAUCAUGACACACCUCCUAGUUCAUCUGGUCAAGGAGAUCAAUAUUCUAGGUCCUGUGUUCCUACAUAAUAUGUUUCCCUUUGAGAGGUUUAUGGGAGUUCUGAAGAAAUAUGUUCACCAACGUGCUCGGCCAGAAGGAAGCAUCACCGAGGGCUAUGGGACAGAGGAGGUCAUUGAGUUCUGUGUUGAAUUCAUUCCUGAACUUGACCCAAUUGGUGUUCCUGAAUCGCGCCACGAGGGGAGACUGAGUGGAAAGGGAACACUAGGAAAGAAAACAUACAUCGGUACGGGGGACGAUUCUUUCAAUAAAGCACCCUACACAGUUCUUCAAAACUCAUCCGUGGUGGAGCCGUAUGUCACGAAACACAAGGACUUCCUACGAUCGCAAUUCCCAGAGNNNNNNNNNNNNNNNNNNNNNNNNNNNNNNNNNNNNNNNNNNNNNNNNNNNNNNNNNNNNNNNNNNNNNNNNNNNNNNNNNNNNNNNNNNNNNNNNNNNNNNNNNNNNNNNNNNNNNNNNNNNNNNNNNNNNNNNNNNNNNNNNNNNNNNNNNNNNNNNNNNNNNNNNNNNNNNNNNNNNNNNNNNNNNNNNNNNNNNNNNNNNNNNNNNNNNNNNNNNNNNNNNNNNNNNNNNNNNNNNNNNNNNNNNNNNNNNNNNNNNNNNNNNNNNNNNNNNNNNNNNNNNNNNNNNNNNNNNNNNNNNNNNNNNNNNNNNNNNNNNNNNNNNNNNNNNNNNNNNNNNNNNNNNNNNNNNNNNNNNNNNNNNNNNNNNNNNNNNNNNNNNNNNNNNNNNNNNNNNNNNNNNNNNNNNNNNNNNNCAGAUAUUUCAAAAGAUUAUGAAAGGGAUGACCGAAUCACGCUUUUCAAUGUGACCAAAGAUCCGAGCAUACUGAUAAAUGCUGAGGACACUCCAUGGUUACGUCAAGAUCAUGACCAAGGAACAUACGUCAAAAAGAAGAUCACUAUUGUGCCCGCCUAAUAAAUAGAUUGCAAUAUAGUAUGUGUAUGUGACAUUUGUAACUUAAGAUGUUUAUAUUAGUUUUUCUUAUUUUAUAUCAUUUCAAAUAAUGAAAUGACAUUUAAGUUUGCUAUAUGAAACUACAUGUGUCAAUUGUGGAUUUUGAACUACACCUUCGCAACACUUUGUCAAAUGCAAAAAAUGGUCUAUAUAUUAAAUGUAGAUUUUGAUGAGUGGAACAAUAUUGGUAUUCAUGACUUUUCCGUUCGAGACCAUCUAGGGUUCCGAAAACCAAUGCGUGGCUAUGAAUUCUAUCAAAAUUCAAAAUUGAGUGGUUCAAACUUUUCCAAAAGAAAAGUUGACCAUUAGACAAAAUGUAGAACUUGAUGAGUGCAACAAACUUUGUAUUCAUUACUUUUCCAUUUGGGACCAUAUAGGGUUCGGUCAAAGUGUGUGUUUCUAAAAACCAAUGCUUUGACUUUGGUCAAACUUGGUCAAAUGACCCAUUUGAUGACUUGAAAUGAAAAAAAUUUGAAUACAAAGUUGUUAGAGAUCAUCAAGAUCUACAUUUGAUAUAUUGUCUAUUUUUCCAUUUGGAUAAAUUUGACGGUAUUGGUCAAACUUGGUCAAAUGACAAACUAAAUUACUUAAAAUGAAACAAUUUUGAAUACCAAGUUGUUAGAUAUCAUCAAGAUCUAAACUUUUUAUAUAGAUAAUAGAUCUAAACUUUUUAUAUAGAUAAUUUUUCCAUUUGAGAAAGUUUAAGUUCACAAUACCCACCAAUUCUUGAAUCUCACACAAACUAUAUGAAACUACAUGUGUCAAUUGUGGAUUUUGAACUACACCUUCGCAACACUUUGUCAAAUGCAAAAAUAGUCUAUAUAUUAAAUGUAGAUUUUGAUGAGUGGAACAAUAUUGGUAUUAAUGACUUUUCCAUUCGAGACCAUCUAGGGUUCCGAAAACCAAUGCGUGGCUAUGAAUUCUAUCUAAAUUCAAAAUUGAGUGGUUCAAACUUUUCCAAAAGAAAAGUUGACCAUUAGACAAAAUAUAGAACUUGAUGAGUGCAACAAACUUUGUAUUCAUUACUUUUCCAUUUGGGACCAUAUAGGGUUCGGUCAAAGUGUGUGUUUCUAAAAACCAAUGCUUUGACUUUGGUCAAACUUGGUCAAAUGACCCAUUUGAUGACUUGAAAUGAAAAAAAUUUGAAUACAAAGUUGUUAGAGAUAAUCUGAUGUAAUGGUGAAUAUUGUUGUAAGCAUAAAUAAAUAAGAAAUAGAGAAAAAUUUUAAAAAAAUAAUUCGAUGUAAUGGUGAAUAUCACGUAUAUCAUGAUUUUGGAGAUAAAUGAUGAUAAAUAAACAAAAUUUACAUUUAAAUAUUGCACAAACAAAUUUUUCUAUCAAAAACAUCUGCUUUAAGAUAUUAAAAUUAAAUAAUACAUUUUUGCAUUAACAAAAUACUAAUUAUUUUUCAUAUUUAAGUUUGUUAAUUGUCGAGGGUAUCAGUAAGGGGUAUCCUCACUAAUGCACAUAACAAGAUUACCCGUAUGCAGGUCGAGGCCCUCAACUCGACCCUAAACCCUAAACCCUAAACCCCUACCUGGCGCGCCAACUGUCGGUGUUUUCCCACGGGGGUCACACCAACGAGUAAAUUUGUAUGCGUGCUCCCUUUCCCAAAUGGUGAUGCAAGAAUACACAAAGAUUUAUCCUGGUUCGGGCAAGAGAAGGCCCUACGUCCAGCGGGGGAGGGAAGUUUGUAUUAUCUUGCACCUAAGUGCUUGUACAGGGGUGGAUACAAGCGUGGUAUGGAAUGGAGUAUGGGAGUUCUACUGAGUAUGGUGUAGUGUUGCGCGUGUGUUAUCUAUUCCCGGGUCCUUCCUUUUAUAGCACCAAGGAGAGACCGAGGGUACAUGCGUAGGUAUCAGAGUAGGGGUCGAUAGAAGCAUGGCGCGCUGACCUACUCGAGGCCUCCGUACCGGCGUAGUCUCGAGCCGUCCCGUCUCGGUAGCUUGAUGAUGAUUACGCGUGCUCCUGUAUCCUGCUCUGCGCGCCGUCUUGGGCUGGUUCACCGAUCGCACGCUUGUACGGUAUGGCGGCAGAUCUGGCGGAGUGGUUGCGGUGUUGUCAGUCGACGCCCAAUUCGUCUCCAAGAAGGAACCAUGUCUGGUCGAGGGUCGGACGCCGUGCAAUCCCCUGAUAUCCGGAGCGCUGACCUUGGUUGUCUCGAGGAGGUCCUGAUUAGACGUUCCAUUCCUGUUUCCCACGUCCUGACACGCCCUGGGUUGUUUGGUGGGGAAGGCUGCAAAAAGUACGACGGGACAGGUGCCUGUUCCCUAUCACGCUUCCCGUGAUCAGCGCGUUAGGUGGGAAAGCGACAGGCGCAUUAAAUGCCCUGGCUCUCGUGCGUGCGUCAGGCGACGGGCGGCGUCCUUGCGCUCGACGCCUCCUGGUUCGCGCGAGCCCGUUUCCGUAUUCGACGGUAGCUGGUGCUCGACCCCUGAUCGAUUCGCUCGAUGCCAUUUCCGUCUUUGAGGCUGCGGUCGUCGACGACCGCGCAUAUGUAUGACCAGAGCGUCGAGUUGAGGGCCUCGACCUGCAUACGGGUAAUCUUGUUAUGUGCAUUAGUGAGGAUACCCCUUACUGAUACCCUCGACAUUAAUAUAAGUGAUGAAAAGAUUUUAUGUUUCCAAAUUUAUUAUGUAACCAAUUAGACAAAAAGAAAUGGAACUAUUAUUUUUUAACAAAUUAAUACCUAUUAUUCUAUUUACUAUGCAAUGAAAAACAUUAAUCUAAUUAUUGUAUGCAUAAAUAAAUAAGAAACUGAAAAAUACAUUUAGUCCCGGUUUCUGGCUAGAACUGGGACCAAAGGUUGUAUUUAGUCCCGGUUCUAGCUAGGAACCGGGACUAAAGGGUGGACCUUUAGUCCCGGUGCGUAGCACCAACCGGGACUAAAGACCCUUUAGUCCCGGUUGGUGUUAGUGUUACGCACCGGGACUAAAGGUCUCCGCGUGUAUAUAAGAAAACUGUCGUCUUCAUCCUCCAGAUCGACGUUGCCCUAGCCUUCUUCACCGCUGCCGCUCCCCGCGCUGCCUCCACAUCCUGCCCGAGCCACCGCUGCCUCCUUCUUCUCCGGCGUAGAGACUCUCCCGGACGAGCGCCGCCGCCGCUUCCUCGCCUCCGGACAUCGUCGCGCCGCCUCCUCGUCAUCCCCGAGCCGUACGUCGUCGUCGCGCCCCUGUGCGGCCUUCGAGCUUCUCCGGCGCCGCCUCCUCGCCCUCAUCGCCCCCGCGGCCACCUCCUCGCCCUCGUCAGAGCGCCUCCGACCGUCGCUCUCCUCCCCGGCCAGAGAACGCUCGCGCCGCCGUCGUCGAGGAUGAGCACGUUUAGUGAAUUUUAUUUGAAUGAAUGAGGCGGCGCCGGAGAAGAAUCCGUUCCCAAACGAUUUUAGUGAAUUUUAUGAAUGAGAUGAUUUUAGUGAAUUGUAUGAAUGAGAUGAUUUUAGCGAAUUGUAUGAAUGAGAUGAUUUUAGUGAAUUUUAUUUUUGAAUGAAAAGAAUCGGUUCCCAAACGCAUGAUAAAAAUCAUUUUAGUGAAUUUUAUUUGAAUCAAAACUAUAAUUUAAACUAUGAAUCUGUUGUGGCCCAAAUGCAUGAUAAAAAUCAUUUUAGUGAAUUUUAUUUGAAUCAAAACUAUGAAUCGGUUCCCAAACGCAUGCCCACGAGAAAUACGUACCUCUCGCCAAAAUAUACUCCUACAUCUAUACUUGUUGCACUCCGAUCGACGAAACACAUGCGCUCACGAAAUGUACACUUUUUAAAAAUCAAACAAUUCAAAAUAUUUAUGACAUUUCUAUAAAAGAUAUAAAUAUUAUUAGAUUAAUUAUUUAUAUAUUUUUAUACUAUAAAUUUACUUGAGACAUAACCUUGUUGUGUAUAGUUGAACUUGAAUAUAGAAAGCACAAGUUACUUUAAUUUAAAUAAAAAUUGUAAUUUAUCCUGUGUUGUAAUUAGUUAGUAGGGAUAGAUAUUGAGAUGAGAUGUAUAAUUUCUAUUUUAUAAAAUAUUUUUUGUAUUAUAUAAUUUAUAUGUUAUAAUUUAUCCAGUGUUGUAAUUAGUUAGUAGGGAUAGAUAUUGAGAUGAGAUGUAUAAUUUCUAUUUUAUAAUUUAUCUUUUGUAUUAUAUAAUUUAUAUGAUAUAAUUUAUUCUGUGUUGUAAUUAGUUAGUAGGGAUAGAUAUUGAGAUGAGAUGUAUAAUUUCUAUUUUAUAAUUUAUAUUUUGUAUUAUAUAAUUUAUAUGAUAUAAUUUAUCAUGUGUUGUAAUUAGUUAGUAGGGAUAGAUAUUGAGAUGAGAUGUAUAAUUUCUAUUUUAUAAUUUAUCUUUUGUAUUAUAUAAUUUAUAUGAUAUAAUUUAUCCUGUGUUGUAAUUAGUUAGUAGGGAUAGAUAUUGAGAUGAGAUGUAUAAUUUCUAUUUUAUAAUUUAUCUUUUGUAUUAUAUAGUUUAUAUGAUAUAAUUUAUCCUAUGUUGUAAUUAGUUAGUAGGGAUAGAUAUUGAGAUGAGAUGUAUAAUUUCUAUUUUAUAAUUUAUCUUUUGUAUUAUAUAAUUUAUAUGAUAUAAUUUAUCAUGUGUUGUAAUUAGUUAGUGGAGAUAGAUAUUGAGAUGAGAUGUAUAAUUUCUAUUUUGUAUUAUAUAAUUUAUAUGAUAUAAUUUAUCAUGUGUUGUAAUUAGUUAGUAGGGAUGGAUAUUGAGAUGAGAUGUAUAAUUUCUAUUUUAUAAUUUAUCUUUUGUAUUAUAUAAUUUAUAUGAUAUAAUUUAUCAUGUGUUGUAAUUAGUUAGUAGGGAUAGAUAUUGAGAUGAGAUGUAUAAUUUCUAUUUUAUAAUUUAUCUUAGUUGUUGUAUCGAAUAUUGUCUAAGUUUAGCCUAUCUAAAUAAUUUUUGUUGAUCGCGUCAAAAACUUUUAACACUUGAUUAAAUUUGCAGAAAUGGCCAAUCCGAAUGACAACAUGGAUGAUGCAAUGAUGGACCUACUCAACAGCGGUGCCAAUCCAGAUCCCCAAGGCGAAGAUGAUGGGAGUCAGUACUUUGCUGAUUAUGAAGAAUUUGUGGGAGACAAUCCUGAUCAGGUCUAUCUACAAUCUAGUAUAUAUGUAUAUAUAUGAAAUUAAAAUAAAUGACAUUUAUACUAAUAUAUUUAUACUUGUUUGUGUAGCCCUCUAAAUCGGCGACAACUUAUGAGAGAGUAGAAAAGUGCGCGGUCCGAAGAAGCCGUUGGAGGGUCGGUACAUUCUGUCGGAAUUCGAUGAGGGUACAGGACAAGUACUUGGAGCUAAUUCUAAAAAAUUUGUUGCGCACUGUGGCUACCUUGUAAGGGACAGGCUCCCGGUCAGUGCUCGUGAAUGGAGGCAACGGAAAGAUAACCCUAAUAUUAGUUUUGUCUCAGAUCGUGACAAGGAAUUGAUUUGGCAAGAUAUCCUUCAACAUUUCACGCUCGAUACACAGGAUGAAGCUUUGAAGGAGAAGGUUAAAAUCUGGGCUAUGCAGAAGAUGGCCAAACAAUUUCAGGCUUGGAGGAAGACAUUAUACAAGACUUUUGUUGCACAAGGCCGGACACCAGAUUUCACCAACAAGGCCUACGUCAAGUUGAGGCCUUUUUGGGAUGAGUUCGUAGAGUUUAAGAACUCAGAAGAGGGUCAGGCACGGAUGAUCAAGAAUCAAGAAAAUGCUAAACAAAAGCAAUACCACCAUCACUUGGGUUCAGGUGGCUACAGAACUGCUAUUCCUAAGUGGCAAAAGCUGGAACAGGAGAUUCUUGGGAGAGGGAUCGAACCAGAAUCAAUGCACUGGCCCGAGCGCGCCAAGUAUUGGUUCUUUGGUCAUGGGGGAACCAUAGACCUAGAGACCGGAAAGAUAGUGUACGGCGAAAAGCUCGAGAGAGUAGGACAGAGAAUGGCCUAUGCUAGAGGAUUAGUUGAAAGCGGCACCUGGCAGCCAAAUAGAGAAAAGGAUGAGCUGACAUACGCCCUGGAGACUGCUGAACACGGUGGGCGAACCAGAGGCUAUGGGGAGAUAUCAUGGGAGCAUGGCUUCCCUAAAGAUAGACCGACUUAUAGAAGCCGCCAACGAAAGAAGAAAGAGGAAGCAGAGCGGUUGCAUAGGUUGGAGGCAAUGGUGAUUGAGUCACGCGAAGCGGAUCGUAAAGCGAUAGCGCAAGAGAAAGCGCUUGAAGAGAGAAUGAACGAGGAGAUCAAAACACAAGUGCAGAUUACAGUAAGUUCUAUACAAGGGCAAACUGCAUCAGAGCCUAGAGUCAACAUUAGCCCCCCCCCCCCGGUCAGUUGAAAAGUAGUUGCGCUUCCACAGAGAUGCCAACUAUUCAAGACGACGUGGGGCUGCACUUUCCGGGGGAUGACAUCACUGAACCUCUGACAACAUGUGAGCUGCACAUUCCACAGGGGACUGCCACAGUCAUGGUUGCUGUCGCUGUUGUAACUCCUGUCGACCCUACGAGGACACCAAGAAUCCAUGGGGCGAUAGUUCCACCUGGAUAUGCUAGUGUCUCGGUGGAUAGAGUUGUCAAAGGCUUCAGUAAUGUGCAGCUUGAGAUAGAAGGAGGUGAUGGAGAGAAGACUCUAGGAGAAGCAGAGAAGACUUUUAUUUGUUGGCGCAAGCGCUACAUCAUUAUUCCUGGGGCAUCACCUAGUAGUCUACCACCACCUCCUUGUCAUGAAUCUAAUCCUAGGUGCGGAUGAAAAUUGACAAUACAUUUGUUCACUAAAUUUAUUUUGCAUUCUCUUAGUUAGCGGUUUACUCAUAUACCUUUUGUUUUCACAGGUGGUCACCGACAUGUCAUAGUGCUGCGGGUGAUGACGAGGGAGUGCAAGACACGGCUGCAUCGCCUCGAUCUCCAACGCCACCACCUAGGGCUCUAACACCGCCACCUCGGGCUCCAACACCGCCACCUCAGGCACCAACACCGCCACCUAGGGCUCCAACGCCACCUAGGGCUCCAACACCGCCUCCUCGGGCUCCAACACCGCCACCGGCCGCCCCAUCGCCUCCACACGUGGCUCCAGCACGAAAGAAGAGGCCGGCCACACAAUCAAAUGUGUCGGCCGCCCCGCCGCAAAAAAGAAAGCCUCCGAAAAGAAACAAGCUAUCAUUCCUAAGAAGCUGUCCAAUGAGAAGACUGAUGCAGAACUAAAUGCUUCAGUAAAAUCAGACGUGGAUAGUUUCUUCAAGAAACUUAAGACUGAAAGAGAAGCCAAGCGAAACCUUGAGAAGCCGUACCUCUUACUACGGCCAUAAGAUCUACGACAAAGGGUUGAGGUUGAACAAAAAAAGAGACAUGAAGCUCAGAAAGAAUCAUCAUCUUUAUCGGACUAUGAUCGCACUUUAAGAAAAUCCCUAGAAGAAGAGAAUAAGAAAGAGAAAAGAGCACGCAAGGGUGUAGCACAGCUCGGGGAACAAUCAAAGCAAUCAGUGCCCCCGCUAGUCAUUGGAAAUGAAUAUGGUUCAAACAUUGACGUGCUAGACCAGCAGAUACCGGCAGAUUUAAAAUUUGAAGAGCUUGAAAAUUUUUUGCGGAAACUGGUCUUAGCUUAGCCCAAAUGAUAGCAGGGGCAUCAAUUGAAAGUGCUCCACAAAUUGAUCAUUGGCAGAAGGAAUAUACAUAUGACAAGAGUUUAUACAACCCUGCGGCCCUCAACAAGCUUGGAACGCAAAUGUACAUGCUAAACAAAUGGUACAUGGAAGCGUGUGUCAGAAAAGCAGAUGACUAUAUUUGUGUCCGAAUUAGAAACUAUCAUUACUUCCAUGGUGAUGAUAUUAUUUAUGUUCAAUUGAAUGAGCUACACCAACUAUGCCACAUGGACGCUCGACAAAUCUCUAAUGAGUUGCUUCUGUCUGUAAAUGAUUCUUCCUUUCAAUAAUGUCUCUGUAACUUAUCAUGUAUAUAUAUAACUAAUUACAGAAACCCGUUAUACAUAUGCAGAAACAUGAUGAGGGACCUUAGAGUUAGAAAUGACAAGGAGAUUGGAUUUGUGGAUCCAAAUGUUGUAUUCAAAGACCACAAGACCCCGUAUGUUUUAUGGAGAACUCAAACGGAGAGAAAUCUACGGAGGUUCUUGAUCAACCAAAAAGAUAAAAGAUAUAUACUCUUUCCCUACAACUUUAAGUAAGUGUCGUUAUCGUGUGUACAUUCUAUUUAACUAAUUAAUCAGAUCAAUAUGAAGAUAUAUACUAAUUUUGCCUACAUAUGCACACAAAUGCAGCUUUCAUUGGAUACUAGUUGUCAUUGAUCUCUGGCAAUGUCAAUUGGUAAUCUAUGACUCAUUGAGAAAACUACAUGAUGAUUACUGUUGAUAUUUGGGAACGCAAUAAGGAAUUGAUCCGCAAGCGCACGGAUAUCGGUGAGCACUUCACCCGGGAAAUUAUCCAGAGUAUCGUAUUUAUUUUUUUUACCACUAGGAGAAAGAGUGCAUCUGACUAACCGGUCUAUUACUACUAACCUUUAGGCACAAAGAAUGUCUUUCGAUGUGAGUGAUAAAUAGAUAAGACUGCAACCGUAGUCUCCUUCUAACCUUGGUAAGGAUGAUCUACUGUUCUAAUGGGGAGGCUAACGUAAUCUAGACACCACAAAGGAUGUUCAACCCGCACCUAUAAACCCUAUCCUUCCUGCUAACGAGAUGUGAUCUACAAAGGUAGCUCGGAAUUGUCACGUUCCUCACUACUACCACGGUCCAGCUAGUCAGGGAAUAUCUAUGAGUACCCCAGCCUAAACACCACGUUUACGCCAGCAAUGAUUACUCUAAACUCUACGCGAAGAGAUUAAAGUUAACUCAUAUACCAUAAGAACAAUAAAACAAGAACUUACUAGAAUUUAGAAGUCGAAUUACUGAAGAAUCCUAGGAGCAAGAUUCGGGUUAGGAGAACUUGAUCCCGCAGGUACAAGCUUGGAGUAGACACCGACAGGCCGGGCUUCCUCCAAUCUAUACCUCCACUCUAUCUCUCUCAAUCUAGUAGAAACUAGAAGAUCUAUUUCUACCUUACAUUGAUUGCUAAGCCUAAAAAGAAAUAUUAAUUAGAGAAGAGGUUUUCCUUCGAGGGCACCCCUCAGUCUCUAUGAUAAUUUCUUCAUGUCUUCUCCAGGGGCCAGGGGGGUCUCCUUAUAUAGUCCUCCUCUUCUAUGCGUUUUUGGGUCGAUAGGCGAGGUGGUACUAUGUUUUUCUUGAUCCAAUAGGUCGGUGGAAUAUUCCGAGCGAAGAGAGUCCUGAUUGGCAUCCAGAGGGGGGCGGGCGCCCAGGUCACCAGGGCGGGCGCCCUGGGCCUGGCCCCUUUCGGCCUCCGUCUUCUUCCCGUGGCUUCUGGAGUCUUCUAGAUGGUGGAAAAUCGUGCGGUGCGUUGAUAUCUCUAUGUAAUCCCGACAUGUGGGCCUUUCUUCCUUAUUUCCUGAUAACCCCCUGCAGAAAUAGAUAAACAACAAAACUCGUGGAAUUCUGUCAGAUCAAACCCUAAUUCUAGGUGUUAGUUGCAUAUUGGUCCUUUCUCUUGUUUAUUUGAUAAUUAAAAUUGAUACUUAAGAACCGUCAACAAUUACCAAGAAAUGAUAGAUAUUAUCCAAGGGUAACUCCGAUCUCUAUAUAUUAAAUUCUGCUCUUUUAACUUGGUAAUGGAUAAUUAAUAAUGAUCGUUUUAUUGCUAGGGUUUGGGCUGGGUUCGUGCAGAAACACCGUCCAGAGUUGAAUGCAGCACUUUCAAAGCCAAUCUUACUUCAGUAGGUUCUACGACAGACACUGGGCAACAAUUUGUGUGGCUACUAUGUGUGCGAGUUUAUGACGGUGUAUGCCAAAAGAACUAAUCUUGAGCACCUAAAAGUAUGUAACAUGUAUAUAUAAUAAGUUUAUUUCAUUUAUUUGUUGCUAUUUAAUAAAUCCUAUUCAUACCUCUAACUUUUUUCUUUAAUGUCUAUUAAAGGAGAUGUGGCUGAAGGAGCAGGUGUUGGAUGCGGUGCACCUAAAAGGAAUUCAGGAGACAAUCACAGGAUUUCUUAACGACCAAGUCCUGGAUUCCGGCGGCGAGUGCUACUUCAACCCUCAGGAGCAGAUGAAACCAAAUAACGAUGAUCAUUUGUACGAUGCUUGAGUGGUGGAGAUAAAUUGUGUUGUAAAUACUUUGUCCGUGAAGCAUAUGUGUAAAUAUUUUAUUAUGGACCUAUAGAUACAUAUUAUUUUUAUAUAUAUAGUGUUUUAUAGUAUAUUUAUAUGUAAUCAUUUAAAUUAUAUAAAUUAUAGGUGCGCGUUCCAUAAACUACCAGCAAACAAUACGCAUUCGAAAAUAACAAUAACAUAAUUGUAAACCCUAAAUGGAAAACCAAAUGAAAAGAAAAAGAAAAAAGAAAAAAGACUUUAGUCCCGGUUGGUAGCAACAACCGGGACUAAAAGUGGAGGCCAGGUGGCACACCCUGGCGCACCUUUUAGUCCCGGUUGCUGUUACCAACCGGGACUAAAGGUGGACCUUUAGUCCCGGUCUACGGAAUCGGGACUAAAGGUGGGACAUUUAGUCUCGAAACCUUAGCUCCGGUUUCCGUAGCCGGGACUAAAGGCGCUUACGGCCCGGGGCUAAAGCCCUUCCCUGUACUAGUGUAGUUGGGGAGUGAAAAGUUUUUAAGUGUCAUAUUGGAUGUUUUAUAAGAUGUUGGAAGAAGUAUUUAGAUACUAAAAAAACUAAUUACAUAGCUCACUUGAAAACUGCGAGACGAAUUUAUUAAAUCUAAUUAAUUCAUCAUUAGCACAUAUAAGUUAUUGUAGGACUAAUUAGGCUUAAAAGAUCCGUCUCGCGAUUUACAAUCAAAUUGUUCAAUUAGUUUUUGUUUUUGUAUACAUUUAAUGCUUCAUGCAUGUGUCCCAAGAUUCGAUGUGAUGGAUAAAAUUUUUUUGAAUGGAAACUAAGGCCUUGUUUAGAUCUAUUUUUUUACAUUGUAGCACUUUCGUUUUUAUUUGACAAGCAUUAUUCAAUCAUGGAGUAAUUAGGCUUAGAAGAUUCGUCUCGCGAUUUACAAGCAAAUUAUACAAAUUAAUUUUUGUUUUCAUCUAUAUUUCAUGCUUCAUGUAUGUGCCAUAAAAUUUGAUGUGAAUGAGAAUUUUAAAAAAUUUUUAGUCUUUAGAGUGAACUAAACAAGGGCUAAACAAGCCUUGGUUGGUUGGAAGCGAAGCUAGAAAUGGACGAUGCCAGGUGGUUGGUGUGGGUGGCGUUGGGGGCACACUGGUGGUCUCGUGAGCGUCCUCGCGAGACUUGCGAAGGUGAGCAUCUGCCAAAAUCUGCUUCAUGCCUUAUGUUAGGUGCAGGGUUAUUUUGGUCUUUUCUUGCUGCCUGGGUAAAAAUAAGAAUAUAUUAAAAUAAGGUCUUGUUUCCUCUCGGGAUUCGGCGCUUUUAAGAAGAUUAAGUGUAUAUUUUCUAUUGCGCCGGUGGGAAAUUUGGAGAAAUCGCGGGAUCGGACGCAGUGCGUGGAGGCACCGAACGCUGGCCUGAGCGUCCGGUGUGCUGUCAGUGCUUGGCCCUAUUAGUGUUGAGCACCGGACGCACUGCAGCAGACGCAGAGUGUUUUCUGUUCAUGCGUCCGGUGUGGCCUGACUUAAGCAAAGGUUGUUUGUCAGAGAGCACCGGACGCUCUGAGUGCGUCCGGUGGUGUGCGUCUGGUGUGAGGGAGUUUUGUAACCCUCUCUGCGCACGAGUCCGGUGAGCACCGGAGCGUCCGGUGCUCAGAGUCCGGUGAGAUCUGAGUUUUUACAAACUCUCUACGCACGAGUCUGGUGCUCACUUGGUCGCGUCCGGUAGUCCACAGGUGACCGUUAGAGUCUGACGCGCGAGAUUCAAAGGAGGACACGUGGCCAAUCUCAGAGCACCGGACGCAGGGGGUCGAGCGUCCGAUGAUCACUUGGUAGCGUCCGGUGCCCCCGAUUUCAGCCCAGUGAAAAAGUCAACGACUCUAUUUGUUGAGGGGGCUUAUAAAUAGAAGGUGGCCGGCUUUGGGAGGCUAACUCUUGCACAUUUGAAUACUUAAGGCAUACUUUGAGCUAAAGAACACUCCCUCCACUCAUCUCCUUUCUUAAUUGCUAAUCUUUGUGAGAUUGAGUGAGAUUCAAGUACUUUGCUUUGAGAGUUGCAUCUAGUGGCACUUGAUUCUUGACUUUGUUGCGGAUUUCUUGUUACUCUCGGGUGUUUUCCGAUGCCCUAGAUGGCUUGGAGCAGCGGUGGUGUUGAGCUCGUGAUUGGAGAUUGUUUCGAGCCUCACCAAGUGUUCUGUGAGGGGUUCUUGAGCCUUCCCCGCGGGAGAUCGCAAUUGGCUACUCUAAUAGAUUGCUAGUGGCUUGUAAGAUCCUCAUCUUGUGAGUGGAUGUGCGGCACCCACUGAGGGUUUGGCUUUGGAUUGCCAAUUAGCUCGUGAUCCAUCAAGUGGGUGUAUCGCCACAACGAGGACUAGCUUGCCGGGAAGCAAGUGAACCUCGGUAAAAAAUCUUGUGUCAUCUCUUGCCGAGGAUUCUCUUGUGAUUGUGAGUGAUUGGUUGGAUAUAUCUCUACUCUACAACGUUGGUUUAACAAUCACUCUCAACUCCUUUACUUACUUGUAUACCUUGCUGCUAGUUGUUUAGUUUAGUCUUCUUGUUUAGGAGUGAAAUUAGCUCUCUCGUGUUGUUGUGUUUUAGUGUUUAGCCUUGUACUAGUUUGUAUAGGUGGCUUGCAUAGCUUAGUUGAGCUAGUGCUAGAAUUGCUUCGCCAUUUGUUUAACUAACUCACUUGCUUAGUGAAGUUUGUAGAAUUAUUCAUCUCCCUCUAGCUAUUUGGACCUUUCACAUAUAGACUUUACUUGGCAUAGCUCAACUUCACUACUGAAGUUAUUUCUUGUAGAAAAGAGUUUUAUGAACAACUGUUUAAAUAAAGUCGAGCUGUUUUGAAAAAGCUACUCCCUCCAUCCCAAAUUGUAAGUCAUUCCAAGAAUCUUGGAGAGUCAAACUUUUCUAAAUUUGAUCAAAUUUAUAUUAUAAAAUAAUAAUUAUUAUGAUACUAAUUAAGUAUCAUUAGAUUCUUUCUUAAUUAUAUGUUCAUAGUAUAUUCACUUUACGUUACAAAUCUUAAUAUUUUUCUCUAUAAUUUUGGUCAAACAUUAAAAUGCUUUGACUCUCCAAGAUUCUUGGAAUGACUUACAAUUUGGGAUGGAGGGAGUAUUUGGCAAACAGCUUCGCUAGCAAUUUCAUGCAUAGAUAAAAGAAAAAAAAUGAGAGAUAGCUAGAAUAAGCUAUUUUUCGAGCGUUAUCUAAACUCAUGUCUUUGUAAGUAAAAAACAUUACUGCACCUAUAAAGCUGUUUUGAAAAAUAGUAUUCGGAUAAAUUACUAUAAUCCAAAAAUCACCGUAUUGCUGCAUUCUAAAUUUGCAAUAUUAAUUUAUUUUAAAAACAAAAUCACAUUUUAGUUGCUUAUUAUAAGAUUUAUUACAAAAUCCCUGGUACUGAUUUCAGUUCGGGUUUCCGUGUCCAUUUCCCUUCUCUCACAGUCAACAGGACCCCGAACCCUAAAACCUCCAAACCCCAGCAAUGGCGGAUUGCCCCUCGUUCCGCCGCCACCCGCUCGCCUCCUCCAUCGACCUCGUCCGCUGGCUCCCAUCCUCCUCCACCUCCCCUUCCGGUCGCCUCCUCGCCGCUGCCGCCCACGACCCCACCUCCGCCCCCGCCGCCUCCAGCAUCCACCUUCUCCCCCUCUCCGACCCCGGCUCCCCGCUCGCCUCCCUCCCGCUCCCGUCCCGCGCCACGGCACUCCGCUGCUCCACUGCUGCGCUCGCCGCUGCCACCUCCUCGGGUUCGCUCCACUUCCUCCCCUCCUCGUUUGACUCGGACGCCGCAGUGUCCGUCCCCGGCGGCGCGGGCUUCCAUGUGGGCCCUGUCCGGGGCCUCGACUGCGGCGGGGAGGAGUGGGUCACAGCGGGGGAGGACGGAAGAGUGCAUGUGGUCGGCGGCGCAGCGGACGGGAGAGUGGUGGCGAGGAGGGUGUGGGACGGGAAAGGAAUGUCAGGGUAUGAAGCCGCCAGGUGGGCGUCGCCGGUGGAGUUCGCCACGGGGGGCGCCGGAUGUGGCGUGCAAUGGUGGGAUCGGAGGAAAGGGGACGCCGUCGUGGCGCAGUGUAACGGCAUCUGGUGAGUGUAGGAAAGCCUGGAUCUAUAGGGUUGUCUUUCUGGUUUAUGUUCCUGUUAACGAUGGAUUUCUGGUAGUUGUAAUAGAUUAUUUUUGUGGUUUUCUUGUGGAUUGGUACGUUAUCUCAGCACCUUUGAAAAUAUUGGCACAUCCACACAUUACUUUGAUGAACAUGUUUCACGAACAUUUUAGUUAUGUCAGCACCUUUCAAAAUAUUGCACAUCCACACAUUAGUUUGAUUAACAUGUUUCACAAACACUUUAGUUAUGUCUGUACCUUUCAAAAUAUUUUCACAUCCAUAUCUUCCAUUAUGGAAGCGGGAAGCCUAACUCAAUGUUCACCAUUUGUAAUAAAUGUUCCUAGCCAUGCAUAAGCUCUGGUGCAGAGGUCAGAUUAUUGUGCAUCUCUAUCAUUUUUUUUAUGUUUUGGCUGUGCACUACCAAAGAUGGUUUCAGUAGGUUUGGUGCAUGCCUGUUAAUAUUGAAGAUACUUUCUGGAUGGUUUCAUGCAUGUCUGUUACUAUCUUUGUUCUGAACUGAUAAAUGAGACUGUCAUUUCAGUUUAUUGUAGCAGUGCAAUAGUUGUAGUCACUGCUUGGUUUCAUUCCAAUCUCACCCACUCCACUUCUAUGUGAGUACAUUUGUAAGAUCUUGAUGACAUCUGUGAAUUGUGGUUAAAAGAAAAUCUGGUGUACCAAAAUCAUGCUUAUUCUCCAAAACUCACGUCAUGCAUUAGAGGUUUCUGGUACAUACACAGAAAGAUUACAUUGAGCCAUUGAGGUGAAAUUUAUAGGUUUAAAUUUGUUUUCAACUGGUGUCUGAACCAUAUAUUCUACAAGAUCAAAGUAGUUUUUGUAUCUUAAUUGAACCAGCUCUGGUGGCCUCCUGUAAUUGCCCUCUUUAAAGUGAGUUAACUAUGCUGCUAACAGAUGAGAUAAAAUAGAAAAUAUCGAACUCCAAACAUUCUUGUUGUCAUAUGUUUUUCAUUGUACCUGUUAUGCCAAGCGCUGCUAUCUUGCUGACAAUGGGUGAACUUGCAAAUACAGGGGUCAUGGCAUAGUUACUGGCAUGGUGCAUUCCAUUGACAUUCAUCCGUCAAGAAAGCAUAUCUGUGUGGUAAGAUCAAUAUGUGGUAGCAAAUGCAAGUUUACUUUGAAUAAAUAAAUGAUUUUAGUUAUGUGUUAUGUUCCAUCUUAAUAGUUUUGAGGAUCUAACCUCUAGGAUAACCAAUCGUCCCAAGUACCAUGUAACUUAGUGAUGAACUGAUUUAGGUUGUUGAUGGUUGAGCAAAUUAAUGUACACCAAUAAGCUUCCAUUUGAAAUAUGGAAUUCAUUCAGGAAAUAACCUGUCUAGUACCAACUAUAUCAAGCAGCGUUCAAUCUUUUUUCCCCAAAAUUCCUUUGAAAAUUCAUAUAUAUCCCAAACAGGUCUUGUUUUUUUCAGUAAGAGGUAACCUACAUCAAUUCACUAGAGAAAUCUUGCAAUUGAAGUUUAGACAAAUAGAAAAGAAUCAAGCACCUUGUUUGUCAGUUUCAGUUGUGUUAUUUUCUGGCUUCGAGCCUUCGACGGUUCAGCCAGUGAUGUUAUUUUCUGACUUCAGCCUCAGAGCUAGUAAUUAAUACCUUUGUAAUGAUUUCCAUGUUGAAAAGAAGCUUACCUUGUGUAUAACCCAAAGCAUUUAAAUUGAAAAUACAAAACUAUGAUCUAUAUACACCUUGAAUGCAUUAGGUUAUAUUUGUCGAAGCAGUUUCACUUUCUAUAUUUUCCAAAUGUAAAAUGUUCUUAACAGAGCAGCUUUUUCAUGCAAUCAAGAACCAGAAGGUUAUGUUGGCUUACCUUUUUUUCUGAAACUGAUUUGCUGUUUUGUAGAAUUAUUUUGCCCUAUGAUAUGAAAUAUCCAAAUUCAUUGAAAUAUUUAGUUAAAUUGAGAUGAGUUGGUUAAUGUACCAGUGUCCAUGCCCUCUAGUGUAUGCUCUUGCACCCGUGUAUACCUAAUAAAUGAGCCUGAGCAGUGAGGCAUAUCGGGCCUAGAGGACUCUAGCUAACGUAGUCCACUGGGAGCUUGGACUCUAUGGAUGCAGGUCACUGCAUUGCUGACAGUGAGGAGCAGAAAACUCAUGCUAUUGCUAGUGCGCAGACCCUACCGCUCCAGUUUUAGUCCACCCAUGUUGAGCACAUAGUUGAAAUGAGUUUUAUGGGUGUGAUUACAUGAGUCAUAUCUGCAGCAUGGCUCAUCUCUGAAUGUUUGCAGGUGGGAGGCUCAUCAGGGACCAUAUUUGCCUGGGAUCUGCGGUGGCCACAGCAGCCGAUACCACUCUCUGGUGUAGGCCUUAAUAGAACAGCUGAGCCUGUGUGUGAAAGUGAGGUGUGGGAGGUUCUUUUUGACACUUGCACUCAGUCUUCUGAUAUCAUCUCAUCUGCAUCUGCAAGAAUAUUGCCAGUGAUGAUGUGUUCAGAGGAUGGGAUCCUUGCAGUUGUCGAACAAGGUAAGUGAGAUGUACAUGUAGCGUUCGGAUUGUUGGUGUUUAGUGUUUACUCAUCUUUAAUUAAUGUGCCUUUUUCCGAUUAGCAGAUGAGAGACCCCUUGAAUUGCUUGCUGAAGCUUGUGCUAUCAACUCCUUUGACAUAGAUCCUCAGAACCCCUCUGUAAGUCCUUGACUUCACCUGGUCAAGUGAAAAGUUUUUUGUUAUUUUUUGAGGGGUAACAGUUUUUAUUAUUUAUAGGUAAUGUCAGUAUGUUGUGUUAAUACUGUUAUGGAUUUGUCGCAGGAUGUUGUUUGUGCAUUGGAAUGGGAAUCGAUCGGUGUCCUAACUCGUGGUAGAGAUGCAAUGGCAGAAUAAUGAAAUUUUUCACCACCCAGGGAUUCCAAUCAGAAUUUUCUGCAAGGUGGCUGAAACUACUGUCAGAAAGAAUCUUCUGACUUCUGAGGGCUUCAUAUUCAGGGACCAUUCUCAUGGUAUUGGGCAACGGUAGAAGGAAUAAAGCGUGCUUGACGAGUGCUCUUUCCUGUCUCUGCAUACUAACCAGGUUUUACUUAUUAUGAGCUUCUGUUGUCAUGGGUAACUGCAGAUUGUAGAAACAUUUUCUGGUGUAGCUCCAAGUUGUGUAAUUGGUUCACUAUUGGAUGCUAACUGCUGACAGUUUGAAGGAGAGUCAUCACAAACAAUUCAUUCCUUUUAGUUGGGGGCUGAUGGACUCAAGGGGCUGUUUGGUUCUUGUGGCGUAUAUUUACACUGCAUGUGCAUGUGGCUGCCACAGUCUAUAGAGCGAACCAAACAGCUGGUUCGCCUUGUGUGGCGUGCAGUAGGUUAGGCUGGCGGAGUGCGGUGUGGAACCAAACAGCCGGUUGAGCUAUAGUUUGUUUCAUAAUGUUUGCGUUUUCCCUAGCACGCCAUGUGGUGUUAAAUCAGCUCCUGAACAUUAUGGACUCCAUUACGUAUUUUAUUCAUCUGGUUGACAAUUUAGAAAUUCUUGUUACUAAUGCAUAACUGAUGAAUCUGAAGGUGGACACGGCUUGUCGAGUGGUACAUCGAUCUAUGUAAUCUAAAGCCAAGGGCAAGACAUCGACAGCUCACACUGGUGCUAUGUAAAUUUUGAAAUAGAAGGCUGUAAAUUUUGAAUAGCGCUUUUUUUUAAUAACAAACAACUUCAUAUAUUAGCAGCAAUGUGCUGCUGAAAUGAUUAAAUCGUUCAAGCGUACCUCAAGAAGGGCUUAGCAACACUGGGGUACAUGAUGCUCAGAUGAGCAUAAAAAGUAAGGUUCCCUGUGAGCUGAGUUCCUGGAAUGCCUAGUAUGAGCUGUAGAGUUUAAGCUUCCGUGGAUCUCGUGGGUAGUAGCUGAAGAAGAGACUGCAUUAUUUGUGUUGAAAGUGAAUGUAAAUUAAUUGCUAAUCUCUAACACUAAUCGUAACUGUUUGUAUGGAUGUCGUACGGAUGAGAUCAUCAGUGAAUGGAUGCCUACUAGGAUUAGGCGUUUCACAACACUCCCCCUUGAUUGAAUCUUCUUUGAUAUUGAUGUAGCUGUAAACUUGGAUUUCUUGAAAAAACCUGUGAGAAAUCUGAGGAAUAUAUAUGUAUAGGUAUAUCAUAAAAGUUCCUUUAAACCUUAUAGGUAAAUAGAGAAAAUAGCAUAUAUGAGUGUGAUUUAAAUAAAUCAUUAUGUCAUUGGUAUCCCAUUAAAAACCCUAGUAGGGAAAAAUAUUGGAGAUAUGACAUAUUGAUUACUCCUCCCAAAACCCUUUUUAGGAAAAAAUAUGAGGAGCAAUAUAAAAUGAUAUGCCGCUAAAACUUCUAUAAAAACUUAGUGGGAAAAUUAGGAUAAAAUGUGACAACCGGUAUUGCCUCUUGGAUAACUCCCACCAAAAAACUUUGCAGGGAAAAACCAUGGAUGAGUUAUGAAGGCAAUGUGUGUCUUUGAUAUUUCCCACAAAAACCCCAAUGGGGAAAAUAGAAAAUAUGACAUAUGCUUAUGUUAAUAUUACCUCAUUAGAAACUUUGACAAGAAACCUUUUGAGUAAAACUUAUAAAAUAAAAGAGUAUAAUAUGAUGCUGGUACAGGUGGCAUUUAGGAGAUGUCUUCUCUUGAUUCUGGCAAAUCUCGAAGUCGUCGCAUACCAAUUCAUGUCAUUUGAGAUUGCAAUUUUACCAAGCCCCUUGACCUUGCCUUUCUUGUUGUUGCCGAAGGUGAUAGAAUCAAAGCCACCAUUUUGAUUUGUAUCAAUUGAUUUGAACAUACAAGACUCUCCAGCCAUAUGUUGAGUGCACCCACUAUCAAGCACCCAAUGUCUUCCUCCGGCUUUGUAAUUAACCUACAAGUCAAGAUCAAUUCCUUUUAGGUACCCAAAUUUGAUUGGGUCCUCUAAGGUUAGCAACUAAGCUCUUUGUUACCCAAAUGACUUUCUUAUUUGAACCCAUCCAUGGUGCACAAAUGAACUUAGCAUGAACACCUUUUGUAUACUUGGUAAGUACAUAGAAAGAAUUAAGCUUAACUCAUGUAUUGUUGCUCUAGGUGACCAACUUGCUUGCAAGCUUUGCAAUACCAACCAUUGUUCUUCACAAAACAUGUCUUGUGAGGAGCAAAGGCGGCCUUGCCUUUCUUGGGGUUAUAGCCCAAUCCCUCUUUGUAGAGAGAAGCUCUUUGGCUACCUAAGCACAUAAGCAAGCGGUCCUCACCACCAUAGGCCUUAGCUAAGGUGUGAUUGAGCUCUUUCACCUCCUUCUUGAGAAUUUCAUUCUCAACCAUCAGUGUGGAGUCACAAGUGAAACCAUCAAUACUAGAUGAGGAUGAUGUAGAUGUGCUACAUGAAGGGUUAGUUGAAGCAAUAACAAUAGGCUUACUUAAGAUAUCACAUGUUAUGCCUAUGUUGCAAGUUUGAGCUUUUUCAGUUUUAGUUGGCAUGGAUUCACAUUUGUCAACUAGAGAGGAAGGAGCUUCUUCAAGCUUAGUGUGAGCCUUUUGAAGCUUCUUAUGGUCUUCCUUUAGAUUCUCAUAAGAUGCUCUAAGCUCAUCAAGUUCUUGCUCAAGGGUUUUCUUAUCCUUAAGUAAGGCCUUGCAUUCCUUCCUAGAUUUUUUAAAGUGUUGUGUGCAAUCUUCUAGCAUAGUGAUUAGUUCAUCUUUAGUUGGUUCAUCAUCAUCACUAUCACUAUCAUUAGCAUGAUCACUCUCAUCAUCGGAUGAUACCUUAGUGGUGUUAGCCAUGAAGCAUGAAGAAGUGUCGAAGAUGGAGCUCUUUCCUUGAAUUGCAAUGCUAGCAUGCCCCUUCUUCUUGGUGCUCUCAUCAUCACUUGAGGAGUCAUCACUAUCCCAAGUUGCAACAUGGGCAUCACUGAAAGGUCCUUGUUUGGUUUUGGUAAUUGAGUGACAACUUAGGUGGACUAAUAGUGUUUAUGUGAGAUACACAGGAGAUUAGUCCACAGGUGAUGAUGCGAUGAUGGAGGAGCUCAUUGCACAUGAGACAUGACAUGGAGUCAUGUGACCAAGGUGGAGAAGAUCAAGAUGAGGCUUGGCUUGAUGGACCGAUUGCAAGAGUGAAGGGCAAGUCGGAGGCUUUGAAGCGAGGGACCGCGUGUGACGGUGAAGCUUGAGCAAGACUUGGCGCCGAUGGACCGAGGCAACGGUGAAGAGCAAGUGAGGUCAAGAUCGAUGAACCAAUACGAUCACGUGAUGAUAUGAAGUGGAUCAUAUCAUUUGGUGAUUGGUUGGUGCAUGUGUUGCAUCAAUAUUGGAGGAGAUAGAAUGGAAAGCGCAAGGCAAAGGUAUAACCUAGGGCAUUUCCAUUUCACCGGUCAUAGGUGUGUAGAGAAGUUUAUGACUAGAUUUAGGAUAGAUGGCCGUACUAUCAAGAGGGGCAAACUUGUUUGCAUAUCGGUCAUCUAGUGCCACUUGAGCGAUCUAACUUUGCAUACGUGUUAGAAUCGAGUGGCGUGGCAAGUUGAGAGGCUAACUCCUUUGGGAAAAUGUUUGUGAAAAGCUAACACACUUGCACUUUGGUGGUGGACACUUGUUGGUGUUAGCACAUUUGCAAAGGAGGUGGAGUUCCUAGGGUUGAGAGGGGUGUGGGUUCCUCGGCGCUUUUGAGAAAAUUAAGUGCAUAUUUUCUAUUGCGCCGGUGGGAAAUUUGGAGAAGUCACGGGAGUGUUUCUCAGUAGGAAACACUCACCGGA
Molecule: long non-coding RNA, 111536 nt
Filed under: Sorghum bicolor (sorghum)
Lineage: Eukaryota; Viridiplantae; Streptophyta; Magnoliopsida; Poales; Poaceae
Description: long non-coding RNA (SBIC_LNC012059)
Rfam family: MIR5387 microRNA precursor family (bases 72243-72336)
Source: RNAcentral